GGGGUCUGCUUAUAUAGUCCAGGAAGAGUAGCCCCCAAGAAAUCUAGGAAGAGUAGCUCCCAAGAAAUCUAGGAAGAGUAGCUCCCAAGGAAUUUCCACGUUAUUCUCCACCAUCCGAUCAAACCGACCUUAAUCGUGUGAUUUUCCUUGAUCCUUAGAGUCGGUGGAGCACGAUCCGCGAAGUUGACCCUGAUUGGGCACUGUAGCAGGGCGGGCGCCCAGGUCAACUAGGCGGGCGCCCAGUGCCUGGCCCCGUUCGGUCUCCGCUUCCUUCCCGUGGCUUCUGGAGUCUUCUAGAUGGUAGAAAAUUGUGCGGCACAUUAAUAUCUCUAUGUAAACCCGACGUGUGGGCCUUUCCUCCGUAUUUCCUGAUAACCCCCUGUAGAAAUAGACAAACACCAAAACUCUUGGAAUUCUAUCAGAUAAAACCCUAAGUCUAGGUGUUGGUUGCAUUUGGAUCCUUUUCUAUGAUUAGUUGAUCGUUAAAUGUGAGCAUUAAGGACCAUCAACAAGCUCCCCCAAGCUUAACCUCUGCUCGUCCCUGAGCAAAGAUGGACUCAAGAGUUUCUGCAGUGGUUUUAUGCCUUAAAGAUACAAAUGCGUUCAAACAAGAUAUCAUCUCUGGGUUAGAGUAAACUGUUAAGACUUAAAACUUACUCAUAUUACCUUUCACCAUGGGGUUUGUAACCGUCACUUCUGUCUUGAGUAGUUAAAAGAUAGAACGGUCUAAUCAAGCGCUAUGUCUCUUGUUCUUCGAUUAACUAUAGCUCUAGAGUUUUUGCAGAUUUUCAAAUAAAACUCAGAGAUUCCUUGUAUGACUCUCUCUAGUCUCUCUUUUGUGGUAUUUCUGGAUCCUUACCAAGGCAGUGAUGGUAUAUGCCUUCUCUCAAAGUAUGUGGUAUUUGUAGUAUGAAGCAUAGUGGCAUUGCCUUCUCUCUCACCCUACUCUAAUAAGGUUUUGAUAUCUGGAGCUCAUAGGUGGGAGACAACUAAUACAUACUUACAAGACAUUUAUUGCAUAGUCAAACCAUGGAUCCAGAAGAACAAGUCAAUAAGACAAAUCAAGAUGUGCAUGUGUGGCGAAUGAAUAGUGUAUGGUGAUGAUGGUGAUAACAAUGGUGAAAGUCUAAUUCUACUUGUGCUCUUUCGAGGGGAUACAUACCUUUCUUGCUCUUUUGAAACUUUUUGAGGAGAAUGAGUUGCUCUAUAUUUUCUUUUUCUUUUCUCUCAGGUGGGUAUUUUGUACCCCUAAUUCUACUGUCGGACACUUGUCCAUUUUUACCUCUCGUCUCACUUUUUCUUUUCUUUCGAGGUUCCGGGCACUUGCCCAUUUUUAUUUCCUCGUAUCUCUUUUUUUUUCUUUCUUUUUUUAGAGCACUCAUCUCCUGAAAUAAUAUAGCAAGUGGUAGUAACCAAGAUAACUUGAGCAUUUAUUUCACAGGGGAAAACAGAAAUAGGAGAAUGUUUUUAGCUAUUCUCUCCCAGAUUAGGAGUAGAAUAUUUUUAGGUGAUUCUGGAGAUGGAAAUGGAUGGAUAUAUGUGGAUGCGUACUUCCGGAGUAGAAGUAGCAUGUAUGAGUGAACGUGCAAGUGAAUCUUGAUUUAACCACAUGACAAGCUCCUAAGGGUCUACACAGCUUGACCACACUCAAAGCUCAUAAGCAGUAAAAAGUAAAUGUGUGGCUCAAAGUCUAGCAAGCAUGUAUAUAUGGCUGUGGUAGGAAUUUAAACUCUCAUCAUACAGGAACUCAUCAUGCAAAAUUUUAAAGAUUUUCAAAGAUAAAAUUCUCUAGAAUUCUAGCAUCUCUAGAAACAGAUAAACAGCAGCUCAACCUUCCCAUAUCGUAUCCGUUAACGACUUAGACUUUAGAUCAAGUACUCUCCCCACAAGUUCAGGUUUAGAGCAAAUCUUAAUUAAUACUAGUCAUGCCUAAACUUGAGAGAGAUUUCAAUUUUGAGAACUAGUCAUGGCAGAGCAACUAUUCAUCAUUUCCAUGUGAGAGCUUAUCAUGAGGGUUCAUAGCAAAAUUUAUUUAUUUAUUUAUUUGGCAAACUAAGCAAAGAUAUAUAUAAGCACAAAAUCUUUAUUUGGGUUUUUAUGAUUAUGCAUCUUUUUAUUAUUUGAGUAAAGUAUAAACGUGAGUAGAAUACUUAGCUGGAUAAAUCGGGGUGCUCUCCCCUAGGCUGGAUUUUGACACAAUUUCUUCUAAUGUAGCUAGCAGCCGGCGGAGGUGUAUUUGAAUGUCGGCAGCACUCUGUCAGCGAUUAGGAUGUCCUCCGUCUGCUAGUCUUCUUUGAUCCUUGAAUUCUGUGGAGCUCAAAUAGACAACAAAGCUUUAUGGAACUGGUUAAGUGUUAGCAUAAAUAUCUAGCCUUUAUCAUGUUGAGCCUCCUCAAUAAAUAUUACUCUCUUUAGUAGGAUCAUAAAUUUAUUUUUAUAAUUUUAUUUUUUAUAGGACAGGAAUAUAUUUAUUUCAUUUUUAUGCCACCACAGUGAAUGUACUUAUGGGUUUUAUGCCAUGAGCAUACUCACAUGGGGCUUACUAUUUUAAACAUUUUUAUUUUCUUUUCAAGAUGAUAUGAACGUGAUUAACUAAGCAAACUAUUUUAAAAUAAUUGAAAGGAAAAGGAUAACUACCAAGUUUACCUCUUGGCAAGGCGUUCGGUGUUUUUAAGUCCUCCGAACGGGACUCUCCGUUUUCUCAUUCGUCCUGGGAUUCGCUGGAUGGCGUAGUCGGUGGUUCCGGUGGAGCCUGCUCUUCAUGUAUAACUAUCUUUUUUCUCCACACCAGACUCAAUGCUACAGUCUCCUCAGGACAGUUCUGUUCAAGUUAUAUGUCUUCAGACCUUACAACUUCUCCAUCAUAGUCUACCCAUCUGUCCUUGAUGAUUUUGCCUUCUCUGGUUGCGGUUGCGCCGUCUCCUUCUUGUCCCGACCUGCUUAGAGUCUUCAACUAUAUAGUUAGGGUCAGUAAAAUAGUGGCGUACCUUCUCAGAGGUGAAGUGCAUGUAGACUUCUCGGGUUCCAAUGUAGAUGAUUGCUUUAACGGUGCUGAGGAACGGUCUCCUAAGGAUGAUGGAGGAUCAUACUUGUCUUCUCCCAUGUCAAUAACCUUUCGGAAUGUCUGAUCUGCCGUCUGGAGCUGAAUGUAUAUCGGUUUUAGAGGCAUGGUUCCAUACAGGAGCUGAUAAGUGACUGCGGCCAUUAUGUUGACGUCAGAUCCGGUGUCAUAGAGUGUCUUCUGAAAAGAAUAUCUGUUGAUUGUGCACUUGAUGCUUGGAACACCAGGGUCAUCCUUCUUGAUCAAGAAAGGCGACUUGAGUUGACGAUCAUGACCUUCUUGAGCUGCAGUGACCAUCUUAGCUGACUCAGUCCACAUUUGCUUGUUUCUGUUCCUCCUGUUGGUCCUCUUCCUUGGUUCAUGUCGGGAUUGCUCUGAGAUUUGUGUAGUCUUGUUCUUGAAGGAAAACGUCUCCUUCCUCCCCUUGAUGUAGAAAUGGAUUUUAGCAGCACUAGCGUAGAUGACAGCUCCCGAGGUGUUCAGGAAUGGCCUCCCCUGGGCAUAAUAUUGACGCUGGAACCGAAGUGGUAGAGUGCUUCUGCGAAGUCCACCAUGCCGAUGGAGAUCGGGAUGACGGGGCGUCCUGGAUCGCGUCUCUUGACUGAGUGUCCAGUAUCUCCAGUGUGUUUGUGCUCGUAGAUCUAGGUUCUUCACUUGGUGGAGUCUGGAAGUUGUAAAAGUCCUUCAUAUUUUGCUCGAAGUGUACCUGCUCAUAGAGACAAGGCAGAGAUCAAGUGCAUGGGUCCUGUUGGUGGAAAACACCAAUAGAACCGAAAGUGUAUUUGUUCUCUCUAACCUUAAGCAUAGUGAGCAAGACAAAGUUGAUGGAUAAUAAGAUCAUGAGUGUAGCAUUUAAAGCAUUUGUCAUAUCUGACCGCUCAACCUAAUGGAAAGAUAAUCUAUCUAUAUAAAUGUUUUUUUCUUUACAUGACUAUCAUUUUCCAAAGAUUGAGUGUGCAACAUUUUAGUUCAUAUGAUUAGGAGUGUGGGAUCACAAAGGUGGAAGGACUAAACAUAUUGAAUUGACUGGGUUGGUUAAUCAAGAGUUGUAAAUCAUACAUGUUUGUCUCUUUUAUUUAUGUGAACGCCAGAACCAAUGAGAAGCUUAUAAAAGUGAUAGUCAAGUACCUUAAGAUGUUACCUUACUUGAAGAGUGAUGGUACAGUAUCACCUUGUGGAAGCUUUCCUUUCUUAGCGGUUGUGCAUCGUGUUUGUGGCAUCCUCCAUGGAUCAUCUCUUGUGAUCUAUGCCUUCCUUGUGUAAAUUGUUAAACUUCAUGUGUCUCUCUCUGUCUCCAAUGUUGGUGUAUCUCAGGACUUCCCAGGUCAAUAUUAAAAGUUCUCCUGCAGGGGUUAGUCCAACAAAAUAUCCAAUAUCUACUAUAGCAUACUAUCGGCUCAAAGAUCAACCUAGACAGCAUGUCUAAUUUGAUUUAGGAGGGCAUUUUAACCUAAGCAUCAUGCUUAAUUUAAACUCCCUUGGAAGUAAGAUCAUCAGCCCUAAACUAAGCACCAUGCUUAAUUAAGAGAUAAAUGAAUCUACUCCAAACCUAGACAUAUACUAAAGCAAAUAAAGGUAGCAUGAAAGCAUUUAUAGAGAUCUACUCAAGUGGAGAUGAAGUAGUGUGAUUAGUAUUUAACAGAUUGAGCAUGUCUCAAAGGUAGGGACAACCAACAUAGCAACAUGGCAAAGGAUGUUUUUAUGUAAAGUACUCCCCCAAGCUUGAAUUUUGCAAAAUUCAAGUUUGGAUGAAUUUAAUUCAAUGUUGUAUGAUGAUUGGUUGGACAUACCUUGUGCUUGUCAUUCAUCCGAUCUUCUUGCUCCAAUCCUGGAAAGGUUAGUGACAAGAAUACCCAAAGGAAUUUUUUUUACAAUUAUCCUUAUAUGCUCAAUACACAAGGUAAUGUUGCAAAUAAUUAAAAGCUCAUGUUACAAUCUGAUCAGUGCUUGUUUUAGGACACUAAGCUUGUCCUUGGGAAAUGUUGACGGUCCUUAAUGAUCACAAUUAACCAUCAACUAAUCAUAGAAAAGGAUCCAAAUGCAACCAACACCUAGACUUAGGGUUUUAUCUGAUAGAAUUCCACAAGUUUUGGUGUUUGUCUAUUUCUGUAGGGGGUUAUCAGGAAAUACGAAAGAAAGGCCCACACGUCGGGUUUACAUAGAGAUAUUAACGUACCGCACAAUUUUCUACCAUCUAGAAGACUCCAGAAGCCACGGGAACGAACGGGAGGCCGAUCGGGCUCGGAGGCAGGGCGCCCACCCAACUCUCCUGGGCGCCCGCCCAGCUACUGUGUCCAAUUCGGACCCGUUUCACGUAUUAUGCUCCACCGACCUAAAGGAUCAAGGAAAACCGUGCGAUCAAUGUCGGUUUGAUCUGACGGCCCAGAUUCACUUGAAGGGACUAUAAAACCAGACCCCCCUAGCCCCUGGAGAUCAUACCUCUUCUACAGAAUCAAAGUUAGGGUUUCAAUUCUUCAUCCAAGUAGAGAGGAUCCCUCUAGUUCUUCUAGUUCUACCUCUAGUUCAUCUAGAUCUAGUUCUAGUUCAUCUAGUUCUAGUUCUAGUUCCUCUAGUUCUAGUUCUAGUUAGUUCUAGUUGUAAUCUAGAAAAUAGGGAGAGAGAAGAGGAGAGCGGAGGAGGAGCCGGAUCUGUCGGAUCUUCCUCAACAUUGUACUCUUGCAGCAACUGGUUCGUUCUUCAUCGUUCUCCAGGUUCUUCAAUUCAUAACUCCUGAGUUCUCUAAUUACUUUUAUUUACAUUCAAGUUAUUUAUUGGAUUCCCGCUUGCAUCAAGUGCUCUAAUCUUUGAAACAUUAGAGUAGUAAUUAAUAGAUUAGACGUGGUGUUUAGUCUUGCAAUUACCUGGAAUUGCACCCAAUCCUUCGGAUUGUUGUGGUAGCCUUAGGGUAGUGACAGCCCUAACGGUCGACGUAUUCCACCUCGUUCGGAUCGGUGUUUGUAGGACCGUAGUCGGAGCUUCCUAGCCCCCUUCUCAUCUCUUUCUGUGGUUAGUGUUCUGAUGUCCCGAAAUAGAUAAUCUUGAAGUAAUUCUUGAUUCUUAGAUCAACUAGAGAACUCUCAGGAAACUUCCUCUCUUCUCACCAAAAAUAAUUAUAUAGUUAUCCUUGGGCGAUCUUGAUUCUUAAUUAGUACACUCACGUUCCCUGUGGAAAAUCGAUACUCUGGAAUACUCCCGGGUGAAGGCUACAUCGGUAUCCGUGCGCUUGCGGAUUUUUCUGUUUGCGUUUAAAAUACCCAACAAGCUUUCUGGCGCCGUUGCCGGGGAACGGUAGCUGUGCUAGUUUCGAACCAAGUCGUCCGUGUAUCCUUUUUCUUUUCCUUUUUUACCACACUCACCUUAUCAUUUUCACCAUACCACAUGGAUUUCACUCUAAGCAUUAGUGAGCAUGGAAUUUAUUUCAUAGCCACUUCAUUUACUCCAUGCUCAUAUGCACCAUCUUCACAAUCCAUUGGUCUCUCCAGCAUCACCACAUUCGAGAUCUCCAACCCCCUCUUCCUUUCUAUUUAUAAAAACUUUAAAAGGGCGGUUGUCGAUGCAUAUGUUUAUAAUAAAUAUUGCAGAUCUCGUUGAGUUGAUCUUGAUAUAGGUUAGCGUUGGAGGGGAAACCACUUCGCCGACAUAAAUUGAUGGUUUCCCAAGGACAAGCUUAGUGUCCUAAAACAAGCACUGAUCAGAUCGUAACAUGAGCUGUUAAUUAUUUGCAACAUUACCUUGUGUAUUGAGUAUAUAAGGAUAAUUGUAAAAAUAUUCCUUCGGGUAUUCUUGUCACUAACCUUUCUAGGAUUGGAGCAAGAAGAUCGGAUGAAUGACAAGCACAAGGUAUGUCCAACCAAUCAUCGUACAACAUUGAAUUAAAUUCAUCCAAACUUGAAUUUUGCAAAAUUCAAGCUUGGGGGAGUACUUUCCAAAAAAAACAUCCUUUGCCAUGUUGCUAUGUUAGUUGUCCCUACCUUUGAGACAUGCUCAAGUUGUUAAAUACUAAUCACACUACUUCAUCUCCACUUGAGUAGAUCUCUAUAAAUGCUCUCAUGCUACCUUUAUUUGCUUUAGUAUAUGUCUAGGUUUGGAGUAGUUUCAUUUAUCUCUUAAUUAAGCAUGGUGCUUAGUUUAGGGCUGAUGAUCUUACUUCCAAGGGAGUUUAAAUUAAGCAUGAUGCUUAGGUUAAAUUGCCCUCCUAAAUCAAAUUAGACAUGGUGUUUAUGUUGAUCUUUGAGCCGAUAGUAUGCUAUAGUAGAUAUUGGAUAUUUUGUUGGACUAACCCCUGCAGGAAAACUUUCAAUAUAGACUUGGGAAGUCCUGAGAUAAACUCACAUUGGAGACAAAGAGAGAGACGCAUGAAGGUUAACAAUUUACACAAGGAAGGCAUAGCUCACAAGAGAUGAUCCAUAGAGGGUGCCACAAACACGAUGCAUAACCGCUAAGAAAGGGAAGCUUCCAUAAGGUGAUACGGUACCAUCACUCUUCAAGUAAGGUAACAUCUUAAGGUACUUGACUUUCACUUCUAUAAGCUUCUCCUUUGUUCUGGCGUUCACAUGAAUAAAAGAGACAAACAUGUAUGAUUUACAACUCUAGAUUAACCAACCCAGUCGAUUCAAUAUGUUUAGUCCUUCCACCUUUGUGACCCCAUACUCCUAAUCAUAUGAACUAAAAUGUUGCACACUCAAUCUUUGGAAGAUAUAUUUUAUAAAAAACAACAUAAAUAUAGAAAGAUUAUCUUUCCAUUAGGUUGAGCGAUUUGAUCUAACAAAUGUUUUAAAUGUUAUACUCAUGAUCUUAUUAUCCAUCAACUUUGUCUUGCUCACUAUGCUUAAGGUUAGAGAAGAACAAAUACACUUUUGGUUCUGUUGGUGUUUUCCACCAACAGGGCCCAUGCACUUGAUCUCUGCCUUGUCUCUAUGAGUAGGUACACUUUGAGCAAAAUAUGAAGGAGUUUUACAACUCCCAGACUCCACCAAUGUGAAGAACCUAGAUCUAUGAGCACAAACACGCUGGAGAUACUGGACACUCAUGCAAACACUGCCCUGAGAUGCUUGAGGACGUAACUACUGGAGUAACCGCUUUGUGGAAGUAAUUACUGAUCUUCUGCCGGUUAAGAGAAACAAUCCAGGACGCCCCGUCAUCCCGAUCUCCAUCGGCAUGGUGGACUUCCUAGAAGCACUUUCUUGCAGAUUAGACACUAAGUUUCCCAAAGGGAAUAUUGAAGAGCCUCUGCGUCCGAGUUGGUACCUUGUACGCCCCAGCAGACUUCUUGGUAAUAGAGACUGGUACUGAUGAGAGGGCACCCAUCAUUCUAGAGAGGCCAUUCCUGAACACCUCGAGAGCUGUCAUCUACGCUAGUGCUGCCAAGAUCAGUUUCUUCAUCAAGGGGACGAAGGAGACGUUUUCCUACAAGAACAAAACUACACAAAUCUCAGAGCAAUCCUGACAUGAACCAAGGAAAGGACCAACAGGAGGAACAGGAACAAGCAAGUGUGGACCAAGUCAGCUAAGAUGGUCACUGCAGUUCAAGGAGGUCAAGAUCAUCUAUUUUAGUCACCGUUUCUGACCAAAAAGGACGACUCAGUCACCUAUCAGCUUCUGUUCGGAACCAUGCCCUUAAAACCGACAUACACCCAGCUCCAGAUGGCAGAUCAAACAUUUCGGGAAGUUGAAGUUAUUGACAUAGGAGAAGACGAGUACGAUCCACCCAUCAUCCUUGGAAGACCGUUCCUCAACACCGUUAAAGCAAUCAUCUACAUUGGAACCGGCGGAGUCCACAUGCACUUCCCCUCUGAAAAGGUCAGGACAAGAAGAAGAUGACGCAACCGCAACCAGAGGAGGCAAAUCAUCAAGGACGGAUGGGUAGACUAUGAAGAAGAAGUUGUAAGGUCUGAAGACAUACAGCUUGAACAGAACUGUCCUGAGGAGACCGUAGCAACGAGUCAGGUGUGGAGAGAGAAGAUAGUUAUACACGAAGAGGAGACGCCGUCAGAACCACCGACUACGCCAUCCAGCGAAUCCAGGACAACAGAGAAAAUGGAGAGUCCCGUUCGGAGGACUUAAAAACACCGCACGCCUUGCCAAGAGGUAAACUUGGUAGUUAUCUUUUCCCUUUCAACUAUUUAAAAUAGUUUGCUUAGUUAAUCAGGUUCAUAUCAUCACGAAAAGAAAAUAAAAAUGUUUAAAAUAGUAAGCCCCAUGUGAGUAUGCUCAUGGCAUAAAACCCAUAAGUACAUUCACUGUGGUGGUGUAAAAAUGAAAUAAAUAUAUUCCUGUCCUAUAAAAAUAAAAUUAUAAAAAUAAAUUUAUGAUCCUACUAAAGAGUGUAACAUUUAUUGAGGAGGCUCAACAUGAUAAAGGCUAGGUAUUAUGCUAACACUUAACCAGUUCCACAAAGCUUUGUUGUCUAUUUGAGCUCCACAGAAUUCAAGGAUCAAAGAAGACUAGCAGACGGAGGACAUCCUAAUCGUUGACACAGUGCUGCCGACAUUCAAAUACACCUCCGCCAGCUGCUAGCUACAUUAGAAGAAAUUGUGUCAAAAUCCAGCUUGGGGGAGAGCACCCCCAUUUAUCCAGCUAAGUGUUCUACUCACGUUUAUAUUUUACUCAAAUAAUAAAAAGAUGCAUAAUCAUAAAAACCCAAAUAAAUAUUUUGUGCUUAUAUAUAUCUUUGCUUAGUUUGCUAAAUAAAUAAAUAAAUAAAGUUUGCUAUGAACCCUCAUGAUAAGCUCUCACAUGGAAAUGAUGAAUAAUUGCUCUACCAUGACUAGUUCUUAAAUUGAAAUCUCUCUCAAGUUAGGCAUGACUGGUAUUAAUUAAGAUUUGCUCUAAACCUAAACUUGUGGGCAGAGUACUUGAUCUAAAGUCUAAGUUGUUAACAGAUAUGAUAUGGGAAGGUUGAGCUGCUGUUUAUCUGUUCCUAGAGAUGCUAGAAUUCUGGAGAAUUUUAUCUUUGAAAAUCUUUAAAAUGUUGCAUGAUGAGUUCCUAUAUGAUUAGAGUUUAAAUUCCUACCACAGCCAUAUAUACAUGCUUGCUAGACUUUGAGCCACACAUUUACUUUUUACUGCUUAUGAGCAUUGAGUGUGGUCAAGCUGUGUAGACCCUUAGAAGCUUGUCAUGUGGUUAAGUCAAGAUUCACUUGCACGUUCACUCACACAUGUUGCUUCUACUCCGGAAGUACGCAUCCACAUAUAUCCAUCCAUUUCCAUCUCCAGAACCACCCAAAAAUAUUCUACUCUUAAUCUGGGAGAGAAUAGCCAAAAAUAUUUCUGUUUUUCCCCUGUGAAAUAAAUGCUCAAGUUAUCUUGUUACUACCACUUGCUAUAUUAUUUCAAGAGAUGAGUGCUCUAAAAAAAAGAGAGAAAAAAAAGAAAGAAUAUGAGGAAAUAAAAAGGGGCAAGUGCCCGGAACCUCGAAAGAAAAAAAAAAGUGAGACGAGAGGUAAAAAUGGACAAGUGUCCGACAGUAGAAUUAGGGGUACAAGAUACCCACCCGAGAGAAAAGAAAAAGAAAAUAUAGAGCAUCUCAUUCUCCUCAAAAAGAUUUAAAAGAGUAAGAAAGGUAUGUAUCCCCUCAAAAGAGCACAAGUAGAAUUAGACUUUCACCAUUGUUAUCACCAUCAUCACCAUACACCAUUCAUUCGCCACACAUGCACAUCUUGAUUUGACUUAUUGACUUGUUCUUCUGGAUCCAUAGCUUGACUAUGCAAUAAAUGUCUUGUAAGUAUGUAUUAGCUGUCUCCCACCUAUGAGCUCUAGAUAUUAAAGCCUUAUUAGAGUAGGAUGAGAGAGAAGGCAAUGUCACUAUGCCUUAUGCCACAAAUACCACAUACUUUGAGAGAAGGCAUAUACCAUUACUACCUUGGUAAGGAUCCAGAAAUACCACAAAAGAGAGACUAGAGAGAGUCAUACAAGGAAUCUCUGAGUUUUAUUUGAAAAUCUACAAAAACUCCAGAGCUGUAGUUAAUCGAAGAACAAGAGACAUGGUGCUUGACUAGACUGUUCUGUCUUUUAACUACUCAAGACAGAAGUGACGGUUACAAGUCCCAUGGUGAAAGGUAAAUGAGUAAGUUUUAAGUCUUAACAGUUUACUCUAACCAGAGAUGAGAUCUUGUUUAAACGCAUGUGUAUCUUUAAGUUAUGAAACCACUGCAGAAACUCUUGAGUUCAUCUUUGCUCAGGGACGAGCAAAGAUUAAGCUUGGGGGAGCUUGUUGACGGUCCUUAAUGCUCACAAUUAACCAUCAACUAAUCAUAGAAAAGGAUCCAAAUGCAACCAACACCUAGACUUAGGGUUUUAUCUGAUAGAAUUCCACAAGUUUUGGUGUUUGUCUAUUUCUGCAGGGGGUUAUCAGGAAAUACGAAAGAAAGGCCCACACGUCGGGUUUACAUAGAGAUAUUAACGUACCGCACAAUUUUCUACCAUCUAGAAGACUACAGAAGCCACGGGAACGAACGGGAGGCCGAUCGGGCUCGGAGGCAGGGCGCCCGCCCAACUCUCCUGGGCGCCCGCCCAGCUACAGUGUCCAAUUCGGACCCGUUUCACGUAUUAUGCUCCACCGACCUAAAGGAUCAAGGAAAACCGUGCGAUCAAUGUCGGUUUGAUCCGACGGCCCAGAUUCACUUGAAGGGACUAUAAAACCAGACCCCCCUGGCCCCUGGAGAUCAUACCUCGUCUACAGAAUCAAAGUUAGGGUUUCAAUUCUUCAUCCAAGUAGAGAGGAUCCCUCUAGUUCUUCUAGUUCUACCUCUAGUUCAUCUAGAUCUAGUUCUAGUUCAUCUAGUUCUAGUUCUAGUUCCUCUAGUUCUAGUUCUAGUUAAUUCUAGUUGUAAUCUAGAAAAUAGGGAGAGAGAAGAGGAGAGCGGAGGAGGAGCCGGAUCUGUCGGAUCUUCCUCAACAUUAUACUCUUGCAGCAACUGGUUCGUUCUUCGUCGUUCUCCAGGUUCUUCAAUUCAUAACUCCUGAGUUCUCUAAUUACUUUUAUUUACAUUCAAGUUAUUUAUUGGAUUCCGACUUGCAUCAAGUGCUCUAAUCUUUGAAACAUUAGAGUAGUAAUUAAUAAAUUAGACGUGGUGUUUAGUCUUGCAAUUACCUGGAAUUGCACCCAAUCCUGCGGAUUGUUGUGGUAGCCUUAGGGUAGUGACAGCCCUAACGGUCGACGUAUUCCACCUCGUUCGGAUCGGUGUUUGUAGGACCGUAGUCGGAGCUUCCUAGCCCCCUUCUCAUCUCUUUCUGUGGUUAGUGUUCUGAUGUCCCGAAAUAGAUAAUCUUGAAGUAAUUCUUGAUUCUUAGAUCAACUAGAGAACUCUCAGGAAACUUCCUCUCUUCUCACCAAAAAUAAUUAUAUAGUUAUCCUUGGGCGAUCUUGAUUCUUAAUUAGUACACUCACGUUCCCUGUGGAAAAUCGAUACUCUGGAAUACUCCUGGGUGAAGGCUACAUCGGUAUCCGUGCGCUUGCGGAUUUUUCUGUUUGCGUUUAAAAUACCCAACAGGAAACCAUCAAUUUUUGUCAGUGAAGUGGUUUCCCCUCCAACGCUGACCUAUAUCGAGAUCAACUCAACGAGAUCUGCAAAAUUUAUUAUAGACAUAUGCAUCUACAACCGCCCUUUUAAAAUUUUUAUAAAUAGAAAGGAAGAGGGGGUUGGAGAUCUCGAAUGUGGUGAUGUUGGAGAGACCAAUGGACUGUGAAGAUGUUGCAUAUGAGCAUGGAGUAAAUAAAGUGGCUAUGAAAUAAAUUUCAUGCUCAUUAAUGCUUAGAGUGAAAUCCAUGUGGUAUGGUGAAAAUGAUAAGGUGAGUGUGGUAAAAAAGGAAAAGAAAAAGGAUACACGGACGACUUGGUUCAAAACUAGCACAGCUACCGUUCCCCGGCAACGGCGCCAGAAAGCUUGUUGGGUAUUUUAAACGCAAACAGAAAAAUCCGCAAGCGCACGGAUACCGAUGUAGCUUUCACUCGGGAGUAUUCCAGAGUAUCGAUUUUCCACAGAGAACGUGAGUGUACUAAUUAAGAUCCAAGAUCGCCCAAGGAUAACUAUAUAAUUAUUUUUUGGUGGGAAGAGAGGAAGUUUCCUGAGAGUUCUCUAGUUGAUCUAAGAAUCAAGAAUUACUUCAAGAUUAUCUAUAUCGGGACAUCAGAGCACUAACCACAGAAAGAGAUGAGAAGGGGGCUUGGAAGGUCUGACUACGGUCCUACAAACACCGAUCCGAACAUGGUGGAAUACGUCGACCGUUAGGGCUGUCACUACCCUAAGGCUACCACAACAAUCCGCAGGACUGGGUGCAAUUCCAGGUAAUUGCAAGACUAAACACCACGUCUAAUCUAUUAAUUACUACUCUAGCGUUAUAAAGACUAGAGCACUUGAUGGAAGCGGGAAUCCAAUAAAUAACUUGAAUGUAAAUAAAAGUAAUUAAAGAACUCAAGAAUUAUGAAUUGAUGAACCUGGAGAACGAUGAAGAACGAACCAGUUGCUGCAAAAGUACAAUGUUGAGGAAGAUCCGACAGAUCCGGCUCCUCCUCCUCCGCUCUCCUCUUCUCUCUACCUAUUUUCUAGAUUACAACUAGAACUAACUAGAACUAGAACUAGAGGAACUAGAACUAGAACUAGAUGAACUAGAACUAGAUCUAGAUGAACUAGAGGUAGAACUAGAAGAACUAGAGGGAUCCUCUCUACUUGGAUGAAGAAUUGAAACCCUAGCUUUGAUUCUAUAGAAGAGGUAUGCCUCUAGGGGCUGGUGGGGGUCUGCUUAUAUAGUCCAGGAAGAGUAGCCCCCAAGAAAUCUAGGAAGAGUAGAUCCCAAGAAAUCUAGGAAGAGUAGCUCCCAAGGAAUUUCCACGUUAUUCUCCACCAUCCGAUGAAACCGACCUUAAUCGUGUGAUUUUCCUUGAUCCUUAGAGUCGGUGGAGCACGAUCCGCGAAGUUGACCCUGAUUGGGCACUGUAGCAGGGCGGGCGCCUAGGUCAACUGGGCGGGCGCCCAGUGCCUGGCCCCGUUCGGCCUCCGCUUCCUUCCCGUGGCUUCUGGAGUCUUCUAGAUGGUAGAAAAUUGCGCGGCAUGUUAAUAUCUCUAUGUAAACCCGACCUGUGGGCCUUUCCUCCGUAUUUCCUGAUAACCCCUUGCAGAAAUAGACAAACACCAAAACUCGUGGAAUUCUAUCAGAUAAAACCCUAGGUCUAGGUGUUGGUUGCAUUUGGAUCCUUUUCUAUGAUUAGUUGAUGGUUAAAUGUGAGCAUUAAGGACCGUCAACAAAUAGGUGCAAAUCUAGCUAUGGUAGCUUAAUUGAACUUGAUGCUAAAAUAUUGACUAAAAGGUUGAAAGUAAGGACUCAUGAUAGUAAUGCUCUUUUGGCAAAGUUAUGCUAUCCAACCAACUCCACCAAAAAGCCUUGCAUAUCCUUGAGAGUCUUUUAUUUUCUCUCCUGUCGGGUAAGUCUAGCUGAGUACAUUCGAGUACUCAGGGUUUAUCCCACCCUGUUGCAGGUGAAGUCUUCAGUCUGCUAAAGAUGGUGGCUAACUGCCGGUGGGCUCGGUGAUUCUAUAUAGUGUUCUCAUCUAUAUGCUUUUGUUGGAGGAUGUCACUUAUGCUAGCAAUGUAUUUGAAACUUAUGUUAUUGUAAUCAUUUGAAAGCUAUGUUGUUUUCUAAUCAAUUUGGAAAAUCUAAACUUGUAUUAUUAUUUGUGAACUCUUUUGUAAUAUUAUUUCCGCUGCAAAUCUCCGUGUAUGUGAUGUGUAUUUGCUUAAUCAUGCGAUCUUGGUGUAAAGUUGAUUUACCGAGGUCCUUCGUGACACUCGGCAGACUACCGAGUUUAUAUAAGUGAGAGUAUGCGCGUGUCAACUUGUUAAACGUGGACAGUCAUGCUUAAACUUGUAUAAAUUGGGCGGUUCUGUCACAGCUGGCAUCAGAGCAAGAUUAAGUAUAAUACUAUCAGGUACAUUGUUUUAAAAACAAAGUUUUGGUUUUAAAAAUCCUAUUUUGACUAAAACUUUAGCUACAGGCAAAACUUGUCAAAACUAAUUUAUAAAAACUACGCUAGCGACAACCUCUAAUUAUGCCCAAUUAAGGACUACUAGGUGGCUUUAUGUAAACUGAUGCUAACUAUGGGGGUUUAUUUUAUCGCAACUUUUACUUUCGUCGUCCAUACGGCGUGCAAUAGUAUGGAUGCCACUUAAGUGGUAAUGAACUACGCCACGGUAAGUAAUAAUUUUCCUUUCGUUGUCCAUACAGCGUGAAAUUGUAUGGAUGCCACUUGCUUGAGUGGUAAUGUAUGGAUCUAUAUGCCUCUACGCUAUGGUAAGUGUGAGUUGUGAGAGCAUGACCGUCCAACCGUCGGUCUAGGGGAGAGUUAGAUGUGGUUACUGGAAUAUUUACAUGUUACACACAUGUCUAUAUGAAGGUACUUAAUUGUGGGUUAGUUGGUAUGACCGUGUAUACAUGUCUCUGUGUAUACAUGGGCGUGCUUCACAUGGGUAGUAUGCUGCAAUAUAUAUUCAGAAAUAUAUAUUGGAGUACUUAGCUUUCAAUCUAGAGACCAGACUUUCAUUUCUGCACAUAUAUUAUUGUUGGGAUGGGCUGAAAUGAAAUUCUUAUGCAGGUACACUAACCACGAAUGCAUAGAUUGAACGUAGUUGACGACUAGCUAUAUGUCGAGAGAGUACGUGUUAUGCCACCGACAUAGAACGUGAUUGCCACCAUAGGCUGGCAAUUUUGUGAGGACGAAUAAGACGAAGCAUGCAUCCUUAUGAUUGUUGCAUUAUGCGUGACUAUGCUUCUCCCACCUUGUUCCAAAAUAAGUAACUUGUGAGUGAUAUGAUGUUACUCCUUUCCUUGUGUGAAGCUAUAUACAAAUUUGUCUUAGUCCAUGCUACUUGAAUAGUUUUGCUUGAAAGUAGUGUGCGAUGUGUCUAGCCUUGAAAUGUUGCUUCUAUAGGAGUGCUAAGUAAGCAGUAGUAGAAACUAUAAUCCUUUCAAAACUAAAGCUUGUCGGUGAACAUGUAUGUGGAUGUUUUCUGUGAUGUCUCUAAUUUUAAUUAACUAAGUAAAAAUUUGGCGUACCUAUAAUAGAAAUAGUUGAGGCUAUAUGCUUGAAUUUGUAGGUGUCCACUUGUUUAGCCAAGUGGCGAAUACGUUGCUCAUGAAAGUGUUUGCAAAUGUUUUAACCUCACUUAAACAAUUGUGAUUCUUCUGUUAAUCCCUCAUUGUCACCAAACUACAUUAUUGUUUAUCUAGGUAAUAAUGUUUGUAGCUACUGGGGUUAUACAUGUGUGUGCUCUCUUGUUAAUAGAACAAGGGAAAACAUUGCUUGAUAUGUGUGUUGAAUUUGGCUGCUAGAGCAGUUUGUAUUCUAGUGGUGUUUUUAUAACAAUAAUGGUGUUUCCUGUAAUUAUAGUGAAUACCAAAGUUGUAGCCAACUUCAAUAUCUAGUCUAUCCUAAAAUUUCAUGACCAUAGGCCUGAUGGUUUAGGAGUUAUGAACUUUUGAAGUUUGUUGUCAGAUCCUGAUUGUGUUAUGAACAGAUCUGAAUGUUUAGUUUGUUUGACUAGUAUCCAUAUAAAAUCAUAGAAAAAUCAGUUAGAAGAUUAAUCACUACCUUGGAAAUGACUCCAUGAUAUCCCUGAAGGCUACGUCUCAUAAAAUAGUGUCAUGCGAAGAAAACAAUAAGUUGAUCAACGAUGCAAAUACUAUUUCCUUUUCUAGGCCUUGAGUUGUCAAGUCAAUUCAAUCUUGGACAAACACAUAGAUGGUACCAAAUGCUAUAUCUAAGUCACAAGCUAGAGAAAAGCACAUCCCUAGUCUCGGUUAGCAUCAUUAUAUGUGUGGUGCUAUCAAAGGUUUUGUUUUGUUUGGUUAGCCAUAUGGUGUUUGCUUGAGCUGAAUUUUGGUUAAUGAUCAUAAGACUCUUGGAUCUCUAUACACACUAACAAUUCAUGCAUAAUGAAGCUAGUUUGUGCGGUGUGAACUGAACCUUAGGAUGACCUAUAAAAGACUCCUUUCACCCUUGGACACCUAGUUGUUACCCUAUCACAUCAACCGAUAGUUGAGCAAUCUAGGAGUUCUACAAGUCAAAAAUAAUUGGAAAGGUGUUAAACAACAAAUCCUAGAUUUAUUAUCUUAGAGCUGUUGUUUGAUCCUAGAAAGGAAGCCGCAAUGUCCAAAGUAGUUUCACCAAGCUAUUUUGCUACUGUACGAACUGACCCAACUUACUAAGCCACUACUUAGUGAUGGGAAAUUUCAUAGUUGACUUGCUUGGUAGUAGCUUGUUUCCCUAGUUCAGUGAAUACUUGCAACUGUUGUUGUCCUCUAUACCUUGCUAUCAUCUGUCUUUAGCAAUGCUUAUCUAAUGCUAACAUGUCUUGGGUAUCUUCUAUGUUCCUUUUACCCAAGAGGUUGUGUUUGAUACGACCUAGGUAAUUGUUACCACUUGGAGUCAAGAAAUUCCUUGAAUGGUGAGCAUUGACUUGGUAGACUCAGAUAAUACAGUGCUGUUAGCAGAGAAAGAGAACUGCACACAUGGAACCUUAGGUAGCUUUCCAUCAAUUGGCAUCUAAAUGAUUAGACCUUAUGACCAAAAUAGACAUUGUUUGUUGGUUAGUUUGAUUCUCAAAACCUCAAAGGAUGUUUCUCUAGUUCAUGAUCUCAUCUCCUACAGAAGGUUGUACUCAAGCCAUUUUGGUAGAGCACUGCCUUUCAAGCUUUGUGAACAUAGACGGAAACAUUGCAAUGAGUAGUUUACUUUGCUCCGAACCAUCCAUCAUACAUUGGGAAUGAAGUACAUGUGAUAGUGUUGUCUUAAAUUCCUCCCAAAGUAACAAUACUUCACGGAAGUCAAUAAAGGAAAUUCUUUAGACAAAGAUUCACUAUGAAGAACUAGUAUCAGAAAGUGUCCUGACCAAAUUACCCUCUCUGAUGCUCGGUGAUAAGUAGUUGACUGCUAUCGCCAAUGUUAGAAGUGAAUAACAUGCUUCUCUACCCUUGGAAGUCUUUUGUCCUGAAUCUCGGGACGAGAUUAUUUUAAGGGGGGAGGGUUGUAACACCCCAGGUGUUUGCCAUGAGUUAGACUUUAGGUUUUGAGCUCAAACAUGUCAUGAUGAGUGGUGAUGAUCAUGUUAAGGUUAAUCCAUGAAAGUGAGCCUGAAGAUAAACUUAGAGAAUGCACCCUUGCUUACAUAUAGUACCUUUUCAAAGUGCAUGCUUAGGUGAUGUUUAUGAAAUCUCUUUCAUGUGUCCGACAUCCAUCACGACCUAUAGUGAUCACUCAAAAAGUUUCAUGGAGUUUGGAAUCAAAAGGUCACAUGAAAUGUUAAGUUACAUGCUUGUUGGAAUGACCUCAUUAAGUGAAAAAAACCAUAGGUCAUCAACCAUUCUUUGCAACCUUGCCCAAAUGACUCUAGAUGAACUCUACAACAAAAGUCAUGAAGGGUUCAUGUUGAGCUUGUGCCCAGAAAGUGCUUCAAUUUCCCUAAAACCUUAAUUCAAGCUUUAUCAAGUUGCUGCUUUGACCAAAGUGAAAGUUUGAUUUCUGUACUAGUUCUGAGGUUUGACCUUAAAUCAAAGUUGUAGUUUAGAUUCGGUAGAACAAACUUUGUUUAAUGGUCAAGAACUAGUUUGGUCCCUAACCUUGUCAAAUUGAGCUGACAAGAUUCAAUGCAGUGCUGUUUUGGAACUCCAGAAAUUGGCUAAGUCAUCAAGGUGCUCAGUUUCGGGUACCCUAGUUGGGAUCCCUGUAUCUUACUAACCAGGCCAAAACAGUAUAAGAUCCUUUAAGCAAAGUUGUAGUACAGAUUGUAUACUACAAUCUUUGUUAAAGUUUCCAAGUCUGAAUCUUCAUCUAAGCAUGUCAAAUAUGAGCCACAAAAUUGAAUCUGAUAUAGUUUCCAGCACUUAGAGUUUUUAAGUCUAGGUUUGCAGUUCAUCACGUUGGCAUUCCGCGUUCUCCAAAUUUUACUAAACAACUUGCUUGUGUCACAAAAUAAAAGUUGGAGCACAUAUUGUGGGCUACAGCAUGCCAAAAGAUAACACCAGUUUGACUUCGUUUUGGUCAUCAAUUUUGAGUUUCGCUAAUCACUAUCAAUUCGUUGACACUCAUAGAUUGGCAUCAAAUUAUCUAUUAAUCUGUAAUCCUAAUGACCAUGACACAUAAAUGAAAAAUGUAGAGCAGCACGAGUUUGACAAACAUCAUUUUUGGCCCAUGUCCAAAUUCGGCCCGUAUGUAUGGAUCCCACGUUGACCACUCUGUUGCCCGCCACCUGUUCGGCAUAAUGCCUCAAAGGCCAGCACGUGUUCUAGACGUGGCAUCCAUGCCCGGAUGCGCCCCCUCCUCCUCUGCUACUCGCCCAGGCGCCCCCCCCACGCCCGGUUGUCGAAGUGGAGAAGCACCCCAGUGCCUUCCUCAUCCAUUUCCACCCCCGGCUCGCUCUCUCCCUCGCCCUAUGGCCACUCCGGAGCAGGGCCACCAUGGCCGGCCGCCAUGCCUCAGGGGUGAGCGUGGCCAAGCCACCACGAGUCUCCUCGGGCCGAGCUGAGUGGUCUUAUGGAUGCAGGGAAGUCUCCUGGUGCUCCCCCACCCCUCCCUCACCGUCGGCGUGGCCAUCUUUGGCCAGAAAGCGCAAAGCCGGCGAUCCUCCUCCGUUCUCUGUUCGAGCAGAGAAAGAAAAAGGGCCUCGUGUUGGAAUAAGAAACAAUCCAGGGUUCCAAAUGCGAAGCCAAGACUCAUAUAAAUAGUAUUUGUGGGAUGUUGCGUGAUUCGUGGAAAGUCCAGGGUCCCCGGUUAAAGAUCUGUUUUCCUUUUCCUUUGUUUUUGCAGAUUUCUGGGUGAAGUUUGAAAAUCCAUAGUAAUUCAUUGAAAAGUCAUAAAAUAGCAAAGGUGGACUUUUUGGAAUCCUUGUGAAAUUCUCUAUGCAGUAGAUCUAUAAUAUGGCAUGGUUUAGUUUUCAGUUUUAGCAGUAAAAAUAGAUUUAUGCAGUUCGGUUUUAAUUGCUUGUUAUAUUUGUCUUUUUAAUAACCACUGUACUAUUGCUCAAAUAAAUGUGAAAAUAUUGUGGCAUGCUUUAUAUAUACUAUUUGAUGUCUGGUAAAAGUUUCAUGAAUUUAGGCAUAACAGAUUAAGAGUUAUAAAAAUAACAAAUGCUCUGUGUUGCCUUGCUCCUAUUCUGAGUAUGUCUGCAUGUUUAUAUUGUUUGGUUCAGUUAGGUUGUGAAUCAUUCCUGGAUGAAAAUAUAUGAGUUGUAGUACUUUUCAUAAGCUUUCCAUCAAGCUAAAUAGCAUAAUUUUUGGUCAAGCAUAUGUUUAGUUAUAGUAGUUUAAAUUACUAUUUCAGUUUCUGUCUAAAUCCAGACAGCAAUGCAUUGGUUGUUAUGUAAGACCUUGUUAGUUGUAGAUUUAGCUCUAGAUGUUUAUAAAAAAGUUGUUCACAAUUUAGUAAGCGUUCUAGAAAGCACAUAACCAUAAUUUAUGGGCAUAUGAAACUCAAGUUAUGGCUGUUUAAUGUGACAUGAUAGAUUCUGUCCAUGUUUUGGACAGAGAUGUCUUUAUGGAUAUUGAUAAAUGGUUUAUAAUUAUAAAUAAAAAUGUAGAAAUAGAAAAUGUUGUUCCAAUACAAUCCUAUGAUAUUAUUGUAUCAUGUUUAUGUAUGUUAUGGCCAUGUGUUUGAAGAAAAUAUGAUUUGUGCAUUUAUCUUGCUCUCACAUGGUUAAUUGCAAUAGCAAUUUGUCUUUUUCAUAGAUGUUGCUAUGCUUAUUCAAAUACUGUGAAAUUUAUACAGCAGUCUAUUCAUGGUAUUUAGAGGCUACUAUAAUUUUUGUAGAAUUUACUGUGCAUGUUUGAUAUAUGUUCCUUAAUACACCUUAUUAUCCAAAUAAAUUAAGAAAUGCAUUAAAUAACUUUAUUUGGAAAUGACCACUAUGUUUUCUGGUGUUCUUUAGAUAUAUGCAAACUGUUGGUAAUAAUGGUUUUGCUCAAAUGCAUGUUUGAAAUAUAAGUUAAUAAUUAAUUGUUUGCAAUUGUUAUUUCUGGACAGUUUCGGGAACUGUUUGGAUUACAAUGUGUAAAUGAUGUUUUCUGGGAAUCUUGUUUAUAGUAAAGUUGUAGAUAAUUCAUUUAUCUAGCUGCUGUCAAAAUUUGGUGGCAUUUGGUUAUGUGGUUUGUAUGUUAUGGCUGUUCACAGUUGAGUUUCAGAAAUGGUUGCUCUCUGUCUUGUUAGGACCUGAUUCUGUAAUUCUAAUAUUUCGACCUGCCAAACUUAUGAAUCAUGCUUUGAUAUAUAAAUAUGAAAUGUAGAUAAUUUCCUAAGCUUUUCAGAAUGUCUUCUUUCAUGUCUUUUCGAAUUGUGUAACUCCAGUUAUGAUUUAUUAUCUCAGCUACUGUUAACAGUCCUAAAAAUAACAGAUUCCUUGUAUUGCUGUUGCUUGGUAUAUUGCUAGGUGUGACUCAUGUCUUUGAUAAUGGCCAUGUUAUUACACCUGAAAUCUUGUGAAACAUGUAUGCCAUGCCUGAUAUACUUGGUUGCAUUCUUUUCUAUUUUAGUAUGUAGGUUUGUGUGAUGUUUAAGUAAUCAAUGAGAAGUGCUUAUGUAUGUUUAGUGUAACCAUGCUCUUGACAUACUUCUUGUGUGUGAUGCUUUAUCUAUUGCACUUCUAUGUGUUCAUACACUUGCAUCUUGCAUCUCAUUUAGGUACGCUAGAUGAACUACGUGAAGGACUUUAUGGUGGACCUAACCGGAUGAUGGAAGGACUACACAAGUGUUGUCACCUUAGAUGUCGUUCAGACGGUGUAAGCUGACAUAACUGACUUGUGUCGGAUUCCAGGCAAGCCCCGGAGCAUUUUAAGUCUCCUACCCUCUGUUUUUAUAAAAGCACAAGAGUAUAACUUUAUAUGAUGCAUUAGGUGAUAGGAGUUGAAUGAAACCGUUGGUGCAUAUAUUCCUACCUUGUCCACUAUAUGAAACUACCUGAACCCUUAACGUUCUAUGCUUAGCUAUGCUUAGCUCGGUAGAAGCCGGGUGAUUUCCUGUCACCUGCGAGAGAUAGGUGGAUACCUGAUCACGGUUGGCUAUAUUUGCUAUCGUGGAAAUAACCAUGUGCUAAUAAUGAAUUUGAGACCGGGCGGGAUGACGAUAGUGAAGCAACAAGGCAUGGAGGUCUUGGGUGUGAAUCUAUCCCCGUUUGUGUCGUUUAAGGACCGAUACGCUGUACGUCCUCGUGUCAUGUUGAACGCAUGCCUACCACUUAGCUGGCCGGAUAAGUCGUUCCGACCGCGAAGCCUACGAGUGCAACUCCGGCCGGAUACCCCGAUCUGGUUAAAGUGCGCACCCCGGUUGGUAGUAAGGAUGUGCGGGGAGUCAAUGGCGUAAGACCGAGGAGUCAGGUUAGAGUCCUGACCCUGGCAGAUUGGCGGUCCCUGGGGGUGCGGCGCCGUACGGACCCGCGAAUUGGUCCGGAGUUGUGCUAAAGGUGAUCCAAGCUACUCUAGCUAAGUACGCCUGGGUGAGUGCUAGGAAUACCCCUCCAGCUGGAUAGGAAUCGAUUCGAAUCGCCGUCUCUCCCGGAUAGUGAGAACUUGACUCGAGCAGCGGCAACGUAGAUACACUAAAUGAAACUUAAUGGUUAUGAUGAUGAUGAUGAUGGCUACAUGAUAAACCUGAUACGGUUAUUAAUGUGAUGCUUAAUAAUCAAGUGGUUGCUAUAGAAUAGGUGCAAAUCUAGCUAUGGUAGCUUAAUUGAACUUGAUGCUAAAAUAUUGACUGAAAGGUUGAAAGUAAGGACUCAUGAUAGUAAUGCUCUUUUGGCAAAGUUAUGCUAUCCAACCAACUCCACCAAAAAGCCUUGCAUAUCCUUGAGAGUAUUUUAUUUUCUCUCCUGUCGGGUAAGUCUAGCUAAGUACAUUCGAGUACUCAGGGUUUAUCCCACCCUGUUGCAAGUGAAGUCUUCAGUUUGCUAAAGAUGGUGGCUAACUGCCGGUGGGCUCGGUGAUUCUAUAUAGUGUUCUCAUCUAUAUGCUUUUGUCGGAGGAUGUCACUUAUGCUAGCAAUGUAUUUGAAACUUAUGUUAUUGUAAUCAUUUGAAAGCUAUGUUGUUUUCUAAUCAAUUUGGAAAAUCUAAACUUGUAUUAUUAUUUGUGAACUCUUUUGUAAUAUUAUUUCCGCAGCAAAUCUCCGUGUAUGUGAUAUGUAUUUGCUUAAUCAUGCGAUCUUGGUGUAAAGUUGAUUUACCGAGGUCCUUCGUGACACUCGGCAGACUACCGGGUUUAUAUAAGUGAGAGUAUGCGCGUGUCAACUUGUUAAACGUGGACAGUCAUGCUUAAACUAGUAUAAAUUGGGCGGUUCUGUCACAUCGAGUGCGUCGAGUACGGGGAGGCGGUCGAAAACUCCACCGAGCUCGUCGCAAAGCUCGAGGCCCUAGCCGCUGAGGCUCCAGAGCCCAAGCGCCACGCGGGUAGCUUCGAGCCAGCAGAAGGAACCAAGAAGAUCCCGCUCGACCCUAACAACUCCAACGGCAAGGUGCUGAUGAUCAGUGCCGACCUCGACCCCAAAUUGGAAGCUGUGCUGGUCGACUUUCUCCGUGCAAACGCCGACAUGUUUGCAUGGAGUCCCUCGGACAUGCCAGGCAUACCGAGGGAAGUCGCCGAGCACUCCUUGGAAAUUCGUGCCGCAACGGUUGCGCCGAUUCAACGAGGACAAGCGCAAGAUCAUUGGCGAGGAGAUCCACAAGCUUUUGACGGCCGGAUUCAUCAAGGAGGUUCAUCAUCCCGACUGGUUAGCAAACCCUGUACUAGUUAAGAAAAAGAAUGGGAAAAUGAGGAUGUGUGUCGACUAUACGAGUUUAAAUAAAGCAUGUCCGAAAGUUCCUUUUCCUUUACCACGUAUUGAUCAAAUUGUUGAUUCUACUGUGGGAUGUGAAACCCUUUCUUUCCUUGAUGCAUAUUCUGGUUACCACCAAAUAAAAAUGAAAGAGUCCGACCAGCUCGCGACGUCUUUUAUCACACCUUUUGGGAUGUAUUGUUAUGUAACCAUGUCGUUUGGGCUUCGAAACGCGGGAGCUACGUAUCAACGCUGCAUGCUCCACGUGUUUGGCAAGCACAUAGGGUCGACGGUCGAGGCCUAUGUCGACAACAUCGUAGUCAAAUCAAAGCGGCGAGGAGACCUGAUCCAGGAUCUCGAGAUUGCUUUUAGCUGCUUACGCGCCAACCAGAUUAAGCUCAAUCCUGAGAAAUGCGUUUUCGGCAUGCCUCGAGGCAUGCUCCUGGGUUACAUUGUUUCCCAGCAUGGCAUCGAGGCCAACCCCGAGAAAGUCUCGGCCAUCACAAGAAUGGGGCCGAUCCGAGACAUCAAGGGUGUGAAGAGAGUCACGGGAUGCCUAGCGGCGCUGAGCCGUUUCUUCUCGAGGUUAGGAGAAAAGGCGUUACUAUUAUAUCGGCUCCUGAAGAAAGUCGAGCGUUUCUCUUGGACUCCCGAGGCCGAGGAAGCCCUCGAAAACUUGAAGAAAACGCUGACUUCAGCACCGGUCCUGGUCCCGCCUCAACCUGCAGAACCACUGCUCCUUUACGUUGCCUCAAUGACUCAGGUCGUCAGUGCAGCUGUGGUUGUCGAGAGGCAGGAGGAGGGGCAUAUGUUGCCAGUCCAGAGACCGGUCUAUUUCAUCAGGGAGGUGCUCUCAGAAACCAAGACGCGUUACCCUCAAAUCCAGAAGCUAAUAUACGCCGUAAUCCUCGCCCGACGCAAGCUGCAACACUAUUUCCUCGGCCACCCCAUCACGGUGGUCUCGUCCUUCCCCUUGGGCGAGAUAAUCCAAAAUAGGGAGGCCACGCGAAGAAUAGCUAAAUGGUCGGUCGAGCUCAUGAGUGAGACUCUCACUUAUGCGCCCUGUAAGGCUAUCAAGUCACAAGCCCUGGUGGAUUUCGUUGCGGAAUGGACAGACUCCCAGCUCCCCCAACUCAGGUUCAGUCGGAGCUGUGGACGAUGUAUUUCGAUGGGUCUCUCAUGAAGAUGGGGGCUGGGGCCGGCCUGCUGUUCAUCUCGCCCCUGGGCGUUCAUAUGAGGUACAUCAUCAGAAUUCACUUUGCCGCAUCCAACAACGUCGCAGAAUACGAGGCCCUCGUCAACGGUCUCAAGAUCGCCAUCGAGCUAGGAGUCCGAUGCCUUGACGUCUGAGGCGACUCCCAACUCGUCAUCGACCAAGUGAUGAAGACCCCAAACUGCCACGACCCGAAAAUGGAGGCGUACUGCAAGGAAGACCGUCGACUUGAGGACAUAUUCCAUGGCCUCGAGCUCAUCCACAUCGCCCGACGCUACAACGAGGUGGCCGACGAACUCGCCAAGAUCGCGUCAACCCGAGGCACGGUACCACCUGACGCGUUCUCAAGAGAUCUUCACGAGCCAUCCGUCGACUUGGGCUCGGGGGCUGGCAUCGAUGCCACUCCUGCCCAGCAAACCGACACCGUCGACGCACUACUGACGGCAGCUGAGGUAAUGGAGGUGGAACAACGGCCCGGUCGACCGUUCGACUGGCGCACACCGUUCCUCGACUACCUAAUCCGCUGCGAGCUGCCAGAAGAUCGAUCCGAGGCCCGCCGUAUCGCUCGACGGGCCAAGUCAUAUGUGAUCUACGGCGAGGGCAACGAGCUAUAUUGACGGAGCCCGACGGGGGUCUUGCAGCGUUGCAUCACCGUGGAAGAAGGCCGGAAACUCCUCGAGGACCUACACUCGGGGGCUUGUGGCCACCAUGCUGCUCCACGGACCCUCGUAGGGAACGCCUUCCGACAAGGCUUCUACUCGCCAACGGCCGUAGCUGAUGCCAUCGAGCUCGUACGCUCACGCCACGGGUGCCAGUUCUAUGACAAACAGACUCAUUUGCCCGCCCACGCUCUUCAGAUGAUCCCCAUCACAUGGCCAUUUGCGGUGUGGGGGCUCGACUUAGUAGGGCCUCUACAAAAGGCAAAAGGAGGGUACACCCACUUGCUGGUGGCUAUCGACAAGUUCUCCAAAUGGAUCGAAGCUCGACCCAUCACCAACAUCCGCUCCGAACAGGCCGUCCUUUUCUUCACCGACAUCAUCCACCGAUUUGGGAUCCCCAACGUCAUCAUCACCGACAAUGGCACUCAGUUCACGGGCAAGAAGUUCUUGGACUUCUGCGAUCAGCAUCACAUCCGUGUGAACUGGUCUGCAGUAGCCCAUCCUCGAACUAACGGCCAGGUCGAGUGUGCCAACGGCAUGAUUUUGCAGGGGCUCAAACCAAGGAUCUACAAUCGCUUGAAGAAAUUCGGCAAGAAGUGGGUCGAGGAGCUUUCCUCGGUCUUAUGGAGCCUAAGGACGACGCCAAGCAGGGCCACAAAAUACACCCCAUUCUUCAUGGUCUACGGCUCUGAGGUUGUCCUCCCCACAGACCUCGAGUAUGGGUCCCCUCGACUUACAGCGUACAACGAACAAUCAAAUAAAGAAUCUCAAGAGAACGCGGUCGACCAACUCGACGAAGCUCGAGAUAUGGCCCUCAUCAACUCUGCUAGGUACCAACAGAAGCUUCGACGCUACCACGACAAGCACGUGCGCAGGAGGGACUUGAACGUGGGAGACCUCAUUCUACGUCGGCGACAAAGCAACCAAGGACGCCACAAGCUGACCCCACCAUGGGAGGGCCCAUAUAUGGUGGCCGAGGUCUUGAAGCCAGGGACAUACAAGCUUGCGGACGAAAAGGGGGCGGUCUUCACCAACGCAUGGAACAUCAAACAGCUACGUCGAUUCUACCCCUAGAAUUUCAAAGCUUUAUGCUCCUACGUAUGCUUUGUACCAAGGCCUUGUAAAUGAAUGUACGAAUAAAUGAAGUCUUUCCCUCGAGCGAUUUACUUUUGCACAAGUCUCAAUGAUAGAAGGGAGUAUCGACUACGACCUAUCAUAGUCGACACUCCCUCGGGGGCUAGCAAGGGGGGCGACCCCCCCAAGUGUCGAAAAAAUCUAGCAAUCCUUUCAUUCCUAUCGGUAAUCUCACACGGUUGAGUAGUAAAGGUACCUCGAGACCCUUAAGGGAUGAGAAACGACAAGCCUGAGAACUCCUACGCCCCUGGGCUAUGGAAACUCUACUCGCCUCCUCACCCUUGAGGCAAUCAAGACCGCCUCGAACAAAAGACCAAGUGAGAAAAAACAAACAUAGGCACAAAAAGGAAAAAAAAGAAGCCUUGAGAGAAAAGGUAGACAAACAUAUAACAAACACUUAAAGAUACUGUAUCACUUGAAAACAGGAUUAACAAAGUACUAUACAAGGGGCCCCAUGCACCCUGAGCAGGCUCGCAGGCCUUAGCCCACAGCACGGUCCUCACCACCCUCGCCUGCGCCCGAGCUAGUCUCAUGGGGAAGCACCUCAGGCUCAAAUAGCUUGGCCAGCCUCUCUCCAGGAGCCUCCACGUCGUCAAUCAAGGCAUGGAGCCUCUCUUUGUUCUCCGCGUCGGUCUUGGAGAUGUCGGUGACGAAGCCGUGGGACACCACCUCCAUGACGUAGGAGAAGCCUGAGCAGACGACCGCCAUUGCUCGCCUCACCCCGAUGUGGAGGGCAUCCCGCACCCGAUCUCUCAGCGUCGCGCCUAAGUAGCAUAGCUGGUCGACCAGUGCGUUGCCUCGAGCGUCCUCCUUCGACUCGUCCAUGGGCUUGAUCUCCCAAGUGGUCGAGAGAUCGCUUAUCGCCGUCCGCACUCGACGGUUCAAAGCAACCUCCGCCUCGAGCUGGGCUUUAGCAUGGCGGGCCUCGACUUGGGCGGCCAAAAGUUCGUCCUUAAGCCCUGUGAAUGCCAACGCAAAAAACUUUAGGAAAAACCAAGCACACCUCGAAAAGGAAAUCCGACAAUAGAAACGUACCACGAAUGCUCUCCUCCAGGGCCGUGUUCUCGCCAACCAAUUUAGUGUUGGCCAUCUCGAUCUCUUUAUUGGAGCGUGCCAGCUCAGUAUUGGCGACUCAAAGAUCCUCGAUCGCCUUGCCAGCCUGAGCAAUGGCUCCACUCUUCUCCAACAGUUCUCCCUUCAGACGGUCGACGUCGUCAGAGAGGCUGCGGGAUCGAGCCCGCUCCGCCUCGAGGUCUUCGAGGGCCUUCUUCUUCGCUUCCUCCAUGGCCCCCCUGGCGACCUCGCUGUCCACGUACGCCACCUUCAUCCUUUGAAAGGAGUCUCGGAGGGAGUCCAGGUCGGCCUUGAGAACGCCCUUCUCCCUGUCCAAGUCAGCAAUGACGUUCUUGUAGGACAGGGCCUCCUCCCGGGCUUUGGACGCGGCCUCCUAGACCGUCAGAGCCCACUCCCGCAGCAGCAUCGUCUCCUCCACCGCCUUCCUUGAGGCCUCCCGAGCCUCGACCAAGGCAGCCUCUCUCGCCUUCUUCUCCUCCUCGAGCGCUAUGAGGUCUUUAUAAGCCUUAAGGAGUUUUUCCUGUGACUCGAGGAGUUGGUCCUUCAGGACGGGGAGCUGCUCCCAGCUGCCUCUUGUGGCGUGAAUGAAGCUCGACUUGAUACGGGAGGUCUCUUUCAUAUCCUGUGAGUCGGUGGUCGAACGGUUAGAACACGAAACCAAAGGAUCUAUAAGAAUCAAGGACCGAAAAAUACUUACGAAGUAGGCCGGCCCGAGCCCGUUGUUGAUGACGUCCGAUAGGAGCCCCACCAUGUGCUUCAUCCAAAGGCGGAGCUCCUCGACAUGUUCCCAUUUCUCCGCCUCCUUCCUAUCGUCCACGAAGAUGUUGGGCUCAGACGGGUCGGUGGAAGCCCGGAUGCGGAUCCGAUCGGGGCACCAGUUCUCCAUCUCCCAGUCGGCCCGCGCCUUGACGCCACGAAUAAGGUCCUCGACGGCCUCGAGGGAUCCCACAUGGCGCAGGAACAAGUCGACGAUGGAAGGGAACCGCCCGUCGUCGUCCACCGUCUUCCAGGUACCGUCUUGGCUACCCGACGUCCCGGCCUCAUCCUCCUCGGCAGGGAUGUGGUCCUCCCACGCCCGGCGCUCCCGGAGGAACCCUGGGGCGAUCCCGUCCAUGCCGUAGAUCGUCCUCCUGAUCUCGGACUCGGGGUCGGCGGGGGUACGCAUCAUGCAGGCAAGCGCUACCACACCGUCCGCUCGCCCCCGCUCUGCUGGGAUCGCGGCGGGCGCCCCAGGGCGGAGCCACGCCGGGGUCGGAGGACCAAAAACCGGCAAAUCCUCCUCCUGGCCUCCGGGUUCUUGCGGCGCUGGUGGUACAGGUUGGGGCGGACUGUGAGGAGGGGGCUCGAGCAGUUGCUGCUGCUGCUGCUGUUGCUCCUGCAGCAGCUGCUGCGACUCCUGCUGUUGCUGCUGUUGCUCCUCCUGCUGCUACUACUGUUGCUCCUCGAGCUCCUGCGACUCUUGUCGGUAGCCCUGCUCCUGCGGCUGCUGCCUUGCCUCGCGCUCCCGCUCCUCCUCCUCCUCCUUUUUAUUCUGCUCCUCGAGGGCGCGAAGACCAGCAGGCCAGGGAGUCCGUCCCGCGACGAGGGAGCUCGACGCGUCCUCCUCCAUAGGGCGGGCAUCCCUCGACGUCUCGUUGCCACCAGACGUGUCACUGAUGGUAAUAGGAUCCUCCUCGACCCCCGAUCGGGGAGGCUCGGGGACUCCCCCUUGCCCUUGGGUUUUGGGCGCCUCGGUCCGUGUCGGCGGCGACGGGGCAGACUCGGGACGAGGCGGGGCACUCUCAAGACCGGUCGGAGGAUGGGAGUCGGAGGAGCGUGUAAAACAGAGAAUAAAGGCCGGUCACUAUGAUGACUAGCGGAAGAACAACUCAAGUCCCAAAAGUAAGCUACCAACCUGAUUCCUUGGAGGCCACUCCCACCUUGAGCUUCAUCGCCAUCGAAGGCUGGGCCUGCUCGAGCGUCCGUUUCAACCUAAGGAAGGAAGAACAGGCGUAAAGGAGACUGCUACAUGAGAAAACGCAGAGGAACAGGAGAACAAAAAUCACAACAUCGAAGAACUUACCCUACAGGGAGAACAGCUCGCCUGCCGGUGCCCCGACCGGUGGGCCUCGAGCCACCCCGCGUCAAGGUCCCGGGCCCCUCGAGGACAGGCGCUGGCCUUGGCCCAGCAACUUCCGCUUGGCGGGCACCGGGACUGGUGCUCCUGCGGCCAGUCUCUCCUUUCUCGGAGGCCGCGGCGCGACCGCGAGUCAGUGGCCCCAUCGCCUGGGGCCUAGCAUGGCUACCCAUCUUGGGCGCAGGGGGAGGGCGUGGGGCGACCUGACCAGUCGCGGGCACAGGGGGGUGUCGCCACGAGGGCGGUGAGAUCCACCUGGUCCCUCCUUUGGUGUUUCCAUCCGUGGGGCGUCGACGUCGCCUCGAGGCGGACCCUCAAGGAUCCGGUCGAGGCGACAUGCCAUCCCCUCGGAGUCGUCGCUGUCCUCAUCACCAUCUCCACCAUCAUCGUCGCUGGGGGAUUCUUCCUCGGGUUCCCCCCUCUGCCUGGAUUUAGCUCGACGCGCCUCUAAUGCUUGGCGGUUGAGGUUCUUCUUUUUCUCUCCUUUCUUUGCAGAAUCCUUGGCGGACUUUUGCUUCUCGGCGGACCGGCGCCGCGCGUCACGGUCGACCUCGUCCUCCUUUGCCGGAUGCCGCGAGGACCGGACAUCAAUCCGCCCCUGCCAGAACAAAGGCAGACUCAGAAAAGGGGUAGAAAGAAAUCCAGAAUCAAAGCUAUACACGAAAAGACAACAUACCAGAUCAAUCGAGCCCGCAUCAGGCCUCAUGGGGAAGCCGUUAACAUGCUCCGGCUUAAAGUCACCAGCAAUGGCGGCCCUGACCCUUGCCACGACUUCGUCGUUCGCCGGAGCCUCGCUCGACAUCCGGCACGCCUCGAGGUCCCGAGAUGAGGCGCCGGGGGCCAUCUCGUCCAUCCUCAGCGGUCGAGACAUCAAUGGGAGAACUCUCCGGUGAUGGACGGCCGAGAGGACGAGAGCGGCAGUCAAGCCUUCCGAGCGCAGCUUCUUCAUGACGUCGAGGAGGGGGUCGAGCCGAGAUUGAUGAACUUGGACGACGCCGUACGUCCAAUUCUCCGGACGCUCCGUGAUCAGACGCCCGGUGUAGGCGGGCAGGAGAUCGUCGUCAUUCCUCAAGUAGAACCACUGGGAAUCCCAGCCGGCGUGGUUAGUCGACAGUCCCACUGGGAUGUACUCACGUGGCCUCUUCGUCUUCCCCAUCUUCAGCACGACAUUGAGGCAGCCCGCCCGCACAGGCUUCCUCACGCCGGUGGUCCCAGUGGGGGCGUUGAAGAGCUCGCCCCUGUAGAGGUGGAGCCAUAGCUCCUAGUGGGGCAUCAUCCCCAAAUAGCUCUCACACACCGCGGCGAAGACCGCCGCGAUGGUGAUGGCGUUUGGGGACAAGUGCUGGAGCUCCACCCCAUAAUGGUGGUAGAGCUCCCGCGUGAAGCGGCUCGGGGGAGCGCCCAGGCGGUGGCGGUGGAACUUGGCGAACGAAACCACAUAGCCCUUGGGCGGCCUGGGCUCCCUGUGGUCCGCCGGCGGCACGAUCCACUUCGGCGACGACAGCGAGGUGCGGUGGCGCAGGAGUCCCUCCCUCUCAAGCUCUAGCAGCCGGCGCUCCGUCAUCGACGACGGACGCCAGUCGUCGGCGACGACAAGUCUCACAGGCAUCCUAGCCGAAGGGAUGGCGAAUUCGCUACUACUCGAGGGGGACACGCGCGCGUGAGAUGGCAAGAGCAGUAAGGCAAUGAGAGGGCUAAGGCGAGAGUGAAGACGAGAGGCAGAAGGGAGAACGGUGGCGGCGCCAAGGCACAUUUAUAGGCAGUUGUCCACCAAUGGGCAGAUCCGAUAAAUGAGGUAACUCCCCCCAUAAAUGCACCGUCUAAUGGUCCUUUCCCUCCUCACAGGUGGGGCGCUCCGAAUUCCACGCCGACGCAGUGUCGUAACGUCUCCCACCUAAAAAGGCGCGCCCAACGGGCAAGAAGGCAAACCGCCCACGGUCUUUUCCUUCCCUUGUAAGCCAAGGAGUGUACCCGUGAAAGCCUCGAGAGGUCGCAGGCUGGCCCACCGAAAGGGUUCGACAGCCGAUCUCGAGCACCAGAGUCAGGGAUCCCCAGCGAGUGGUCGAAGAUCGAGGCCCGUCUCGAAGACUUGCUGGGGAUGUCCAAGGUAGGGUCGAGAAAGUCGAGAGGAAUCCCCCCAACGGGAGGCAUCGAGCCGCUGGACUCUAUCGAAUGAGACCAGUAUCCCCGACCACAUCGACCCUGCUUUAUGAGAACGCCUCCGGACUACAGCUGACCCCCUCGAAAAGGGGCACAGGUUCUCACUUGGACUAUCUGCUAGAAACUCGACUUGGGGUGGAAGACGCUCGCUCUAUCGAGAGUACGUCGAAACCCCCGCACAAAACAAGCCAAUCAGGACCUUCCACCACCGGUGUCGAUAGCGAUUCUGAGAGUUAGGCAAUAUAACCCUCGAAGGAGUCAAAAACUCCUCCAAGGGUUCGGGGGCUACCCCCGUGGGGUCGCUCGCGCGCCCCCACGGAAAUUCGACCGCAAAAUAAAGCCUCCACUCGAGCACCAGCGCUCGAAUGGAGACUCGGGGGCUACUGUCGAGGGUAUCAGUAAGGGGUACCCUAACUGACGCACAUAACGAGAUUACCCGUGCACAGAUCGAGGCCCUCAACUCGACGUACUAAUAAGCCGUGCGGUCAUCGACGGCCGCAGCCUCGAAGACGUAAAUGACGUCGAGCGAACCACUCAAGGGUCCAGCGCUAACUACCGUCGAAUACGGAAAUGGGCUCGAGCGAAUCGGGAGGCGUCGAGCGCAAGGACACUGUCCGCCGCUUGACGCGCGCCCGAGAGCCAGGGCAUUUAAUGCGCCUAUCACUUUCCCACCUAACACGUUGGUCACGGGAAGCGUGAUAGGGAACAGGCACCCGUCCCAUCAUUCUUUUUGCAGCUUUCCCCACCAAACGGCUCAGAGCGUACCAGGACGCGGGAAGCAGGGAUGGAGCGUCUAAUCUGGACCUCCUCGAGACACCCAAGGUCAACGCUUUGGACAACAAGGCAGUGCACGGCGUCUAACCCUCGACCAGGCAUGAUUCCUGCCUGGGGAAGAGUUGGGCAUCGACUGACAACACCGCAGCCACUCCGCCAGAUCUGCCGCUAUACCGUACAGGCGUGCGACCGGUGAACCAGCCCGAGACGGCGCGCAGAGCAGGAUACUGUUGACGGUCCUUAAUGCUCAUAUUUAACCAUCAACUAAUCAUAGAAAAGGAUCCAAAUGCAACCAACACCUAGACUUAGGGUUUUAUCUGACAGAAUUCCACGAGUUUUGGUGUUUGUCUAUUUCUGCAGGGGGUUAUCAGGAAAUACGGAAGAAAGGCCCACACGUCGGGAUUACAUAGAGAUAUUAACGUGCCGUGCAAUUUUCUAUCAUCUAGAAGACUCCAGAAGCCACAGGAACGAACGGGAGGCCUAGCGGGCCCGGAGGCAGGGCGCCCGCCCUACCCCCCUGGGCGCCCGCCCUCCUCUGCUGGCCAAUCAGCACGAGUCUCGGGGAUUAUGCCCCAUCGACUCUAAGGAUCGAGGAAAAUCACACGAUGAAGGUCGGUUUGAUCGGAUGGUGGAGAAUAACGUGGAAAUUCCUUGGGAGCUACUCUUCCUAGAUUUCUUGGGGGCUACUCUUCCUAGAUUUCUUGGGGGCUACUCUUCCUGGACUAUAUAAGCAGACCCCCACCAGCCCCUGGAGGCAUACCUCUUCUACGGAAUCAAAGCUAGGGUUUCAAUUCUUCAUCCAAUUAGAGAGGAUCCCUCUAGUUAUUCUAGUUCUACCUCUAGUUCAUCUAGAUCUAGUUCUAGUUCAUCUAGUUCUAGUUCUAGUUCCUCUAGUUCUAGUUCUAGUUAGUUCUAGUUGUAAUCUAGAAAAUAGGGAGAGAGAAGAGGAGAGCGGAGGAGGAGCCGGAUCUGUCGGAUCUUCCUCAACAUUGUACUUUUGCAGCAUCUGGUUCGUUCUUCAUCGUUCUCCAGGUUCUUCAACUCAUAACUCCUGAGUUCUCUAAUUAUUUUUAUUUACAUUCAAGUUAUUUAUUGGAUUCCCGCUUGCAUCAAGUGCUCUAGUCUUUGAAACAUUAGAGUAGUAAUUAAUAGAUUAGACGUGGUGUUUAGUCUUGCGAUUACCUGGAAUUGCACCCAAUCCUACGGAUUGUUGUGGUAGCCCUAGGGUAGUGACAGCCCUAACGGUCGACGUAUUCCACCACGUUCGGAUCGGUGUUUGUAGGACCGUAGUCAGACCUUCCUAGCCCCCUUCUCAUCUCUUUCUGUGGUUAGUGCUCUAAUGUCCCGAUAUAGAUAAUCUUGAAGUAAUCCUUGAUUCUUAGAUCAACUAGAGAACUCUCAGGAAACUUCCUCUCUUCCCACCAAAAAUAAUUAUAUAGUUAUCCUUGGGCGAUCUUGAAUCUUAAUUAGUACACUCACGUUCUCUGUGGAAAAUCGAUACUCUGGAAUACUCCCGGGUGAAAGCUACAUCGGUAUCCGUGCGCUUGCGGAUUUUUUCUGUUUGCGUUUAAAAUACCCAACAAGCUUUCUGGCGCCGUUGCCGGGGAACGGUAGCUGUGCUAGUUUCGAACCAAGUCGUCCGUGUAUCCUUUUUCUUUUCCUUUUAUACCACACUCACCUUACCAUUUUCACCACACCACAUGGAUUUCACUCCUAUCUAUAAAUUCUUUGCUCCAAAGGGCGAGUUGUUAGAACCACCACCAUCAUCACAUCCAAUUCUUACAGAUGGCUACGACCUCGGCCCUGAUCUAAUUGCCAUGAUUCAGGAGCAAUCCUUCUCUGGGCAAGUAGAUGAAGAUCCAUACACCCACCUUAGAGAAUUUGAGCAGUUGUGCUCUUGCUGAUCUAUUUUCGGCAUGACACAAGAAACCCUUAAAUGGAAAUUAUUUCCGUUCUCCCUUUUGGGAAGAGCAAAAAAGUGGUAUGCUCAUUCUGUAGGAGGCGUUAAUGGAAGUUGGGAAGAACUUCGAGACAACUUUUGUCUCGCUUUCUUCCCACUUUUUCGAAUUGCUGACCUUAGAAUUGAAAUUCUUACAUUCAAACAAAGAGAGAAGGAAACUUUAGGAGCAGCUUGGGCUAGGUUCACAAGCCUUACCAAUUCCGGUCCAAACCUUUCCCUGCCUGACCAUGUACUGUACUACCACUUUUAUCGUGGUCUAAGCAAGGAGGCUGCUCUUCACCUCGACAUUGCUUCAGGAGGCUCAUUCACACACAAGCUCACAGAUGAGGGGAGAGCUAUCCUAGAGAGAAUCCUUGAAAAUACCCCUUACACAGGCAUUUAUGAUGAGUUUCCUGAAGAAGAAAAAGAAGUUGAGCCUAAUCCUAAACCAAAAGAAGAGGAACUUGCAACCGAGUUAGAAAUUCCACCUGACCCACCUAUUAAUUUGGUUGUAGAGAAACCUCCUGAUAAGGGAAUGCAAAACCAACUAAAGGAUGAUGAACCACCACCUUUACAGCAUCCCUUUGAAUUCGAGGAAGAUCUUUUUGAAGAUUAUGGAAACACCUCAAAUUUUCCUAUCCAAACACGACCUCUAGCAAGGACCACUCAAUCCAUUCUAAGAGUAGAAUCUGUUGACAUAGAACACAUCAAAAGCCUUUCGGCUAUUCUGAGUUAUGAAUGGCUAACAGAAGCAGAGCUGUCUCCUGAGGUAGCUCGAAUCAUCACUCCUUCAACCAUUCUUCUGUGCCAAAUUAGAAGGUCCGCUAGGAAGGUCCACUACAAUCCAUAUGUUGGGAUAAAUGUUAUUUCCAAGGAGUUAGCUGACACUCUUUAUCCCAACGAGUCCAUAACCCCAUCUCAAAAACUUUUACAAAGUCCAUCUAGAUUAAUUCUAGAAAUCCAUGGGGUAUUAAGGGCAGUUCCUGUUAGAAUCAAGGACUCUGGAAUAUGUCUAGAUUUUCACAUUUUUGACAUACAUGAGAUUCCUCUCUUGAUUGGUAGACCAAUCAUAAAACUUCUACAUGAACAACCACAACGAGGUCAUUUAGACUUCAAGGUUGGGAAUUCCACUAUUGUUGUUCCUCUUGCUAGAUCAAUUAACACGAUAGUGGAACCCAAACUUGACCCAGAUCCUAUUGAGGAGAUCUUAAUGGUGACUCAAGAGGAGAUGACCCAACCAUUCUUUAAUCAUGAACACUUUGUUCAAGAAGAAGAAGAGUUGGUAGAACCCGUUGAGCUAGAUAAAAAUGAACAACCUUCACCUCCUUCGAUAGAGUUAAAACCUCUUCCUUCUGGCCUUAGAUAUAUCUUCUUGCACAACAACCCAAACACUCUAGUAAUUAUCAGUGACAAGCUUUCCGAUUAUGAAACACAACAACUUGUCACUGUUCUUGAAAGACAUAGAUCAGCAUUUGGCUACUCUCUCGAGGAUCUCACGGGCAUUAGUCCCAUUCUCUGCACUCAUCGUAUCCCUAUUGAUCCCAAUUUUACACCUUCCAGGGAACCACAACGGAGACUUAACAAUGCUAUGCGAGAGGUUGUUAAGAAAGAGGUCCUGAAACUCUAUCAUGCUGGGAUUAUUUAUCCUGUGCCACAUAGUGAGUGGGUUAGCCCUGUCCAAGUAGUGCCAAAGAAAGGAGGAAUGACGGUCGUUAGGAAUGAGAAGAAUGAACUCAUCCCUCAACGAAUUGUCACUGGGUGGCGUAUGUGUAUUGACUAUCGAAAACUCAAUAAGGCUACAAAGAAAGAUCACUUUCCGUUACCCUUCAUUGAUGAAAUGUUGGAACGGCUUGCAAACCACUCUUUCUUUUGUUUCCUUGAUGGUUAUUCUGGAUAUCACCAAAUCCCAAUCCACCCAGAUGACCAAGAAAAGACUACCUUUACAUGCCCAUAUGGAACUUGUGCAUACCGACGAAUGUCGUUCGGAUUGUGCAAUGCUCCAGCUUCUUUCCAACGGUGCAUGAUGUCUAUUUUCUCGGACAUGAUUGAGAAGAUCAUGGAGGUUUUCAUGGAUGAUUUUACCGUCUAUGGCAAAACCUUCGAUCAUUGUUUGGAGAAUUUAGAUAGAGUCUUGCAGCGAUGUGAAGAAAAGCAUUUAAUCCUGAACUGGGAGAAAUGCCAUUUUAUGGUUCAGGAAGGAAUAGUGCUAGGACAUAAAGUGUCCGAACGUGGUAUAGAGGUGGACAAAGCAAAGAUUGAAGUUAUUGAAAAACUUCCACCUCCCACGAAUGUGAAAGGAAUCCGUAACUUUUUGGGACAUGCAGGGUUCUAUAGACGCUUUAUCAAAAAUUUCUCUCAAAUUGCUAGACCCCUAACUAAUCUCCUAGCUAAGGAUGCACCUUUCAUCUUUAGUGAUGAGUGUCAUGGAUCUUUUCAAACUCUUAAGAAAGCACUCAUCUCAGCCCCGAUUAUCCAACCACCUGAUUGGAAUCUUCCUUUUGAGAUCAUGUGUGAUGCUAGCGAUUUUGCGGUUGGGGCCGUUUUAGGACAAACCAAGGAUAGAAAGCAUUAUGCCAUAUCCUACGCUAGCAAAACCUUGUCUGGACCACAGCUCAAUUACACUACAACUGAAAAAGAGCUUUUGGUUGUUGUCUUUGCUAUAGACAAGUUUAGAUCUUACUUAGUGGGGGCGAAGAUAAUCAUCUAUUCAGACCAUGCUGCUCUCAAGUACCUCCUCACUAAGAAAGAUGCUAAGCCUCGUCUAAUUCGGUGGAUUCUUCUACUCCAAGACUUUGACAUAGAAAUCCGAGAUAGGAAGGGACUUGAGAAUUCUGUAGCCAACCACUUGUCUAGGCUUCAAUAUAAGGAAACACAUGAUGAGCUUCCCAUAAAUGACUACCUAAGGGAUGACACCCUACUUAAGAUAACACAUGCAGAUCCAUGGUACGCAGACAUCGUAAACUUUAUAGUAAAAGGCUAUGUCCCACCUGGUGCAAACAAAAGGAAGUUACUUCACAAUAGUCGUUUCCACCUUUGGGAUGAGCCAUAUCUUUUCCGAGUCUGCGCUGAUGGACUCUUGAGAAGGUGUGUUCCUAUGGCUGAGGCUACUCAAAUUAUGGAAAGAUGCCAUGCCUCGCCAUAUGGAGGACACUAUGGAGCAUUUCGGACACAUGCUAAAAUUUGGCAAAGUGGUUUUUUCUGGCCAACGAUGUAUGAAGAUACAAAGGACUUUGUCAGGAGAUGCCACCGGUGUCAAAAACAUGGGAAUAUUAACUCACGAAAUGAAAUGCCUCUCACAAAUAAUCUUCAAGUAGAACUUUUCGAUGUUUGGGGCAUUGAUUUCAUGGGGCCAUUCCCUAUGUCCGGGAAUUGCGAGUAUAUCUUAGUAGCUGUGGACUACGUGUCCAAAUGGGUAGAAGCCCUACCUUGUCGAUCAGCUGAUUCAAAACAUGCCAAGAGAAUGUUCCAUGAAGUAAUCUUUCCUCGCUUUGGUAUACCCCGGAUAGUUAUAAGCGAUGGAGGUUCUCACUUCAUCGACAAAAUCUUCCGAAAGUACUUAGCUGAUCAUGGAGUUCGACACAACGUUGCAACACCAUACCAUCCUCAGACUAGCGGUCAAGCCGAAACAUCUAAUAAACAAAUCAAAAAUAUUUUACAAAAGACCGUAGAUGAGAUGGGUAAGGGGUGGAAGGACAAACUUCCUGAUGCACGUUGGGCAUAUAGAACUGCAUUCAAAACACCCAUAGGCAUGUCACCUUAUCAACUUGUAUAUGGAAAAACUUGUCAUUUGCCUUUGGAAGUAGAGUUUAAGGCUCAUUGGGCACUCAAGAAAUGGAACAUGGAUCACCACCUUGCUAGCGAUAAUCGUCUGAUGCAACUAUCUGAGCUAGAAGAAUGGAGAGAGAAAGCCUACCACAAUUCAAGGAUCUAUAAAGAAAGAACAAAACGAUGGCAUGAUAAGAGAAUCAAGCACAAGGAGUUUAAGCCUGGAGAUAAGGUUCUACUAUUCAAUUCUAGAGUUAAGCUCUUUGGGCAUGGUAAGCUACGAAGUAAGUGGGAUGGACCAUACAAGGUUAUUGACACUUCAACUCAUGGAGCCAUUACCAUCCAAGACGACCUAGGUAACACCUUUAAGGUAAAUGAUCAACGCUUGAAAAUCUAUCUUGAGCCACAAAACAACCUGGCAGAGGAGCUUGAUGUGAUUGAGUUUAUAGAAUUCUCAUAUUAAGCUCUCAUAAGCUCUAGACAAUUACCUAACCCUUAACAUGUUCCACAAGUUUUGUUGUCUAUUUGGGUUGUGCAGGAUUUUGAGGCUUAAGAAGAGUGAGACCGAACAUGCAGGCCACCAGAGUGAACGACUAUGUCAACAUCCAGCUUGGGCGAGGCACCCCAACAUGUAUCUAGAUAAGUAUUACUUUUCUUUCUUGGUUUUAUUUAUUAGUAUUCGGAAAAAAAAAUGCAUAACCAUGAAACCAAACAAAGUUUUUCUUUUGAGUAAUAUACAAUAGUUUUGUGUAAUCCUAAGUUUUAAAUAAAAUAAAAAGAAAGUUUGAUUCAAGUCUAGGUAAUUGACAAACAUGAUAUUUGCAGGUCUGAGCUACUAUUUAACUUGUUCCAAGUUUUGCUAGAGUUCUGGAGAUUUUUUCUUUUGAAAAUCUAAAAAUUCAUAAAAUAUAUAUAUAUAUAUAGAUCAUAAUACCUAGAGUCUUAUAUAAAUAUUAAAACUGUGGGCACUUGCUUUGUUGAAGCCAUUGUUAAUUCUUGUAGUUUUGGUUGAGAGAAUUAUCAUGCUCCAAAGAUCAAGAUCUUUUUGUUUUAAUAAAAAUAUAAAAGAUUCACUCUUCCGAAGUAUUAUUGCGUUAGAGGCAUGGGAAUAUGUAAAAAUUUGAUUCAAAAGAAAAAAAAGUGAGACGAGAGGUAAAAAUGGACAAGUGUCCGAAGUAGAAUUAGGGGUACAAAGAUACCCACCUGAGUGGAAAAACUGGACAUGUGUCCGACAGUAGAAUUAGGGGUACUUGCUGCCCACUCAAAAAAAAGAGACUGAAAAAAAAAGAGAAAAAAAAUGAUAGCCCAUGGUCCCUCUAAUAAGCAAUAUGCCAUUAAGAGAUGACAAACUUCUCAAAAAGGUCAAAGGUCUUGAUCUAGGAGUAUGACAUUCCUCUCCCUUACUCCGAGCGUUGACAUAGCAAAAUGCAAAGUAAGUAUGCUAAAACUUUUAAAGCUCUACUUAUAUAUCUUUCGAGAAGAAGGCAAAUACCUCAGUUUUAUUUUACAGACUCAUAAAAAAAAACUCCAGAACAAAGGUAAGACAGAAGAACUUGAGACGUAGUGCUUGACUUGAUCAUUCUGUUUUUCAAUCACUUAAGACCUUAGUGAUAAAUUAAAAACCCUGUAGUAAGAGGCAUAAAAGUAACCCCUGUUUUCUUGUUGAUUUUAGCUUUGCUCAGGGAUGAGCAAAGGUUAAGCUUGGGGGAGCUUGCUAACGGUCCUUAAUGCUCAUAUUUUACCAUCAACUAAUCAUAGAAAAGGAUCCAAAUGCAACCAACACCUAGACUUAGGGUUUUAUCUGACAGAAUUCCACGAGUUUUGGUGUUUGUCUAUUUCUGCAGGGGGUUAUCAGGAAAUACGGAAGAAAGGCCCACACGUCAGGAUUACAUAGAGAUAUUAACGUGCCGUGCAAUUUUCUAUCAUCUAGAAGACUCCAGAAGCCACGGGAACGAACGGGAGGCCUAGCGGGCCCGGAGGCAGGGCGCCCGCCCUACCCCCCUGGGCGCCCGCCCUCCUCUGCUGGCCAAUCAGCACGAGUCUCGGGGAUUAUGCCCCACCGACUCUAAGGAUCGAGGAAAAUCACACAAUGAAGGUCGGUUUGAUCGGAUGGUGGAGAAUAACGUGGAAAUUCCUUGGGAGCUACUCUUCGUAGAUUUCUUGGGGGCUACUCUUCCUAGAUUUCUUGGGGGCUACUCUUCCUGGACUAUAUAAGGAGACCCCCACCAGCCCCUGGAGGCAUACCUCUUCUACGGAAUCAAAGCUAGGGUUUCAAUUCUUCAUCCAAGUAGAGAGGAUCCCUCUAGUUCUUCUAGUUCUACCUCUAGUUCAUCUAGAUCUAGUUCUAGUUCUAGUUCCUCUAGUUCUAGUUCUAGUUAGUUAUAGUUGUAAUCUAGAAAAUAGGGAGAGAGAAGAGGAGAGCGGAGGAGGAGCCGGAUCUGUCGGAUCUUCGUCAACAUUGUACUUUUGCAGCAUCUGGUUUGUUCUUCAUCGUUCUCCAGGUUCUUCAACUCAUAACUCCUGAGUUCUCUAAUUACUUUUAUUUACAUUCAAGUUAUUUAUUGGAUUCCCGCUUGCAUCAAGUGCUCUAGUCUUUGAAACAUUAGAGUAGUAAUUAAUAGAUUAGACGUGGUGUUUAGUCUUGCGAUUACCUGGAAUUGCACCCAAUCUUACGGAUUGUUGUGGUAGCCCUAGGGUAGUGACAGCCCUAACGGUCGACGUAUUCCACCACGUUCGGAUCGGUGUUUGUAGGACCGUAGUCAGACCUUCCUAGCCCCCUUCUCAUCUCUUUCUGUGGUUAGUGCUCUGAUGUCCCGAUAUAGAUAAUCUUGAAGUAAUUCUUGAUUCUUAGAUCAACUAGAGAACUCUCAGGAAACUUCCUCUGUUCCCACCAAAAAUAAUUAUAUAGUUAUCCUUGGGCGAUCUUGAAUCUUAAUUAGUACACUCACGUUCUCUGUGGAAAAUCGAUACUCUGGAAUACUCCCGGGUGAAAGCUACAUCGGUAUCCGUGCGCUUGCGGAUUUUUUCUGUUUGCGUUUAAAAUACCCAACAGAUACGAGGGCACGCGUAAUCAUCAUCAAGCUACCAAGACGGGACGGCUUGAGACCACGCCGGUACGGAGGCCUCGAGUAGGUCAGCGCGCCAUGCCUCUAUCGACCCCUACACUGACACCUAUACGUGUACCCUAGGUCUCUCCUUGGAGCAGAAAAGGGGAGACCCGAGAAUAGACACACAUCACCACACAACGCUACACCCGCACGUAGUAGAGACUCCACACUCCAUUCUACCCGAGCUUGUAUUCACCCCUGUACAAGCACUUAGGUGCAAAAUAAUACAAACUCUCCCCCCCCCCCGCUGGACGUAGGGCCUUCUCUUGCCCGAACCAGGAUAAAUCUUUGUGUGUCUUUUUGCAUCACCAUUUGGGAAAGGGAGCACGCAUACAAAUUUACUCGUUGGUGUGACCCCCCGUGUGGAAAACACCGACAAUAUUUCUGUUUUCCCUUGUGAAAUAAAUGCUCAAGUUAUCUUGUUACUACCACUUGUACGAGGAAAUAAAAAGGGGCAAGUGCCCGGAACCUCGAAAGAAAAAAAAGAAAAGUGAGACGAGAGGUAAAAAUGGACAAGUGUCCGACAGUAGAAUUAGGGGUACAAGAUACCCACCUGAGAGAAAAGAAAAAAAAAGAAGAGCAUCUCAUUCUCCUCAUAAAGUUUCAAAAAGCAAGGAAGGUAUGUAUCCCCUCAAGGAGCAAAAGUAGAAUUAGACUUCCACCAUUGUUAUCACCAUCAUCACCAUACACCAUUCAUUCGCCACACAUGCACAUCUUGAUUUGACUUAUUGAUUUGUUUCUUUGGAUCCAUGGUUUGACUAUGCAAUAAAUGUCUUGUAAGUAUGUAUAUUUUAUCUCCCACCUAUGAGCUCCAGCUAUUAAAGCCUUAUUAGAGUAGGGUGAGAGAGAAGGCAAUGUCACUAUGCUUUAUACCACAAAUACUACAUAUCUUGAGAGAAGGCAUAUACCAUCACUGCCUUGAUAAGGAUCCAGAAAUACCACAAAAGAGAGAUAUGAGAGAAUCAUACAAGGAAUCUCUGAGUUUUAUUUCAAAAUCUGCAAAAAACCCCAGAGCUAUAGCUGAUCAAGAAUAAGAGACAUGGCACUUGACUAGACUGUUCUAUCUUUUAACUACUCAAGACAGAAGUGACAGUUACAAGUCCCAUGGUGUAGGUAAAGUAAGUAAGUUUUAAGUCUUGACAGUUUACUCUAACUCAGAGAUGAGAUCUUAUUUAAAAAGCAUGUGUACCGUCAAUUUUUAAAGAUAUUGCAACAACUUAUGAUCCAUAGCUGAAUCUAUCCUUGCUCAGGGACGAGCAAGAGGUAAGCUUGGGGGAGUUUGUUGACGAUCCUUAAGUAUCAAAUUUAAUUAUCAAAUAAACAAAGAAAAGGAUCCAAAUGAAAUCAACAUCUAGACUUAGGGUUUUAUCUGAUAGAAUUCCAUGAGUUUUGGUGUUUGUCUAUUUCUACAGGGGGUUAUCAGGAAAUACGGAAGAAAGGCCCACACGUCGGGAUUACAUAGAGAUAUUAACGUGCCGCGUAAUUAUCUUACAUCUAGAAGACUCCAGAAGCCACGAGACCGAAGCGGAGGCGAAACGGGGCCAGAGGCAGGGCGCCCGCCCUGUUCCCCUAGGCGCCCGCCCACCUCUAGAGUCCAAUCAGGACUCUGCUUCGUGGGAGAUCUCCACCGACCUAAAGGAUGAAUCUAAACCAUACAAUCUAUGUCGGUUUGAUCCAACGGCCCAUAUUCACUUGAAGGGACUAUAAAACCAGACCCCUUGGCCCCUAGAGGCGAGAGCCCCUCAACCCUAAUUCAUUGUUCUUCAAGGGAGAAGAAGCCUCUGAUCAAGAUUAGAGCCACCACAUCAAUUAGAUAUCUAGAUUAGCAUAGCUACAUAGGAUUAAAACUAGAAGUAGUCAAUCUUCGAUUGGUUUCCGGAUCUGUCAGGAGGAUUCUUGGUAAUUCUCUAAUUGUGCUUCUAAUUGUUCUUCUAAUUAUCUUUGUUCUUCAAUAUUAUGAAUAUGACUUUGUUCUACUUCAAUAUAUUGCUUAUGACUUUGCUCUACUUGCUUAUAUUUAAGAAUAUAUUGUUCUUAGUUUAUCAUAGGUAUGUACUUGGCUUAGUUAGAUUGGAUCUAUAUACAUGCUUAGGAUCGUAUAGCGUUUAUCCAUCGGAUCCAUGGGUAAAUGGUAGAUAUUGUGUAGACAUGGUGCUUAUACCGUAUUUAUCCGCGAUUGUACCUAAUAUGCCAGAACGUGGGGUAGUUCGUGAUAGUGACAGCUUCAUUGAUUCUUAUAUAGUCCCCCUCUCGUGUAUUGGGCUGGUAGAGCAAUAUUAUUACAGGGGAGUGAUUGCUAUGUUUCUCAUUUACCUUGCUAAUAUCACUAUGCAUGGGCGUAGUCUUGUCUCACAAUGAUUGCUAAGUAUGCUUGCACUAACUAUGAUAUGCUAGACUAUAUAGUUGAGAAUAACUUAGGGAAUAUUCUUGUAGUUCGUUCUAAUACCAAGCUAAUGACUUUCUAGAGUAUCUAAUUGAGGUGCUUAUCAUAUUUAUUAUGUGGCUAGAUCAGACUAAUUAUCUUUGUCACUAUUCAUUAUUUCAUAUAUCUUUUAUGUGACCUUUAUCCCUAUAUGAAAGUGUUAGAUAUAAUGUUCUCAAUUAUACAUGCAAUGAUAGAUGCUCAAUCUCAUAUUCUAUAUUGUAAUCAAUAGUGAUGAUUGUUAAUCCCUUCCCAGUGGUAAAAAUAUAAAUAACGAUACCUGGAAUACUUCCCGGUUAAAAUGCUGCAUCGGUAUUAAUCUGUGCGCUUGCAGAUCCCAUUCAUUAUUUAUUUAGAAGAGCAAUUGCAUAUUUCAAUACCGCGUCUCUUAUAUCAUGCUGGGGAUGACAACUUGGCUUAAGUGGUGUGAGGGAUAGGUUUGACAUUUUUGGCACCGUUACUAGAUUUAGAGAACUUAGUCUACUUUUGGUAAUGAUGUUAAGAAUACCCAACACUUAGUACCUGCACUUGAGUCUUAAGUAAUUGAAAGACAAAAUUAUUAAGUCAAGCACUAUUCCUCCUGUCUAUACUUCACUGUAACACCCUAAAAUUUACUCUUUUUGAAAUAUAGAUAAAAUUAUUUAAUUUUGUAUUUUUGUGCUCAUGAAAAUAUAGGAAAAAUAAUAUUUUUCAUUAAAUUAAAAUUUAUCAUAAGGCUUAGCAAUAUUAUUAUGCAUACAUGCUGGUGUAUAUAUUUUGAUGCGAUGCUUGUUGCUCCUUUAUGUGUUCAUAGUAACAAAAAUAUUUAAAAUACAUUUAGUAGAUCGAUCUUCCUUAUUCGGCACGUAUUUAUCUUUUAUCCAAGUUUAAAUGUCAUAUCUCAGGUUCUACUUGUCCAAUAAAGUUCCAGCUUAUACCGUUGGAAAGCUUAGCAAAUUGUCUAAUACUUUUCUAUAGAACACUUUUCCAAAUUCUACAGUUAUAUAUGUCUAAACAGUAAGCAACCGAAACUGGUCUAGAUUCUUGACAGCCCAUCUGUAUCAUCUUGUGAUUUUUGUAACUUCCAAAUCAUAAUAGCUAUGAGGGUGAUUCUUGCGGUCAGAGAAAGACCUUGAAGUCUAGUUGUUCCUAGAAAAAUUUGAUAAACUUUGCAUGAACAGAACUUGAGAUACACCAGCAUUAUGGCAGACUACUCGAGAAAUCAGUAUGGGAUAGAAACAAGAGAUACCCAAACCCAACUGCUUAUUUUAUUACUCCUUAUGCCUUAGGCCUAUAAACCAAAUGAUAUUAUGAAGAAAUCCCACAACAUCAUCGCACUCAUUACAAAGAUCCAAAUCAAGCAUAAGCAUAAUAACAAACCAAUUAAGCAUUGAAGGUUCACACUUCACUCAACUUGCGAUACUAUCGUUCUCUUCAUAAUAAGGGUAAGGAUCCUAAGAUUCUCUUUCAACUACGUAAAGCAGGUGGUAAGAAAAGAUUCUAAUAGCAUACCAAAUCAAGGAGUGAAGGUGGGAACAAGUACUUUUAAAAUAAGCAACAAGGUAAGGAUGAAUAGCGAUGGAAAGGAUAUAGUGUAGAGAAAAAUAUCAAGGCUUACAAAACAAGGAUUUUAUAACAAUUUCAAAACCUUAAGACGGCCAAUUUCUAACUAGGCUUGCAUCCUACAGCCAGCAUUGCUUUGAUACCACUUUGUAAUACCUGAUUUUAAAGACAAAACAAGAUAUGCACCAUAUGCGAGUUUUAAAAGCCAAGUCUCACAUAUAGCUACAAAUAAGGGGUAAUAUCAAAAGACAAUGCAUAAAUUAUAUAACAUACUUAGUAUAAAAGAGAUAACCUUUGAUAAAAAAUAGAGGUUAGACAACUCCAAACUUCGGGUAUUAACUUCACUCUACAGGAUCCAACUGACUGGUUGAUCACAAGCCCAAAACUUCUCCUGAGGUGUGGGGGAUAUUGCAAGAGUGAGCACAUAUCGUACUCAACAAGUAUAACCAGGGGUUCAUGAGCCUCAAAUAGCUGACACUGGUUUGACUACAUGUAGCUUUUAUAUGUAGAUAGCAUAUUUAUCAUUGGAUAGCAAAUGUCAAGGUAGCAUAACUAAAUCCCAUAACCACAUGAUCAAUGUAUACAAAAAUUAAGAAUAACACAUAUAAACAACAUAAUAAACCAUCCUUUAUUAUCAUUAAUCAUGUUCAUCAGUGUCCAUCUAUUCCGUCAGUUUGUAUCCGUGGGCACGGCUAGUAUACCAGAUUUAACACUCUGCAGAGAUUGUACAUCUUUACCCAUGAGUCAUGAUUUACCCUUUCGCCCGAGGCCCGUCGACCUCUUAGCUCACUUCCGAGGAAAGCCGGCAGGGUUCACUAUGAAGUCUUUCAAAGGUUCGUCUAACAAGUUAGGGCCGCAAGGUUUCCUUUGCACGCAGAUAUAGAUACCCCAUUCAAAAUGGCACAAUGACGCCCAGCCUAUACACAUAAGGACAGGGGCUCGCACUAUACCCAAAACGGUUCAGCCCCUCCGCCCUUUCGGGUAACCUCUAAUAAGCUAGAAAAGCUUACUCAUACUUGACUGAAGCCAGAGCCAUAUAGCCCUCAUGGUUGUACGAGUUGUCCCAGCUUUUGCCAAGGGGUAAGUCCUUAUGGAGGGUCAAGAUCAAUCCAACAAAAGCCAAAGUUCUUUCCACCCUUUAUAUUCAAGUUGCUAGAAAGCUUAUUUUAUUGUUUAUUGUAUAUUCAAAUAUUCAUGUUAAAAGAUCAUGGAUUAUAUUCAAGCACUAGCAAGAACUACCCAAAUGCAUAUCCAAAAUAGGCAACAAGGAAUUCAGGAUAACAAUCAUCUAUGAUUUUGCUAAGGUCAUCAAGGUGGACACAUGCAUAUGAUAAAUGUUAUAUUAAUUGUGUAUAGGAAACAAGGAUGAUCCCCAGUUAUACUUGCCUUGAUCAUAGCUCUCCUGAGCCUGCUGCUGGUCGUCAAAAGCUUGACCUUGAUCACCAAUGUAAAGCUCACCGACUAAACUCGAUCAUCAAUCAACAACACGCAAUCCAAUGUAGACAAUCAUACACGAAGCAAACAAGUUAUAAUUAGAACAAUACACCAAACAGCGAUAAAACAAAUAUAAAAGUUUAUCAAAAUAUUCUACGCAACGCUACGAUCACAUAAACGUAAAGUUCGCGAAAAUCGGAGCUAAAACCGAAAAGUUAUGAAUUUUCUAAGAUUUUAUGUAGAAAAGAAAUUAAUUAAUUAAAGUCACGAAAUUAAAAAGUUUGAAACUGACUAAUCAAUUUUACUAACAUGUAGAGCUCAUGAUUAUGAACCUAACGCAAUUUGAAUGGGUCAAAACGGAAUUAAAAUGAAUAUUUUAUGAUCAAUUUAAAUCCAGUGGCAAUUCUGUAAAUAGCGAAAACGUAAUUAGAACUGAGCCGAGAGAAAAUACGCUUUCAAAAUUGAGAAACGGCUUUCCCAGAUGACGCCAAGGGCCGCGGGUUGAGCAUUGAAUCUUCCAGGGGCUCUUUAAGAAAAACACCAGCGAAGGGGUAUCUUCUAAUCUGGAUCGUUGAUCCACGAUCCAACGACUGAGAUUCGAUCUAGGGGGAGGGAGAGGGGAUGGCUGGCCGGAACAGAAACAACGGCGAGGUGGCGCCAUUGACGAGAGUCCUGCUCCUCGCCGGCGUUUGUGGAGAAGGUGCUAGGGACCAUGGUUUUCGAUGGGAAAAGAACCAGGGCGUAGAGGACCUCUGUGCGAACUCACCUAGGGGCUUCACGGGUCGGGGAGGAGCUCGGAAAAGGAUGUUCGACGCGAGGUGGCGCUCGGGUGCUCUGCAGACAGUUCGGCGAAGGUUUAAGAGCAAUAGAUCGCGCUAGAGAGUAAAAGGAAGGGCUCAGCAUCUUCUUCACCUCAACCCGAAGCUCGGCAAGUGGUUUUCGGUGCUCUGGACGCAGCAGGUGGCGAAGCCCACGACGGCGGCGAAUUCGUUCAUCGGAGAGAUCUGAACCGAGGUGAGAGAGCUGUUGGGGCGGCUUCACGUCGCGUUAAAUGGAAGAGGGGGUCGAGAGGGAGGGCACCGGGCUUUAUUGGCCUGGAGAAGAUCUCCUAACGCGCGAAAUCCCGACCUGAGCGGGAUUCGGUUUCCACCGAGAGCCCGGGGUCGGUGUGGACUCGAGGGAGAAGAAAGGAAGGGUGGGAGGGGAGACUGACACACGGGCCCGCGAUGUCAGCGAACAGAGAGAGGAAGGGGAGGUAAGGGCGCGCGGGUGGGCUGUUGGGCCGAAGCAAGCUGGGCCGCGGGAAAAGAAGGAGGAGGCCUUCAGGCCGAUUUUCCAGGGAGAGGUGAGGGUUUCCUAUUAUUUUUUUUCUUUUCUUUUCUUUAUUUCAAAGCCAUUUUCAAAUUCGUUUUAAAAUCACUUUGAAUUAUUUUUUAACUUUAAUAAAACCACUCAGCACAAUAAUUAAAAUGCAUAAGCAUGAGUGCACAAAAAUGUUGCUACACCCUAUGAUUGAUUUUAAUUGACUAAAAAUAUUAUUUUUCCUAUAUUUUCAUGGGCACAAAAUACAAAAUUAUAUCAUUUUUCUCCUAUUUAAAAAGUUGUAAAUUUUUGGCUGUUACACUUAGCUUGUGUAAUGCAAUCUCUUAUUGCCUGAUCUCUGAAUCUUUUGCUUAAAAUCAUGUCACAACUCAAUCUCUGAUCGGUGUAGCGUUUUUACCUUUGGAGUUUGCUUAAUUCAUCUCCAACCUCCCCAAGUCUUGGGAUUCUUAUCGGCUUUGAUCUCAUGUUCCUACCCAACAUGACCGCAUCUCAUAAAUUCAUUGUUGGGUAAUGGCCUUUAUAGGCAUAAGGCGUAUCCAUUUCUGUCUUAUGCCGUGUUCUCAUCCUUUAACCUUCUACUUGUUACCUCCAAAUCUUGCUGUCAUCUUUGCUUGCUUUAAUUUUAUCUUGCACAUGAUUCUUGUCCAUGCAAGACCUACCUAUGUCAUGUGAGAUUUCACGUUGGUUGUAAGAUCAAUAAUAUUGUCAUUAUUAACGAUUGGCGAUGCCGUGACGAAACCAAGAGCAUCCUGUGGCUAUAGACACAAGGUCGUGCUGCUCGGCAUUCACUGGUAUCGUGGUUGCUAGUCAUGAUCUAUUAUAAAACUACACCACUGUGUUAUCUUCUCAUGGUCUUGUCCUUGGAUAUCUUUCCUUAUCUUCAAUCAAAGGAUCUAUAUCAGACUUAUGUAAUAUGACUUCCUUCUGAAGUUGCUAAGAAGAUAACCUUUGAAGAAUAGGUUACCGACAUAAAUCUUAAUAGACUGUAAGGGGUGGUGGACAAGAGACUCUAUUUGCUACCCAUGUAGCGAUAUCAGUCGUUUAGUGAGUAACUUGUGUCAUCCACUGUUGAAUCCAAAUGGUACACAACACUUAAAGUUGGACAAGUUAUCAGUCAGACAAGAAUUGAUCCAAAUCUUGAUCAUGGUGAUCACAUAGUCAUAAUCAACCAUCUCUAUUGUGAUCUCCUUUUUGGCUAACUUUGAUCUUGACUGCCUACAAAUGGAUCAACUACAAUUGUUGCCACCAAAGAAGAGAGUUUUGGAACUUUUUAGUGUUCAGAGACAACUGAUUUGUUAUCAGUUAGAAGGUUAAUCACUACCUUGGAAACGACUCCAUGAUAUCCCUGAAGGCUACGUCUCAUAAAAUAGUGUCAUGCAAAGAAAACAAUAAGUUGAGCAACGAUGCAAAUACUAUUUCCUUCUCUAGCCCCUAUGUUGUCAAGUCAAUUCAAUCUUGGACAAUCACAUAGAUGGUACCAAAUGCUAUAUCUAAGUCACAAGCUAGAGAAAAGCACAUCCCUAGUCUCGGUUAGCAUCAUUAUAUGUGUGGUGCUAUCAAAGGUUUUGCUUUGUUUGGUUAGCCAUAUGGUGUUUGUUUGUACUAAAUUUUGGUUAAUCAUCAGAAGACUCUUGGAUCUAUAUACGCACUAACAAUUCAUGCAUAAUGAGGCUAGUUUGUGUGGUAUGAACUGAACCAAGAUGAACCUUAGGAUAACCUAGAAAAUACUCCUUGCACCCUUGGACACCUAGCUGUUACCCUAUCACAUCAACCGACAGUUGAGCAAUCUAGGCGUUCUACAAGUCAAAAAUAACUGGAAAGGUGUUAAACAACAAAUCUUAGAUUUAUUAUCUUAGAGCUGUUGUUUGAUCCUAGUAAGGAAUCCUCAAUCUCAAAAGUAGUCUCACCAAGCUAUUCUACUACAAUGCAAGUCGACCCAGAACCUACUAAGUCGUUGCUUAAUGAAGGAAAAUUUUAGUUGACUUGCUUGAUAGUAGCUUGUUUCCCUAGUUCGGUGAAUACUUGCAACUUUUGUUGUCCUCUAGACCUUGCUAUCGCCCAUCUUUAACAAUGCCAAUUUAGUACUAACAUGCCUUGGGUAUCUUCUAUGUUCCUUUUACCCAAGAGGUUGUAUUUGAUACAACCUAGGUAACUGUUAACCCUUGGAGUCACGAAAUUCCUUGAAUGGUGAGCAUUGACUUGAUAGACUCAGAUAAUACAGUGUUGUUAUCAGAGAAAGAGAACUGCACACAUGGAACCUUAUGUAGCUUUCCAUUGACUGGUAUCUGAAUGAUUAGACCUUAUGACCAAAAUAAACAUUGUUUAUCGGUUAGCUGGUUUCUCAUAACCUCAAAGGAUGUUUAUCUAGUUCAUGAUCUCAUCCCCUACGAAAGGUUGUACUCAAGCCAUUCUGGUAGAGGACUACUUUUUGAGCCUUAUGAACAUAGAUGGAAACAUUGUAAUGAGUAGUUUACUGUGCUCCAAACCAUCCAUCAUACAUUGGGAAUGAAGUACAUGUGAUAGUGUUGUCUUGAAUUCCUCCCAAAGUAACAAUGCUUCAUGGAAGUCAAUGGAGGAAAUUCUUUAGACAAAAAUUCACUACGAAGAACAAGUAUCAGAAAGUGUCCUGACCAAAUUAGCCUCUCUGAUGCUCGAGGAUAAGUAGUUGACUGCUAUCGCCAAUGUUAGAAGUGAAUAACAUGCUUCUCUACCCUUGGAAGUCUUUCGCCCUGAAUCUUGGGACAAGAUUCUUUUAAGGGGGGAGGGUAGUAACACCCUAGGUGUUUGCCACUAGUUAGACCUUAGGUUUGAGCUCAAACAUGUCAUGAUAAGUGGUGAUGAUCAUGUUAAAGUCAAUCCAUGAAAGUGAGCCUCAAGUUUAACUUGGAGAAUGCACCCUUGCUUACAUAUAGGCCCUUUUCAAAGUGCAUGCUUGGGUGACAUUAAUGGAACCUCUUUCAUGUGUCCCACAUCUAUCACUGCCUAUAGUGAUCACUCAAAAAGUUUCAUAAAGUUCGAAAUCAAAAGGUCACAUGAAAUGAUAAGUUACAUGCUUGUUGGAAUGACCUCAUUAAGUGAAUGGAACCAUGGGUCAUCAACCAAUAUUUGCAACCUUUCCCAAAUGACUCUAGAUGAACUCUACAACAAAAGUCAUGAAGGGUUCAUGUUGAGCUUGUACCCAGAAAGUGCUUCAAGUGGCCUAAAACCUUAAUUCAUGCUUUAUCAAGUUGCUGCUAUGACCAAAGUGCAAGUUUGAUUUCUAUACUAGUUCUGAGAUUUGACCUUAAAUAAAAGUUGUAUUUUUAGCUUCUAUAGAACAAACUUUGUUUAAUGGUCAAGAGCUAGUUUGGUCCCUAACCUAGACAAAUUGAGCUUACAAGAUUCAAUGCAGUGCUGUUUUGGAACACCAGAAUUUUGGCAAAGUCCUCAAGGUGUUUAGUUUUGGGUAUCCAUGUUGGGAGCUUUGUAUCUUCCAGUCCAGGCCAAAAUGGUAUAAGGUUCUUUAAUAAAAGUUGUAGCAUAGUUUGUAUGCUACAAACUUUGUUAAAGUGCCUAAGUCCGAAUCAUCAUCUAAGCAUAUCAAUUAAUGGUCAUAAUAUUGAAUCUGCUAUAGUUUUCAGCACUUCGAAUUUCUAAGUCUAGGUUUGCAGUUCAUUUCGUAGGUAUCCCGCGUUCUCCUAAUUCUUUUAAACAACUUGCUUGGGUCCCAGAAUAAAAGUUGGAGUACAUAUUGUGGACAAGAGCAUACCGAAAGAUGACACUAGUUCGACUUUUUUUGGUCAUCAAUUUCGAGUUUCGCUAAUCACCAUCAAUAUGUUGACACUAGAGGUUUGGCAUCAUGUUAUCUCUUAAUCUGUUACUCUAAUGGCUUUAUACUCUGAAUCAAAGUUGCAGAACAGGCCGAGCUUGGCAUACUUAGUUUUUGGCCCAUGUCCAAAUUCAGCGUGGAAGAAGCCCAAAAUUGACUCCCACCGUGGCUACCCCGGCGCGCGCCACCUGCUCGACGAAAUGCUUCAAGAGGUGACACGCGUCCUGGACGUAGCAUUCAUGCAGAGUUCGCGUCCCCACCAUUGCUGCAGCGUGCCACUGCCUUCUACUCGCAAUGGGGACACACCAAGCCGUUCCCAGACGGUCCCCACUCCUCCUGCUCGCCCUCGCUCCCUUCUCCUCGCUCUCCGCCGCGGAAACGCCGCGGCGUCCGCCGUGGCCGACGGUAUGAGCUCGCACCUGCCGCAAUGCUCGCUGCUCCGCACCUCCUCAGCCCAAGCUAAGUACCUCAGUGCCUCUGCCGUCUCCUCCUGACUGCACUGAGCUCCAUUUCCGGCCCCAACCAUCGCCGGAGCACCGCCACCGUCGAGAGCAGACCGCCGCCGCCUCCUCCUGCCGUGGCUAGGCCGCCACGGGCCCUCUCCUGGCCAUCCAAGAACACCAGCAAGUGUGCGCUAGCCUACCGGUGCUCCCCCACCACUCCAUCGCCGCCGACGAGGCUCCGACUGGCCGGAACACGAAGCUCCAGCGAGUCCUGUGUUUUCGUGGCGACCAGGGACCUCGGGAUCGAAUUUGACUAAAGCCAGGGGUUUUUUUGCAGAACUCAUGACUCAGAUGAAUAGUGCUUUGAGGACCUAUUUGUUUUGGAGAAAUGCUGUAACUUUGAAAAUCCAUAUAAAAUCAUAGCAAAAUCGUAAAUUAACAAAUGUAGACUUUUUAGAAUCCAUAUGAAAUUCUCUAUGCAGUAGAUCUAUAAUAUACCAUGUUUUAGUUUAAAGUUUUAGCUGUAGAAAAUGAUUUAUGCAGCUAGGUUUUUAAUACUAGUUGAGUUUGUCUUUUUUAUAACUGCUUCUGUAGAGCUCCAAAUGAAGUGAAAUUUUUGUGGCCUGCUAUUCUUGUGAUGUUUGAUGCAUCCUGAAAGUUUCAUGAUCUUUGGUUGCAGUGUGGUUGAGUUAUUGAUUUAACUUGCAUAGGGCUUGAUAAAGGGUUUAUAAUUAUAAUUAAAAAUGUAAAAAUGGAAAAGGUUGUUCUAGUACAAUCCUAUGAUAUCAUUGUAUCAUAUUAAUAUAUAAUAUGGUCAAGUGUUUGAAGAAAAUAUGGUUUGUGCAUUUAUCUUGCUCUCACAUGGUUAAUUGUAAUAGCAAUUUGUCUUUUUCAUAGAUGUUGCUAUGUUUAUUCAAAUGUAAUGAAAUUUGGGCAGUAGACUAUGGAUAGUAUGUAGAAGCUACUGUAAGUUUGGUGGAAUUUACUGAGCACUUUUGUUAUAUGUUCUUUAAUUCAUCUUAUUAUCCAAAUAAAUUAAGAAAGGAAUUAAAUAAAUUUAUUUGGUAAUGACCACUAUGUUUUCUGGUGUUCUUUAGAUAUAUGCCAACUGUUGCUAACAAUGGUUUUGCUCAAAUCCAUGUUUGAAACAUAAGUUAAUAAUUAAUUGUGUGCAAUUGUUGUUUCUGAAUAGUUUCUGGAACUGUUUGGAUUACAAUAUGUAAAUGACUUUUUCUGGGAAUCUUGUUCAUAGCAAAGUUGUAGAUAAUUUAUUUAUCUAGCCGCUUUUAAAAUUUGGUAGUAUUUGGACUUGUGGUUUGUGAGUUAUGUCUGUUCAAGGUUUGAUUCCAGAAAUGGCUGCUCUCUGUUUGUCAGGGACAGAUUUUGGAACUUUAUAAUUUCGACCAGCUUCAGUUGAGAAUCAUGCUUUUAUGUAUAAAUAUCAAAUGUAGAUAAUAUCUUAAGAUUUCCAGAAUCUCUUCUUACAUGUCUUUUGGAGUUGUGUAACUCCAGUUAUGAUUUAUUUUCUCAGCUGCUGUUAACAGUCCUAAAAAUUACAGAUUCCUUGUAUUGUUGUUGCUUGGUAUAAUGCUAUGUAUGACUCAUGUUUAUGAUAAUGGCCAAGUUAAUACACCUGAGAUCUUAUGAAACAUGUAUGCCACGCCUGAUAUACUUGGUUGCAUCUAUUUCUAUCUUAGUAUGUUGAUUGUGUUAUGUUACUUAAGCAACAUGAAACACACAUGUAUGUGUAGAGUAACAUGAUACUUGUCUGCUUACUGUAUAUCAGGCAUUGUCUAUUGCACUUCUACGUGUUCAUACACUUGCAUCUUGCAUCUCAUUUAGGUACGCUAGAUGAACCACGUGAAGGACAUGAUGGUGGAUCUAUCGGAAUUGGAAGGACUACACAAGUGUUGCGAACUUGGAUGUCGUCAAGAUGAAGCAAGAUAACUUAACUGACUUGUGUCAGAUUCCAGGCAAGCCCUAGAGCAUUCUAAGUCUCCUACCCUCUUUUUUUAUAAAAGCACAAGAGUAUACCUUUAUAUGUUGCAUUAGGUGAUAGGAGUUGAAUGAAACCGUUGGUGCAUAUUUCCUACCUUGUCCACUAUAUGUAACUACCUGAACCCUUACUAGUAUAAGGAAGACGUUCUAUGCAUAGCUAUGCUUAGCUCGGUAGAAGCCAGGUGAUUUCCUGUCACCUGCGAGAGAUAGGUGGAUACCUGAUCACAGUUGGUUAUAUUUGCUAUCGUAGAAAUAACCAUGUGUAAUAAUGAAUGGAGACCGGGCGGGAUGACGAUAGUGAAACAACAAGGCAUGGAGGUCUUGGGUGUGGAUCUAUCCCCAUCUAUGUCGUUUAAGGACCGAUACGUUGUACGUCCUCUCAUCAUGUUGAACGCAUGCCUAACACUUAGUUGGCCAGAUAAGUCGUUCCGACCGUAAAGCCUACGAGUGCAACUCCGGCCGGGUACCCCGUUCGGUUUAUGUGCGCACCUGAAAGCCCAAGUUUGGUUUUGGUAAUUAAUGACACCAAGUUGCUAACGCCUUGUAUUUAAGUGAUUUGAGUUAGGCAUAGCAACACAUGUGAUGAAGGUGCAUGGUGGCAUGGAAAGGUGGCCACAUGAUUACAAAGAGAUGAAGCAUGAAGUGGGGAUCAUGGUGAUAUACAAGGAGUAAAGUGAACAAGGCAAAGGUAUAAACAUAGGAUUUUGCUUUUGCCGGUCUAAGUUGAGUAGAGAAGUGUUUGACCGGGUUUAGGAUAGAUAGCCGACUAUCAAGAGGGGAAAUCACAGUCAUCUCUUGAAUCAAGUGCUACUAGGUCCAUAUCUUGAGCAUAUGCAUUAGGAUCUAGUAAAGUGCUAACUUAACUCCUCUGGUGAAAAUGUUUGUGAAAAGCUAACACACAUGCACUUUGGUGGUGGACUCUAGUUGGUGUUAGCACUCAUUGUCGGUGCUUUUUGAGAAAAUUAAGUGUAUAUUUUCUAUUGCGCCGGUGGAAAAUUUGGAGAAGUCGCGGGAGUGUUUCUCGCACACUCACCGGACGCUGGCCUUGGAGGCACCGAACGCAGAGGCUGUGCAUCCGGUGUGUAGUAGUGCCUGGCUCUGCUAGGGUUAGGCAUCGGACGCUAGGCAUCGGACGCAGGAGAGAUCCUGUUGACGCGUCCAGUGUGACUUGACUUCAGCUGGUGUGAUUGAUUGGUAGCACCGGACGCAUAGAGCGCGUCCGGUGAGGAGUGUCCGGUGCUCUGCACUUCUGCAAUGCUCUCUAGGUUUUAUACUGGUGAGCACCAGACGGUCCAGUGCUCAACGUCCGGUGACCCUGCAAGUUUGCAGACUUCUCUAUGUUUAUGACCGGUGUGCACCAGACGCGUCCGGUGCCCACUUAGUCGCGUCCGGUGGUCCGCAGGUGACCGUUAGAGUUUGAUGCAUGAGUUUCAAAGGAGGACACGUGGCCAACCCCUGAGCACCGGACGCUGGAGGUCGAGCGUCCAGUGAUCACUUGGUAGCGUCCGGUGCCCCCGUUUUCAGCCCAAUCAAUGUAGCCAACGGCUAUUUCCUUGAGGGGGCUUAUAAAUAGGAGGUGGCCGGCUUCAGGAGGUCAACUCUUGCACAUUUGAAUACUUGAGGCAUACUUUGAGCAAGAGAACACUCCUUCCACUCAUCUCCUUGCUUGUUUGCUAAUCCUAUUGAGAUUGAGUGAGAUUCAAGUGCAUUGCUUUGAGAGUUGCAAUUAGUGGCACUUGAUUCUUGAGUUCACUGCGGUUUUCUUGUUACUCUUGGGUGUUUCCCGAUGCCCUAGAUGGCUUGGAGCAGCGGUGCUAUUGAGCUCAUGAUUGGAGAUUGUUUCGAGCCUCCCCAAGUGAUUUGUGAGGGGUUCUUGAGCCUUCCCCAUGGGAGAUCGCAAUUGGCUACUCUAGUGGAUUGCUCGUGGCUUGUAGGAUCCCCAUCUUGUGAGUGGAUGUGUGGCACCCGCUGAGGGUUUGGCUUUGGAUUUCCAAUUAGCUCGUGAUCCAUCAGGUGGGUGUAUCGCCACAACGAGGACUAGCUUGCCGAGAAGCAAAUGAACCUUGGUAAAAAAUAUUGUGUCAUCUCUUGCCGAGGAUUCUCUUGUAAUUGUGAUUAAUUGAUUGGUUGUAUUUCUACUCUACAACGUUGGUAUAACAAUCACUCCCCUCUCCUUUACUUAUGUGCAUACCUUGCUAGUUGUGUAGCUUGUUUAGCUUAGCUUUCUUAUUGUAACUAGUGUUUAGCUUUCUUUCUAGACUUGUCUAGGUAGCUUGCAUAGCUUAGUUGUGCUAGUGCUAGAAUAGCUUUGCCUUUUGUUUUACUAAUCAACUUUUCUAGUUGAAGUUUGUAGAAGAUUUAAAUAGGCUAUUCACCCCCCCCUCUAGCCAUUUGGACCUUUAUGCACCCCGGUUGGUAGCAAGGAUGUGCGGGGAGUCAAUGGCGUAAGACCGAGGUGUCAGGUUAGAGUCCUGACCGUGGCAGAUUGGCAGUCUGAUAGAGCAUCUAGGCCCCUAGUGAUUUUGGUGAUUAAUGACAAUGUUGAUUACUAUGACUAACGUGUGUUUUGCAGAGGCAAAGUCAUAGGUAUAGUCAUGGUAAUAGGUACUCAAUGGACAGGGACGUACAUGCCUACUUCAUAGUGGAAAUUGUUUCGGUUUUCAAAGGAUGGAUAGACAUCGUCAAGACUAGACUAGGUCUAAGGUCCAUAUGGUGAAGAAGGGCACUUAGAGUAGUUUAGGACUUUGUUUUCCUUUGACCGUACUAUUAAGAGGGGUUUUGAUCUAGUAGCUUGACUUAGGCAAGGCUUUAGGUUUAGGUGUGGUGCACACUUGGUAAACCUAGCACUAGGCAGCUCAGAGAUAGUCCUUAGAUCGAGAGGAACCAACUUUGUUUUGGAGCGAUUGCGUUUCGAUGAAGUUAGGGUGCCCAAGGGGGCACCGGACGCUGCACCGGACGCUCUGUGAGUGCGUCCUGUGAGGUCCUUAGCCGUUGAGAGUUUGGGUGCCUUAGGGUUAGGCACCGGACGCUGGCACCGGACUCACCGGGCAGCGUCCGGUCCCACACCCAGGGAGGUUGCAAACUUCCCUUGAGCACCGGACGCACCGGGUAGCGUCCGGUCCCAUACUCAGGGAGUUUGUAAAUGUCCCCGGAGCACCGAACGGUGCCACCGGACGCUAAGAGGUAGCGUCCGGUGACCUGUCAGACGCAGGUAUGUUAGCCGUUGUGUGUGUUGACACUAGCUAACACCACUUAGAUACUAGGGUGUCAUCCCUAGCAUGGUGCCAGAGUGUACAAAGGUAUUUAUAAAUGUAAAGGCUCUCUAGAAAAUAAUCUAUUAUAUCCGCAAGCGCACAAAUAAAACACCGCAUUGUAGCAUUUUAGCAGGAUAAGUAUUCCAGGUAUCGUUAUUUAUAAUUUUGCUUAAGAGAACAAAAGGGAUGAAAUUAAAAUAAGGACAAAAUCUAUCAAGGCAUAGACUAGAGAUAAACUUGUAAGAACAUGAUUACUAACGAGAAACUCGUCACACAGUCACUUACUUUAGCAGGGGGUAAACCAUAAAGAUAAUGAUAAUGAAUUAUAAGUUCAAGGGUAAAUAACACAGCAAUUAGAAAAUGGACUACUCCUCAUAUAUGUAGGUGAUGUCGGAUUAGCUAGAGAAUGGAUUCUAAGUUAUCUACUAUCUAUUAAGUCAUAAUCUACUCUAGUUAUCUACAAGAUCAUGUAUAGCAUAUAAGACUCUUCAUUCAUGUAUAAGGAACAUUGCUAAAGUAAAUCAGAACAUCGCAAGAAUUACUCCGCAAUACAAAUUCUGCCUGUCCUAUCUGUAACAGAACCGACCAAAUUAUAAGAGGUUAAGCCCAACAGCGACCAUUUGCAUAGUCAAAACCAUCCGGCUUAAGCCCAUAUAAUCCCGGUAGUCCGUGAAAUCUCGAAGGAUUUCAACCCACACAUCGCAUAACAGCCAAGAUCGUAAUAAGUUUAGCGGUCUCCAUCCACAAGUACAUCCAGAUUACAACAUUCAUAAAAUACAUCGGAGUACUUAAGUUAUUACAAACCAAGUUCUUCAAGUAGCGAAAGCUUCAUAGUUCGAAAUUACAACACACACGAUAAGUCUGAUACAGUGCCAUAGUUCGGUCAUUCCCACAAAAGCAAGGGAAGAGACGGAGUGACCAUCGCCCUUGGUCUAGUCAUCACCCAUAGCUGGGUACAGACAGAGGAUGCAAUAACCAUAGUACAUUUGACCAUCUGCAAAACAACAUGGGAAUAGAACCCUGAGUACGAGAAGGUACUCAGCUAGACUUACCCGUCAUAAACUUAAAAUAAAGACUCAUCAAGGAUCAUGAAGGCUAUAUAGUGGGGGAGCUGACGACCAAUUUGCACAACCGCAGUAUUUCGCUAACAUAACCUACAUAAGUCUUUCUCCUUUUAAUUGGCUCAAGUUGAAAGUAUCAUUACCUAUCAUCUAGGUUUGCACCUGCACUAUUACAAGCAAGUAUGAGACUAUGAUAGUACCUCAUCAUAGCAUUUCUUAAAAACCAUUCAUCAUUAUAACCCAAGUGUUCCAUAGUCCUUACUACGAGGACGAAGCUCAUGUCAAGUGCUCACUAUCUAGGAGCGAUGGCGAUUCGAAUCGAUUUCUAACUAGCUGGCGAGUUUAUUCCCCACACAAACCACACUCACUGAUCAAGUGAGCUACAGGUCACCAUGUUGCACUAUCCAAGACCAAUUCGCGGGUUCGACAGGCACCGCCCGUACCCGAGGACCGUUCCGGCGACCGAGGUAUCCAAGGUAUACCAAGGUUGCGCGCCGCGCCCUCGUCGUUCUCCUCAACCAUCACCAAUACAGCGCGUACAUUGGGCCGAUUCCCGGCCCGGAUAGUGCUCAGGCUUCGCGGUCGGAACGACUUAUCCUUCCGGCUAAGUGUGGGGCAUGCGUUCAACAUGACAAGAGGGCCGUCAACGACCGGUCCUUAAUCGACACAGGCAGGGGCACUAUGGUCAACCCACCACCAGACCCUGCCCGGUCUCCAAAUUCAUUUCACACUUGGUCAUUAUUUUCCCGAGCAAAUAAUGCUUAAUCAAGCAGGUAUCCACCUAUAUCUCGCAGGUGACAGGGAAUCACCCGACUUCUACCGGACUAAGCAAGCUAAGCAUAGACUCCGCACCUAUCUACAUAGGACAAGGUAGAUAAACGAGUAGGGAUAACAAGGAGUACAUAUGCAUCAACGGUAUCAAGCAACUCCUACCACUUAGAUGCAACAUAGUAGAACCAAUAUAAUAUAUAUACUGUAAGUUAGUGAGAAUAGGGAGACUUAGAAUGCUCCGGGGCUUGCCUUUCUCAAACGUGCUGGGUCGGUGAUCCGGACACUCCUGCAGUUCCUCUCCGGGUUCCGGGGCUUCCGGAGGUUCCUGCUCCUGAAUCUGCUCUGGCUCCUCGGGUCCCACCUCGUUCUCCUGCGAGCCUGUAUGAUGCAUGUGUGCUCAUGAGUGGAGUGCGAGAUGCCCGAGUGGAUGCUUGUAUGAGAAAGUACCAAAGGAUCAGGACAUGAUGCAUGGAUGAUACACUUGGUCAUGCUCAUCACAAGGUAUGCAACAUCAUCCAAGAACGGGCACUUGGAUUAAACAUCUAUUACAUUCUCUUUUACAAUUAUUUUUCAAAUGCAAUCAGCAACCCACAUGAUGCUUCAAAGAUACACCAAACCCAACUUAUUCCAUUCAACCUAGAUAUGCAACCAUUCAUAAUUUUCUUUAUUCAUUUCUAGGCCCAUUAAAGUCACAUGCAAUUCUGUUCAUCAAUAAUUUCUACAAAAAUUACAGGAGACUACAAGCAAAACAUAAAGUCUACUGUAAAUUUUUCAUAAUUUUUGGUUACUUAUUUUGAGUCACAAAAAUCACAAGAUUAAUUAAUAGGGCAAGUAAAAUCACUCUACUGGGAUACAAGUGUCAAACAACAGAUUUCAUAUUUUUAUAAUUUGCAUAAUAUCAUAAGAAACACCCACGACAUUUUCCAGAUUUAUUGCACGACCCAAUUAAUUAUUAAAAAUCAUAAAUCACUGCCAUGCAAGCAUUUAAAUUACCAUAAAUUCAUUUAUACAUCAAAUAAUAUGUACCAAUAUUUUCCCAGUGAGCAAACACACAUGCAAAGCCAACAAAUCAAGUUUCACAUUUUUCUGAGCCAUAUUUUAUUUACUAUGCAUUUUCCAAGUUUAACAAAAUCAUGGAUAAAAUAUAUUCACACAGAAAAGUUACUCCAACAUGACAUGCAAUUACAUCAAACUGUAGAUCUGGAAAUAUAGAGCACACCAAAAUUUAUUUCAUUCAAUUUGGAGCUGUAGAACUUAAGAUAUAGAUUUUACAAACUUUAAAUCCAUUUCUGGAAAACACUUUUUCAAGAAAACCGACGAAAAAGGCUACGUACACCCAGAUCUACACCCACCAGGGUACCCCUGCGACUGACAGUGGGUCCCCGACCCCACCGGUCAGCGAGACCGAGAGGGAGCUCGCCUCCGACGAGCGGAUCUCGCCGGCGGUGAGGUCUCCGGCCACGGGGUGAGCACCAACGUGCUCCCCGCAGCAAGACGCACCCAGCGGUACCCUUGGAUCGACCAGAGGACGGCCGGAACACCUCCGGCGAGCAUGCAUGGCGGCACGGCGGCGCUGCUCGCCGUGGCCAGGCUGCUCCGGCGCGGUAGAGCGUGCGCAAACGCCUCUCCGAGCUUCCUCACCUUCCUACCGACCUAGCGCAACAAAGAACGAGCGAAAAGAAGCAGGGAAACGCUAGAUCCGUCGCGGCGGAGUACUCCGGCGAGCUCGGGGUAACUCCGGCGAGCGAUUCACGGCGCUCGACGGACUCUCACCUCGGUAGAACGUUCGCACGAGCUUACCCUAGCGACGGCGAGUGCCCUGGUGCUCUUGGCGUCGAGCUUGGGGCUCUGGUGUGGCCGGCGACGAGCGGCGGAGCUCUCUCCGGCAAUGGCGCGCGGAGGAGCGGCUGCUGCUGCGCGGUGCGAGCGGAGGAGGAAGGAGAAGGAGGGCGCGGGGGAGACAGGAUGGAGGGAGUGGCCUGGGAGCCAGCGCCGGCGUCCCGACCAGGGGGGUUGGAGGCCGGCCGCGGCGCGUCCAACGCCGGCGUACGGCCGCCACGUGGCCGGCGCCGGGUGGAGCGAGGCGGGCGCCGCGCGCGCGGGAGAGAGGGGAGGAGGAGCGGGCCGCGCUGUCCAGCUGGGCCAGAAGGGAGGCGGGUCGGCCCAGCAGCGCCUGCCCCCUUUCCUUUUUUUUGAAUUUCUUUUCUCAAAUUCUUUCUAAAUUCAUUUGGACCAAUUUAAAAUCAUUUUCACCUCUUGCUCCCAAAAACAAAGUUGUUCCAAAUUAAAAACUCUACAACUUUGCUUUGACAAGCAAGACCAAAUUUUAAACAAAAUUUGAAUUACAAGUUAAAACUCAGUUCUAGGUUUUAAAUAAAUUCAUUUUGGGAAAAUUUGUAUAAAUUCUAUUUCUCAAAUUCCAUAGCUCCAAAAAUUGCACAAAAAUAUUCUAAAUUCUUCUUACACAUAAAGCAACCUAAUUUGAAUAUUUCACAAUUUUAGAAGCAAGCAUCAUAUUUUUAACAUAUUUAAAACACAUGAAAUGAUGCACAUAAAAUCAUAUUCUUAAAAGAAUGAUAUGCUCAUGAUGCUUAUGAUUGAUGAGAAUGCUUAUGCAUGACUUUGAUAAGACUAAGUGCAUGCUUAACACCUAGGGUGUUACAGCCCUCCCCCCUUAGGGAAAUCUCGUCCCGAGAUUUUGGGUUACUAACCAUUUCUUAUGGAACUUUGGAUAAACUGUUUUUAAGUAAUCCUCUGUUUCCCAAGUAGCAUCCCUAUCGUCAUGAUGACUCCACACCACCUUGUAUGUUCGAACAACUCUGUUUCGGGUUACUCGCUCCUUGGUAUCCACAAUUCCCACUGGCUGCUCUUUGUAUUCCAAGUCCGCCUUUAUCUUGAUUCCUCGAGGUUCGAUUCUUUGCUCCGGCACCUUCAAACAUUUCCGUAGUUGCGACACAUGGAAAACCGGAAAGAUCGAGCUCAUCUCUUCAGGUAACUGAACCUUGUAGGCCACUGUGCCUUUCCUCUCUAGCACUUGGUAUGGUCCCACAUAUCUGGGUGCAAGUUUGCUUCGAACUCGGAAACGUUGAACUUUCUUCAUUGGCGUAACCUUGAGAUACACAUAGUCACCUUCUUUGAACUCAAGCGGCCUUCUCCUCUUGUCAGCAUAACUCUUCUGUCGUGAUUGCGCUGCUUGCAUAUGUUGCUGUAUAAUCUGCACCUUUUUCUCGGCAUCAUUCACAAAGUCGAUACCAUAGUAUCUUCUUUCACCAGGUUCCACCCAGUUUAACGGAGUUCGACAUCUCCGACCAUACAAAGCUUCGAACGGGGCCAUCUUGAUGCUCUCUUGAUAACUAUUAUUGUAUGAGAACUCAGCCAAUGGUAACCAUGAUUCCCAUGAUCCCUUGGAUGAUAACACACAGGCCCUCAGCAUAUCUUCUAACACUUGAUUUAGCCUCUCAGUUUGACCUGAAGUCUGGGGGUGGUAUGCCGUGCUUCUUAUCAGACUGGUCCCUAAACUCUUAUGCAUGCGCUCCCAGAAGUGAGCGGUGAACUGCGGUCCUCUAUCUGAUAUAAUGGUUUUGGGGAUACCAUGCAGCUUGACAAUCUCAGCCAUAUAUAUAUCAGCAUACUCAGGAGGUCUGUAUGUGUUCUUGACUGGAAUGAAAUGAGCUGACUUGGUUAAUCGAUCUAUGAUUACCCAAAUCGAGUCAUUCCCCUUCCUGGUUGUCGGUAAGCCGGUGAUAAAGUCCAUACUAACCUCUUCCCAUUUCCAUUCGGGAACGGAUAACGGUUGCAACAGACCUGCAGGUUUCAUAUGGAUGGCCUUAACUCUGCAACACGUGUCACAACGGGCCACGUAAGCGGCUAUUUCUUUCUUCAUCUUGGUCCACCAAAAGUGGGGUCUUAGAUCUUGAUACAUUUUGCUGCUGCCUGGAUGAAUAGAAAGCUUAGAGAGAUGGGCUUCAUCCAUGAUGCGAUUCUUCAACUCCCGAUCCUUCGGGACCACUAACCGCUGUUGAAACCACAGUACCCCCUUCUCAUCAACCCGAAACUGAGUCUUUGGGUCAUCUUUGAUCUUCUCUUUGAUGUGGAAAAUACCCUUGUCUGUUUUCUGACCUUCAAUGACUUGACUCUCGAGUGAACAACUGAGUUGUAUAUGGCAUAAGACCUCAGGAUGCAUAAGAUUGAACCCAUCUUCAAACAACGGUUGAACCACUUGAUAGUGCGGUUUGCGACUCAAAGCAUCCGCUACCACAUUAGCCUUGCCUGGAUGAUAAUGAACCUCCAGAUCAUAGUCCUUGAUUAACUCUAACCACCGUCGUUGCCUCAUAUUCAGCUCGGACUGCGUGAAGAUGUACUUCAAGCUCUUAUGAUCGGUAUAAAUGUGACACUUAUUUCCCAGCAGAUAAUGUCUCCAAAUCUUCAAGGCAUGCACCACUGCUGCUAACUCGAGGUCGUGCGUUGGGUAGUUGACUUCAUGCUUUCUCAACUGUCGGGAAGCAUAAGCUAUCACCCUGCCAUCUUGCAUCAACACACACCCCAGGCCACUCUUUGAUGCAUCACAAAACACAUCGAAAGGCUUCACCAUAUUGGGUUGUGCCACAACGGGAGCAGUGGUUAGCAACUUUCGCAAGGUGCGGAAGGCUAACUCACACCCUUCCGUCCAGAUGAACUUAUGAUCCUUUUGUAGCAAACUUGUUAUUGGCUUAGCAAUCUUGGAGAAGUCAGGUAUGAAACGACGAUAAUACCCGGCCAGACCAAGAAAACUCCUAACUUCCGAGACAGAAGUUGGUGCCUUCCAGUCCAUGACUUCCUGCACUUUUGAUGGAUCCACAGCAAUUCCUUCUUCAGACAAAAUGUGCCCUAGGAAAGGAACUUUCUUCAACCAGAACUCACACUUGCUGAACUUGGCAUAUAAGUGGUGCUCUCGUAAUCGUGUCAGCACGAUUCUUAGAUGCUCGGCGUGAUCUUGCUCAUCUUCUGAAUACACCAGGAUAUCAUCGAUAAACACCACAACAAACUUAUCCAAUUCUGGCAUAAAGACUGAAUUCAUCAGAUACAUAAAGUAUGUAGGAGCAUUUGUCAACCCAAAGGACAUGACAAGAUACUCAUACAACCCAUAUCUGGUGGAAAAAGCAGUCUUCGGGAUAUCUUGCGGACGAAUCUUGAUCUGAUGAUACCCAGACCUCAAAUCUAUCUUAGAAAACACUCUGGCCUUGGAUAACUGAUCAAACAGGAUAUCAAUCCUUGGCAAGGGAUACUUAUUUUUGAUUGUCACUGCAUUGAGUGGACGAUAGUCCACGCACAUGCGCAACGACUGAUCCUUCUUUUUCACAAACAACGCCGGACAACCCCAUUCCGACGAGCUUGGCCGGAUGAACCCUUUUUCUAGUAACUCCUUCAGUUGCUUCUUCAACUCUGCGAGUUCGUUUGGCGGCAUCCGGUACGGUCUUCUAGAUAUUGGUGUUGUACCUGGUAUCAACUCGAUUGCAAACUCUACCUCCCUAUCUGGGGGAAGUCCUGGUAACUCCUCGGGAAACACAUCAGGGAACUCACAUACCACGGGUAUGUGUUCUAGGGGAACUACCUGUACUGCACACGAAAGACUGGCGAAGUCCAACCGCCGGGGUAACUUGACCUGAAACACACCCUUCCCUUGCGGCUCUCUGAGGGAAAGGGUUCUAUUCCCAACAUCUAUAACCGUGCCCCAGUCAGUCAUCUUGUUCAUACCAAUGAUGACGUCCAAAACCAGUCCUGGCAUGACCACAAGGUUUACACGAAACCUCCGGCCACUGAUAUCCAAAGUAACUCCUGUUACCGUCUUAUUAGUCAACACAUCGGCUCCGGCUGAGCUGAUGCGAUAGCCAUAACCUAACUCAGUAACUGGCUGAUCAUGCUUUUGUGCAAAUGCUUGACUCAUGAAAGAAUGCGAUGAUCCAGAAUCAAACAAAACAACUGCAAGAUGUUGGUUGACAGAAAACAUACCCGCUGUCACCGGUUCUCCUUCCGGGAUCUCCUCAAUCGAGGUAUGGUGCACACGAGCUGGAUAGGUUGGCUGUAGCCUCUUGGGGUAGGGACAUUCCUUAGCAAAGUGCCCCAUCUUGUGGCAGUUAUAGCACGGACCCUUGGGCGCAUUGUGGGCGGCAGGUGCUGCGGCUUGAAUUCCCUUUGGCUUGGCAGGGGCUACCGCCACCUUGUACGGCUUCUGCUGUGUUGGAUGCCCGGUGUUCCUUCUCUGCGGCGGUCGGAACCUAGCACCCGGGGCAGGAGGACGAUACUGCUGUCACCCUGCCACUGGUGCCCUGGACUGGGAUGAUCCGGCUUCAAAGGCCCUCUUACGAGACUUGGAUGCACUGUAGUUGUUGUUAUUGUUCUCUUGGGUCAGACAGUCGCUGAUGUAGGCAUUGAAAGUAGCCCUGGCCCCUGUACCCAUGGUCUUCAGCAUCUUUGGAUUCAAGCCUCUCUGGAAACUGGCAAUCUUCUUAGCCUCCGUGUUCACAAACUCAGGGGCAUAGCGAGCGAGAUUGUUGAAAGCGUGUAGAUAUUCCUUCACAGACUUCGUCCCUUGGGACAGCCUCAUGAACUCCCCAACCUUCAUUUCAACCACACCCGGAGGAAUGUAAUUUCCCCGGAAAGCUGUGGUGAAGCGGUUCCAGGUGAUUGGGGUCCCCUCUGGGUAGGUGGUACGGUGAUGGGACCACCAAAUCCCAGCGGGUCCUUGCAACUGAUGUGCCGCGUACUCAGCCUUGAGUUCUUCUGUCAUUCGGAGAAGACAAAACUUCUGCUCCAUGGUGUUGAUCCACUCAUCUGCUUCGAGCGGUUCCAAAGCCUCUUUGAAGAUUGGUGGGUUGGUAUCCAUGAAGUCCUUGAACGAACUAUACUGGUUGACUUCACGACCGCCCUGGUUAUCCCCACGACGGGUGUUGUCAGCUAUGUUGCGCAGAGCUUCUUCCAUAUUGCGCUGCAUCUGUUCCAUGUUGCGUUGGCUUCCCAGAAACUGCACGAAAAACACAUCCGCAGUGUACGGGGGAGGCGGUGGUGGGGGCGGUGUUGGUGCUCUGUCCUCAUUCCGUUGAGCCCCACCUCCGGAUGUACCUGCUCCAAGGCCCGGAUUGCUGUUACCCCCGCCACGUGUUUGCACCAUCUGCAUACGCCAAUGAUAAGCAAUCGUUAGGAGUUGCCAUCAACCGGUAGAAAAUGUGUAAAAUCGUGCCAUACUGAAUUUACUGAGGGAAUAAAUUCACACAAUAAACAAAUGCACGACGACUCAUCAUCCACGCACAACAUCACUAACAGAUUACUUAACAUUCACGCAACGAGGUUCGCGUACAUCCAACUUGCCAGCACACAUACACUGGACUUUUCAACAUAACUCGUAAAGUCUUACAUAGCUCAGAUCCAAAAGUACACGACAUGCCAUGCAACAUACAACACAAAAGAGGAAAGACUAGCUCUAGAGCCCUAGCAUAUAGUCACUAUGGUCACUGUCCAUGCCGGAGCCAUCCUCAUCCUCAUCUCCACUAGCAGCUGCUCCUAUCUCGGGAUCCGCGUCCAUCUCGUCCUCAGAGUCUAGCUCGGUUGCUCCAGGCAGGUGGUGAGGGUGGAGCUGGUUAUGCAGCUGGUGGAUCUCCUCAUGCAAGUUCUCAUUGUACUCCUCAGCAUUAGCUAACUGCUGCUCUAGCUCCAGCUGUCGGACCCUCAAAGUGUCCUCCUCGUGCUAGGCUUCAUUCCUCUGUCCAAGCACAUGGACUAGCAUGCGCUCGCAGUUCCUGUGAGCAGUAGUCACCCUGUCCUUCUCCUCCCGCAUUGCAAGCAGGUCCUGACUCAGCUCACUGUUCUUCUGGACUGCCUGGUCUCUCUCUCUGGUCACACAGGCCAACUCUGCCUGUAGCCUCUCAACCUCAGAGUCAAACUCACGCUGCAACUGACGCUUCUCAUCCUGGACGGUGAGAAGAGACCCGGACAAGCGACCCAAGCAACGCUCCAGGCCUCCAUAGGUCUUCAUCAACGCGUACAUGGCACUCAUAGCUGCACUGUCACUGUGCUGGUCCUCAUCCGCACUCCUCUCUAGAGCAUUCACCUCGGACUGAUCCCACACUGAAGUGUAAGGGUCACCCCGGGGAAACACCCCAGCGAAGGCGUGGGCCAGCUCCUGUGGAAACCUCUCCAUGAGGUCCCUCAAAACUGCGAAAGCUGCCCUGCUGGCACCGUGGAAAGGCGUGACACCUCGGGACUCGUACACCCAACCGCCCCAAGCAGGGUCUCCUCCACUGGUAGGGAUAACUGCCUCAAUCCCCACCAGGGCCUCGUCACCAAGCGGCUCCUUAUCCCAAUAAUAGCGAGGCUCCCUUCCUUCGGGAUACCCCAUCGAACUGAGCACCCUCCAAAGCAAAGUGGGCAUCCCAAACUCCCCCAGGAACUUGCUCUUAUGUCGCGAGCUCCUAGCUGCCAACGGAUGGCGAGGGGCCCGCCCACCAGUGGACUUGCGAGCAGUGAGCCUAGUGUGUGCCAUCUGCUGCAAAUGGAAUACCGUGGGUAAGAGUGAGGAUUACCUUUAAUUAUUUUAUUUAGAAUUGGGACAGAUUAAAUUAAGGGGGAAAGUGAACAAUGAUAUGGAAUGCACAUGAUGCAUGCACGAACUUACGAUCUCACAAGCCUAGAAACAAAGGUUAACACUAAGCGGUAUAUGCGGUGGCAUACAACGUUCUCUCAUAACGUAACUAGCGUUCUAAGUGAGAACGUGGUUAGUGUACCUGCAGAAAACUCAUUUCAGCCCACCCACAGUAUGAUCGUGCAGAACAAAAUUUAAAACUAUGCACUUCACAUACACAGACACCCGUCCAUGCAUGUGGCGUGUCACUACCCACAUCAUCACCCUAAUGACGGCAUCGCCGCUCAGGACGGAAUUCCCAGCAUGCGGUACUGUUCCCAAGACACACCAAAAAUGUGUGCAUGACACAGUACCUAACAACACUCCCCUAGACCGGCAGUGUAUCCGAUCAUGCUCUCACAGCUCCCACUUACCGUGGCGUAGAGGAAAAACGGAUCCAUACAUUACCACUCAAAUGAAUGGUACUCAUACUAUUGCACGCCGUAUGAGCGACGAAAUAGAAAUAUGAUGCAUUAACCCCCAAGUCAGUACUUAACUAGCCACCUUAGAGUCCUUAACUGGGCAUAAAGGAUAUGACCAUGGCACACUAGAUAAUUUUUCCAAAACUUAGUUUAACACCUUGAUCAUUACUGAUUAUUUAAGAAAAAUCUUUCAUUAAUCCGGUUUAGCUUUUUGUUUAAAACGUACUUAUGAACAGUAACCCGCUAAACCUUGCUCCGAUGCCAGCUGUAACAGAACCGACCAAAUUAUAAGAGGUUAAGCCCAACAACGACCAUUUGCAUAGUCAAAACCAUCCGGCUUAAGCCCAUAUAAUCCCGGUAGUCUGUGAAAUCUCGAAGGAUUUCAACCCACACAUCGCAUAACAGCCAAGAUCGUAAUAAGUUUAGCGGUCUCCAUCCACAAGUACAUCCAGAUUACAACAUUCAUAAAAUACAUCGGAGUACUUAAGUUAUUACAAACCAAGUUCUUCAAGUAGCGGAAGCUUCAUAGUUCGAAAUUACAACACACACGAUAAGUCUGAUACAGUGCCAUAGUUCGGUCAUUCCCACAAAAGCAAGGGAAGAGACGGAGUGACCAUCGCCCUUGGUCUAGUCAUCACCCAUAGCUGGGUACAGACAGAGGAUGCAAUAACCAUAGUACAUUUGACCAUCUGCAAAACAAUAUGGGAAUAGAACCCUGAGUACGAGAAGGUACUCAGCUAGACUUACCCGUCAUAAACUUAAAAUAAAGACUCAUCAAGGAUCAUGAAGGCUAUAUAGUGGGGGAGCUGACGACCAAUUUGCACAACCGCAGUAUUUCGCUAACAUAACCUACAUAAGUCUUUCUCCUUUUAAUUGGCUCAAGUUGAAAGUAUCAUUACCUAUCAUCUAGGUUUGCACCUGCACUAUUACAAGCAAGUAUGAGACUAUGAUAGUACCUCAUCAUAGCAUUUCUUAAAAACCAUUCAUCAUUAUAACCCAAGUGUUCCAUAGUCCUUACUACGAGGACGAAGCUCAUGUCAAGUGCUCACUAUCCAGGAGCAAUGGCGAUUCGACUCGAUUUCUAACCAGCUGGCGAGUUUAUUCCCCACACAAACCACACUCACUGAUCAAGUCAGCUACAGGUCACCAUGUUGCACUAUCCAGGACCAAUUCGUGGGUUCGACAGGCACCGCCCGUACCCGAGGACCGUUCCGACGACCGAGGUAUCCAAGGUAUACCAAGGUUGCGCGCCGCGCCCUCGUCGUUCUCCUCAACCAUCACCAAUACAGCGCGUACAUCGGGCCGAUUCCCGGCCCGGAUAGUGCUCAGGCUUCGCGGUCGGAACGACUUAUCCUUCCAGCUAAGUGUGGGGCAUGCGUUCAACAUGACAAGAGGGCCGUCAACGACCGGUCCUUAAUCGACACAGGCAGGGGCACUAUGGUCAACCCACCACCAGACCCUGCCCGGUCUCCAAAUUCAUUUCACACUUGGUCAUUAUUUUCCCGAGCAAAUAAUUCUUAAUCAAGCAGGUAUCCACCUAUAUCUCGCAGGUGACAGGGAAUCACCCGACUUCUACCGGACUAAGCAAGCUAAGCAUAGACUCCGCACCUAUCGACAUAGGACAAGGUAGAUAAACGAGUAGGGAUAACAAGGAGUACAUAUGCAUCAACGGUAUCAAGCAACUCCUAUCACUUAGAUGCAACAUAGUAGAACCAAUAUAAUAUAUAUACUGUAAGUUAGCGAGAAUAGGGAGACUUAGAAUGCUCCGGGGCUUGCCUUUCUCAAACGUGCUGGGUCGGUGAUCCGGACACUCGUGCAGUUCCUCUUCGGGUUCCGGGGCUUCCGGAGGUUCCUGCUCCUGAAUCUGCUCUGGCUCCUCGGGUCCCACCUCGUUCUCCUGCGAGCCUGUAUGAUGCAUGUGUGCUCAUGAGUGGAGUGCGAGAUGCCCGAGUGGAUGCUUGUAUGAGAAAGUACCAAAGGAUCAGGACAUGAUGCAUGGAUGAUACACUUGGUCAUGCUCAUCACAAGGUAUGCAACAUCAUCCAAGAACAGGCACUUGGAUUAAACAUCUAUUACAUUCUCUUUUACAAUUAUUUUUCAAAUGCAAUCAGCAACCCACAUGAUGCUUCAAAGAUACACCAAACCCAACUUAUUCCAUUCAACCUAGAUAUGCAACCAUUCAUAAUUUUCUUUAUUCAUUUCUAGGCCCAUUAAAGUCACAUGCAAUUCUGUUCAUCAAUAAUUUCUACAAAAAUUACAGGAGACUACUAGCAAAACAUAAAGUCUACUGUAAAUUUUUCAUAAUUUUUGGUUACUUAUUUUGAGUCACAAAAAUCACAAGAUUAAUUAAUAAGGCAAGUAAAAUCACUCUACUGGGAUACAAGUGUCAAACAACAGAUUUCAUAUUUUUACAAUUUGCAUAAUAUCAUAAGAAACACCCACGAAAUUUUCCAGAUUUAUUGCACGACCCAAUUAAUUAUUAAAAAUCAUAAGUCACUGCCAUGCAAGCAUUUAAAUUACCAUAAAUUCAUUUAUACAUCAAAUAAUAUGUACCAAUAUUUUCGCAGUGAGCAAACACACAUGCAAAGCCAAGAAAUCAAGUUUCACAUUUUUCUGAGCCAUAUUUUAUUUACUAUGCAUUUUGCAAGUUUAACAAAAUCAUGGAUAAAAUAUAUUCACACAGAAAAGUUACUCCAACAUGACAUGCAAUUACAUCAAACUGUAGAUCUGGAUAUAUAGAGCACACCAAAAUUUAUUUCAUUCAAUUUGGAGCUGUAGAACUUAAGAUAUAGAUUUUACAAACUUUAAAUCCAUUUUUGUAAAACACUUUUUCAAGAAAACCGACGAAAAAGGCUACGUACACCCAGAUCUACACCCACCAGGGUACCCCUGCGACUGACAGUGGGUCCCCGACCCCACCGGUCAGCGAGACCGAGAGGGAGCUCACCUCCGACGAGCGGAUCUCGCCGGCGGUGAGGUCUCCGGCCACGGGGUGAGCACCAACGUGCUCCCCGCAGCAAGACGCAUCCAGCGGUACCCUUGGAUCGACCAGAGGACGGCCGGAACACCUCCGGCGAGCAUGCAUGGCGGCACGGCGGCGCUGCUCGCCGUGGCCAGGCUGCUCCGGCGCGGUAGAGCGUGCGCAAACGCCUCUCCGAGCUUCCUCACCUUCCUACCGACCUAGCGCAACAAAGAACGAGCGAAAACAAGCAGGGAAACGCUAGAUCCGUCGCGGCGGAGUACUCCGGCGAGCUCGGGGUAACUCCGGCGAGCGAUUCACGGCGCUCGACGGACUCUCACCUCGGUAGAACGUUCGCACGAGCUUACCCCAGCGACGGCGAGUGCCAUGGUGCUCUUGGCGUCGAGCUUGGGGCUCUGGUGUGGCCGGCGACGAGCGGCGAAGCUCUCUCUGGCAAUGGCGCGCGGAGGAGCGGCUGCUGCUGCGCGGUGCGAGCGGAGGAGGAAGGAGAAGGAGGGCAUGGGGGAGACAGGAUGGAGGGAGUGGCCUGGGAGCCUGCGCUGGCGUCCCGACCAGGGGGGGUUGGAGGCCGGCCGCGGCGCGGCCAACGCCGGCGUACGGCCGCCACGUGGCCGGCGCCGGGUGGAGCGAGGCGGGCGCCGCGCGCGCGGGAGAGAGGGGAGGAGGAGCGGGCCGCGCUGUCCAGCUGGGCCAGAAGGGAGGCGGGUCGGCCCAGCAGCGCCUGCCCCCUUUCCUUUUUUUUUGAAUUUCUUUUCUCAAAUUCUUUCUAAAUUCAUUUGGACCAAUUUAAAAUCAUUUUCACCUCUUGCUCCCAAAAACAAAGUUGUUCCAAAUUAAAAACUCUACAACUUUGCUUUGACAAGCAAGACCAAAUUCCAAACAAAAUUUGAAUUACAAGUUAAAACUCAGUUCUAGGUUUUAAAUAAAUUCAUUUUGGGAAAAUUUGUAUAAAUUCUAUUUCUCAAAUUCCGUAGCUCCAAAAAUUGCACAAAAAUAUUCUAAAUUCUUCUUACACAUAAAGCAACCUAAUUUGAAUAUUUCACAAUUUUAGAAGCAAGCAUCAUAUUUUUAACAUAUUUAAAACACAUGAAAUGAUGCACAUAAAAUCAUAUUCUUAAAAGAAUGAUAUGCUCAUGAUGCUUAUGAUUGAUGAGAAUGCUUAUGCAUGACUUUGAUAAGACUAAGUGCAUGCUUAACACCUAGGGUGUUACACUAUCAACGGAGGGUGGACUAUAUAAGAAUCAACGAAGCUGUCACUAUCGCGAACUACCACACGACCCGACCAAUAGGAUAUAUUUGCAGGUAAAUAACAUCUAAGCACCACGCCCAUAUGUGAUCUACCACUUAACUCCCUCGCGUCAAGAGGUAAGCGCUUUGCAAACUUAUACAUAAACUCAUUAUCAAUCAUAACUAUAUCAAAUAUAGAACUAGAGCAAACUAAGAACAAAAUAAAUAGAUACAUAAUGCAAUUAGAACAAAGUAUUAGAGAAAGAUAUGAAUAAUACCAAUCUUUAUUACCGAAGAUCCGAAUCCAGAGCGUAGUGCUCUACUUCUCUAAUUGCUAUCUAAUCAAACCUCUAAACUUGAAGGAUUAGGGAGUAGCUAAUUCUAAUUCUCUGUGGGAGAGAAGCUCUAAACCCUAACUUUGAUGGCUACCUCUGACUAAUGAUUUCUUCUCUUCUCUUCUCUCCCCCAGGAGUGGAGAGGCCUUGGUUAUAUAGUCCUUUCAAGUGAAUUUGGGCCGUUGGAUCAAACCGACAUUGAUUGUAUGGUUUAGAUUCAUCCUUUAGGUCGGUGGAGUUUAGUCCCGAAAGAGAGUCCUGAUUGGACUCUAACCCUGGGCGGGCGCCCAAGGGGGGUGGGCGGGCGCCCUGCCCCCGAGCCCGAUCGUCUUCUCGUUCGUUCCCGUGCCUUCUGCACUCUUCUAGAUUGAGGAAAAUUGCGCGGCACGUAAUUAUCUCGUUGUAAACAUGACAUGUGGGCCUUCUCUCCAUAUUCUCUGAUAAACCCCUGCAGAAAUAGAUAAACACCAAAGCUUGUGGAAUUCUGUCAGAUAAAACCCUAAUUCUAGAUGUUUGGUGCAUAUUGAUCCUUUUCUAUGUUUAUUUGAUUAUUAGUUUUAGUACUUAAGGACCGUCAACAAACUACCCUAAGCAUACCCUUUGCUCGUCCCUGAGCAAACAGCUAAACUCAGACGGAUCAGGAGUUGCUUCGAUGUUUUCUUUCCUGACAGGCACACAUGCUUUUACAUAAAAAUUCUUCCAGAUUAGAGUGAAGUGUUAUGGAGCUUAGUACCUGCACUUGAGUCUUAAGUAAUUGAAAGACAAAACUAUUAAGUCAAGCACUAUUCCUCCUGUCUAUACUUCAUUGUAACACCCUAAAAUUUAAUCCUUUUGAAAUAUAGAUAAAAUUAUUUAAUUUUGUAUUUUUGUGCUCAUGAAAAUAUAGGAAAAAUAAUAUUUUUCAUUAAAUUAAAAUUUAUCAUAAGGCUUAGCAAUAUUAUUAUGCAUACAUGCAGGUGUAUAUGUUUUGAUGGUAAGAAAAAUAUUUAAAAUACUUUUCGUAGAUCAAUCUUCCUUAUUCGGCACGUAUUUAUCUUUUAUCUACAACCAAAUUCCUUGUUUCUAAGCUCAAAUUUUUAUUAGGACCUUCCUAAAAUAUUUUUUUUGUCACUCAAAGCACUUCUUUUAGUUACUCGUCCAUCAAGCACUCUCUACAAAAUUUUCGGGAAUUUUUUCAGCUUCUGUCUCACUUUUCUGUGAGCAUGAUCUAAUUUUUAGAUGCUCCAUACAAUCUUCUCACGAGCUCCAAAAGCUUUAUUCGGGUUCCCCAUGUUUUAUAAUAUCUCUGAGAAUUUUUCCCGAAUUUUCGGAGCUUUCGGAGUACUUUUCGUGGCUUAAAUCAUAAUUCUGGACUUUUCUAGAAUUAUUUUAUCAGUGAAAAUAAUUAAUUUCGAAAAUAAUAAAUCUCUUAUUAUUUUUCUAACGUCAAAGCCCAUAAUAAAUCCUCACAACCAUAUAUUUAUUUACUAAGGGGCUUUAAUAAUUAAUUAGGCCUAUUAGUAAAGAUGAAGGUUGCAAAUCAAUUAGUAACAUAUCGCUAGUUGACGUGGAGGUGGGGAGUUUUUCUUCCUAUAUAUAUGUACCAACCCUUAGGCAAAGCACAUCAAAGACUAUUAUAUGGGAAGCCUCUAAUUUGAGAAUUCCUAAGGUAGUAAAAUAAAAUUUAUAUUUUCUUCUCUACAACGUGAUUGCCAUCGUCUCGCCUAUACACGACAUCUACGAACGGUCGGCUGCUCCGGCGUUACUGUAGCUCCAAGAAAGCGUCACUGCCGGUGAACCUACUCCCUGUCCACCAACGUAAGCCCCAAUCACUUUAUCUUUUAGUUUGGAAAAUACAAACAGCUCGGUUUUUAGAUUAAAAAUACGUUUUCACUAUUUACAGAAUUGCCACUGACUUUCUUUUGGCCAUAAAAUAUUCAUUUUAACUCUGAUUUGACCCAUUCAAAUUGCGUUAGGUUCGUUUUAAUGAGCUCUACAUGUUAGUAACAUUGUUUUCUCAGUUUAAAACUUUCUAUUUUCGCGACCCUAAUUAAUUAAUUACUUUUCUAUAUAAAAUCUUAGAAAAUUCAUAACUUCUCUGUUUUAGCUCCGAUUUUCGUGAUCUUUACGUCUAUAAAAUCGUAGCGAUGCGUAGAAUCAUUUUAUAAACUUUUCAUACUGUUUUUACAUGUUUGGUGUACUGUUCUAAUUAUAGUCUUGUUUCCUUCGAUUGUUUGUGUGAUCGAUGAUCGAGAUUAGACGAUGAGCAAUCCUUGGUGAACCAGAGUGCUUUAGUGAUCAAGAUCAGAGCCUUGGACAUCUAGUAAGACUAGCAAGAUCAACAAGAGCAAUUGGAUUAAGGCAAGUAUAGCAUUUAGAUUUUAUUUCUGUGACCAUGAUCCUCUGACUAGAUUAAUGUUAAGUAAUAGACGAUAAAAAUGACUUUUUAGCAACUUGAUGAGUUAUCUGUACGUGAUCACCCGAGACAACAGUGCAACCAUGAGGGCUAUAAUGGCUCUGGCUUUAGCUCAGUAUGAAGACCUUUUCUAGCUUGUUAGAGGCUACCCGAAAGGGCGGAGGGGCCGAACCGUUUUGGGUAUAGUGCGAGCCCCUGUCCUUAUGUGUAUAGGCUGCGCGUCAUUGUGCCAUUUGGAAGGGGGGCAUCUAUAUCUGCGUGCAAAGGAAACCUUGCGGCCCUAACAUGUUAGACGAACUUUUGAAAGGCUUCAUAGUGAUCCCUGCCGACCUUCCUUGGUAGUGGGUUAAGAGGUCGACGGGCCUCGGGCGAAAGGGUAAAUCAUGACUCAUGGGUAAAGAUGUACAACCUCUGCAGAGUGUUAAAACUAGUAUACUAGGCGAGCUCACGGUCAGGAGCGGCCUUUGGGACAUCUACAUUAAGGGUGAUGAUUCUUGUGUGUUAAAUAUACUCAUUGUUUAUUGUUUAAUGCUCUACAUUAUUUAUGUCACAUUGAUCAUGAGAUUGUGGGAUCUAUACAAUCUAGUUGCUAUACUUGUGGAGUUCGACAUGGACUCACUCUUGCUAUUUCCCCCAAACCUCAGGAGAAGUUUAGGCUUGUGAUCAAACAGUCAGUGGGAUCCUGUAGAGUGAAGUUAAUACCCGAAGUUUGGAGUUAUCUUUCCGCUGUUUGCUAUCAAAGGUUAUCUCUUUUAUACUAAGCAUGUUAUAUAUUUAUGCAUUGUCUUUUGAUAUUACCCCUUAUUUGUAGCUAUAUGUGGGAUUUGACUUCUAAAACUCACAUAUGGUGCAUAUCUGAUUUUAUCCUUAAAAUCGGGUAUUACAAAGUGGUUUCAGAGCAAUGCUGACUGUAGGACGCAAGCCUAGUUAGAAAUUUGUCGUCUUAAAGUUUUGGAAUUGUCAAAAAAUCCUUUCUCUAUAAACCUUGGUAUUUUCAUCCAUACUAUAUCCCUAUCCUUGCUAUUUGUCUCCACCUUGUUGCUUAUUUUAAAAGUACAUGUUCUCACCUUCACUUCUUGAUUCAGUAUGCUAUUAGAACCUUUUCUUACCUCCUUCUUGCGUCUUUGAAACAUAAGUUUUAGGAUCUUUGCCCUUAAUGAAGAUAACGAUAAUAUCACAAGUUGAGUGUAGUGUGCUUAGUUGGUUUGUUAUUAUGCUCAUGUUUGAUUUGGAUCUUUGUAAUGAUUGCCAUGAUCUUGUGGAAUUACUUCACAAUUUCAAGAGUUUAUAGACCUAAGGCAUCAGGAUUAAUGAAAUAAGUAGUUGGGUUUGGCUAUCUCUUGAUUCUAUCCCUUGCUGAUUUCUGGAGCAGUUUGCAAUAAUGCUGGUGUAUCUAAAGGUCCGAUCGUGCAAACUUUAUCAAAUUUUUCUGGGAACAACUAGAUUUCAAGAUAUUUCUCUGACCGCAAGAAUCACCCUCAUAGCUAUUAUGGUUUGGAAGUUACAGAAAUCAGUAGAUGAUACAGAUGUGCUGUCCAGAAUCUGGACCAGUUUCGGGAACUUGCUGUUUGAGACAAAUAUAACUAUAGAAUUUGGAAAAGUGUUCUAUAGAAACGUUAUAGACGACUUGCUAAGCUUUCCAACGGUAUAAUCUAAAACUUAUUUGGCUAAGUAGAACCUGAGAUAUGAUAUUUACAAUUGGAUGUUUCUGUUCUGUAUCAAAGUCUGGACAGUUUUGGUUUUCCCUAUUUUCGGCCAAGUUAAAGACAGAAAUCUGGGAAAACAUGGUAUACAAAAGUUGUAGAGGAUUUCCUAAGCUUUUCAAAAAUGUAAGGAUCAUCUCCAGAUGAGUUAAGUAGCUCGAGAUAUAAUUUCUGGAAGUUACUGCACCUUUGCUGAGACAUUAUCAGCAAGGAUAUUAUGUUUGGUUAUUUUACCUAUGCUUAAAGACAGAACCUAAGGAGGACUUCUACAUGAAAGUUGUAGAGAAUUUCAUAAGUUUUCUAACAAUAUAAUCUGCAACUCUAUUGGAUUAUCAGAAUAAUAGUUAUACCUAUUUUACUAUGCUGCUAUUUUUUUCAUAUCGCGAGGAAAUUUUAGCAUACCUGUUUGCUCCACUGCAUAUAAGUUCUUUGGGAUGUCAGAAGUUCUCAAUGUUAACUUGUCUGGAAAGUAUGCAAGCUACCUUUCUUGGUCCCCUAGUUGACUUUUCUUAAGGGGGGUAGCCCAAUUAAAGAACUACAAGGAGAAGAAGUGGUUAAUAACUGGAACAUCUACAAGGACAUCAAGUGCUUGGUAUGUUGGUUUGUUUCAAGAUAUCAUUCUAUUUGGAGUGUGCUAAUACCAAUGGAGGCUUAUGUCAUUACUGAUACUCAUGGAUUAAGAGUUGUGUAUGAGGAUCAGAUGACACCAAAGUCUACAGAGUUGUAUGUAUAGUGUGAGAGUGAACCAACUUAACUGUGAUAAAGGUACCGAUAAUUGGAACUUAGUGAUGAAACUAACCUUGGAUCAAGAGACUCAGUACAGCGAAUUUAAAAGACUAUAUGAUGUGUAGCGUCUAAAAAGAAUAGGAGAAAUAAGUUUAAAGAAGGAUCGUAUCUACUACACUAGGUGUCUCGUCAAUAUUUUAGGAAUACUUGAGAGGCUACUUAGAGUAAGAGAGUGGAAUCAUUGCUAUGAAGAUAUAGCUACUCAAGAAAGUGAACAAGAUUCAAAAUCUACGUCUCUUUGAUAACCGUCUUCCGAAUCUCGAGGACGAGAUUCAUCUUAGGGGGGUAGAAUUGUAACACCCUAAAAUUUACUCCUUUUGAAAUAUAGAUAAAAUUAUUUAAUUUUGUAUUUUUGUGCUCAUGAAAAUAUAGGAAAAAUAAUAUUUUUCAUUAAAUUAAAAUUUAUCAUAAGGCUUGGCAAUAUUAUUAUGCAUACAUGCUGGUGCAUAUGUUUUGAUGUGAUGCUUGUUGAUCCUUUAUGUGUUGAUAGUAAGAAAAAUAUUUAAAAUACGUUUAGUAGAUCGAUCUUCCUUAUUCGGCACGUAUUUAUCUUUUAUCUACAACCAAAUUCCUUGUUUCUAAGCUCAAAUUUUUAUUAGGACCUUCCUAAAAUAUUUUCUUUCUCACUCAAAGCACUUCUUUUAGUUCUUCGUCCAUCAAGCACUCUCUACAAAUUGUUCGGGAAUUUUUUCAGCUUCUGUUCUCACUUUUCUGUGAGCAUGAUCUAAUUUUUAGAUGCUCCAAACAAUCUUCUCAUGAGCUCCAAAAGCUUUAUUCGGGUUCCCCAUGUUCUAUAAUAUCUCUGAGAAUUUUUCCCGAAUUUUGGGAGCUUUCGGAGUACUUUUCGUGGCUUAAAUCAUAAUUCUAGACUUUUCUAGAAUUAUUUUAUCAAUGAAAAUAAUUAAUUUCGAAAAUAAUAAAUCUCUUAUUAUUUUUCUAACGUCAAAGCCCAUAAUAAAUCCUCAAAACCAUAUAUUUAUUUACUAAUGGGCUUUAAUAAUUAAUUAGGCCUAUUAGUAAAGAUGAAGGUUGCAAAUCAAUUAGUAUCAUAUCGCUAGUUGACGUGGAGGUGGGGAGUUUUUCUCCCUAUAUAUAUAUAUAUGUACCAACCCCUUAGGCAAAGCACAUCAAAGACUAUCAUAGAAUCACCCAAAAAUAUUCUACUCCUAAUCCGGGAGAGAAUAGCCAAAAAAAUAUUUCUGUUUUCCCUUGUGAAAUAAAUGCUCAAGUUAUCUUGUUACUACCACUUGCUAUAUUAUCUCAAGAGAUGAGUGCUCUAAAAAAACAAGGAAAUAAAAAGGAGCAAGUGCUCGGAACCUCGAAAGAAAAGAAAAAGUGAGACGAGAGGUAAAAAUGGACAAGUGUCCGACAGUAGAAUUAGGGGUACAAGAUACCCACCUGAGAGAAAAGAAAAAUGAAGAGCAUCUCAUUCUCCACAUAAAGUUUCAAAAAGCAAGGAAGGUAUGUAUCCCUCAAAGAGCAAAGUAGAAUUAGACUUCCACCAUUGUUAUCACCAUCAUCACCAUACACCAUUCAUUCGCCACACAUGCACAUCUUGAUUAAACUUAUUGGCUUGUUUCUUUGGAUCCAUGGUUUGACUAUGCAAUAAAUGUCUUAUGAGUAUGUAUACUUUAUCUCCCACCUAUGAGCUCCAGAUAUUAAAGCCUUAUUAGAGUAGGGUGAGAGAGGAGACAAUGUCACUAUGCUUUAUACCACAAAUACUACAUAUCUUGAGAGAAGGCAUAUACCAUCACUGCCUUGGUAAGGAUCCAGAAAUACCACAAAAGAGAGAUCUGAGAGAAUCAUACAAGGAAUUUUUGAGUUUUAUUUGAAAAUCUACAAAAACCCCAGAGCUAUAGCUGAUUAAGAAUAAGAGACAUGGCACUUGACUAGACUGUUCUGUCUUUUAACUACUCAAGAUAGAAGUGACGGUUACAAGUCCCAUGGUGAAGGUAAAGUAAGUAAGUUUUAAGUCUUGACAGUUUACUCUAACUCAGAGAUGAGAUCUUAUUUAAAAAGCAUGUGUACCGUCAAAAUUUUAAAAAUAUUGCAACAACUUAUGAUCCAUAGCUGAGUCUAUCCUUGCUCAGGGACGAGCAAGAGGUAAGCUUGGGGGAGUUUGUUGACGGUCCUUAAGUAUCAAAUUUAAUUAUCAAAUAAAUAAAGAAAAGGAUCCAAAUGAAAUCAACAUCUAAACUUAGGGUUUUAUCUGACAGAAUUCCACGAGUUUUGGUGUUUGUCUAUUUCUGUAGGGGGUUAUCAGGAAAUACGGAAGAAAAGCCCACACAUCGGGAUUACAUAGAGAUAUUAACGUGCCGCACAAUUAUCUUACAUCUAGAAGACUCCAGAAGCCGCGAGACCGAAGCGGAGGCGAAACGGGGCCAGAGGCAGGGCGCCCGCCCUGUUCCCCUGGGCGCCCGCCCUCUCCCUGAGUCCAAUCAAGACUCUGCUUCGCGGGAGAUCUCCACCGACCUAAAGGAUGAAUCUAAACCAUACAAUCUAUGUCGGUUUGAUCCAACGGCCCAUAUUCACAUGAAGGGACUAUAAAACCAGACCCCCUGGCCCCUGGAGGAGAGAGCCUCUCAACCCUAAUUCAUUGUUCCUCAAGGGAGAAGAAGCCUCUGAUCAAGAUUAGAGCCACCACAUCAAUUAGAUAUCUAGAUUAGCAUAGCUACAUAGGAUUAGAACUAGAAGGAGUCAAUCUUUGAUUGGUUUCUGGAUCUGUCAGGAGGAUUCUUGGUAAUUCUCUAAUUGUGCUUCUAAUUGCUUUCUAAUUAUCUUUGUUCUUCAAUAUUAUGAAUAUGACUUUGUUCUACUUCAAUAUAUUGCUUAUGACUUUGCUCUACUUGUUUAUAUUCAAGAUUAUAUUGUUCUUAGUUUAUCAUAGUUAUGUACUUGGCUUAGUUAGAUUCGAUCUAUAUACAUGCUUAGGAUCGUAUAGCGUUUAUCCAUCGGAUCCAUGGGUAAAUGAUAGAUAUUGUGUAGGCGUGGUGCUUAUACCGUAUUUAUCUGCGAUUGUACCCAAUAUGCCAGAUCGUGGGGUGGUUCGUGAUAGUGACAGCUUCAUUGAUUUAUAUAUAGUCCCCCUCUCGUGUAUUGGGCUGGCAGAGCAACAUUAUUACAGGGGAGUGAUUGCUAUGUUUCUCAUAUUCCUUGCUAAUAUCACUAUGCAUGGGCGUAGUCUUGUCUCUGUUGACGGUGGAUAUACCAUAGAAAUCCACAUACAAAACACCGUCAACAUGCCUCGGUUGCAAGGGGAAAUGACAUGACAUGAACAUAUUUUAUCCAUAACUAGUUCCACUUGUACUCUUAGCUUGUUUAUGCAGGAACAACAAAUUCAAGACAUUAUUUGACAAAGCCAACAUCAGAAUCAUCAAGAGGAGAUCGAGGGGACAAUAGGUGACACCCUGGGCCCACAGGGAGGGGGUCGCCCGACCCCUCUUUGGUGGGACCCAGGUGUGCCACCUAGUCCACCGACAUAAGGGACCCCUGUGGACACUGCUGGUGGGCCCAGAGGCCCAGAAGUGGGGUCGCUCGACCCCACAUCAAAGGCGGUUCCAGGGUCGGUGGCCUCCCACCGACCUUCCCCACAUGUCCCACAUGUUGAUUUGCCCCUGCCGUUGAUCAAAUGGCGGUUGUGAGGUCGGUUUGAUCCAAGGGUGGAGAGAAGAUGUCACGCGAUCGAUGACGUGGCGAUAGAGUAACCCCUACUCCAUCUCCCUCUAUAAAAGGCAGCCUCCACCCUUCAUUUCAAGUGUGCAAUUCCAAGGCCAAGUGCAUUACAAGUUCCAAGCAUACAAGUAGAGUAGUAGUUAGUCUAGAGUGGGAGUUAGAGUCGAGUCGAGCGAAGCUCGGGGUCUCCGGAGUCGUCUUCUGGAGAGUCUGGUAUAGCUCUUGUACCUUUCUACUUUUGUAAGACUUUCCUUUUAUUAAUAUAUUAUUCUUACUUUACUUUACUGAGUUCUUACUUAGUGCAAGUCUUUUAGUCUUGUUGUGCAUUUACUUUAGUAAUAUAGUUGUCUUAGUGAAGUUAGUGACCUGUAACCACUCCUGUGUGUGCAUCAUCGUCCUAUCUUGUAUAGGAGCUCUAGCUAGCUGCAACUAGUUAGAGUUGUAGGAUUAAGUGUGAGCGUGGUGCUCAUACUUAAGAUUACCUUUGAUUACCGCUGACUUGAACGGAAAGUAGGAGCGCACUCCCUAGUAGGUGACAGAUCGUGGGCGGCAUUAGGUUCUUCUCACGUACAGGCUAGUUCUUAAAAGGUAAGGCGUCCAUAAGCCCAAUAGUCGCUUUCGGUAAGGGGUUAGGUGAAAAACCUUCUAAGCGUCUUACCAGCUCGGCUAUCCCUCGCACACAGUUAGUAAGGCUCUAGCGUAGUUAAGGCAAUUAUCUAUUAAAGUAAGUCACAGAAGUCAAGUUAGAUACAUAGGAGUCCUUUACUCACUCGUUGUCCUCCCACCUAGCUAACUCUACCAUUUACCUUUAGCAUAGGACCUUGGAUUCACCACUACCCUUCCUAUUCGUUAUUUACCACCCUUAUUCACUAGUUGAUACUAGACAACUCAAGGAAUCUCAUUCCCCUUUUUGUUAAACACACUUAGCCGCUUUCCCUUGGGAAAAUAUAAAUUACGAUACCUUGGAAUACUCCUUGGUGAAGUGCUACAGCGGUACAUUCUGUGCGCUUGCGGAAUUAUCCAAUAGUAAAUAGAGUUACCCUACCAGGGCACUUCUGGCGCCGUCGCCGAUAUCCGGUGGUUGCGUUAAGAAGUGUCAACAGUCUCGCAAUGAUUGCUAAGUAUGCUUGCACUAAUUAUGAUAUGCUAGACUAUAUAGUUAAGAAUAACUUAGGGAAUAUUCUUGUAGUUCGUUCUAAUACCAUGCUAAUGACUUUCUAGAGUAUCUAAUUGAGGUGCUUAUCAUAUUUAUUAUGUCUAGAUUAGAUUAAUUAUCUUUGUUACUAUUAUUAUUUCAUAUAUCUUUUAUGUGACACUUAUCCCUGUAUGAAGAGUUAGAUAUAAUGUUCUCAAUUAUACAUGCAAUGGUAGAUGCUCAAUCUCAUAUUCUAUUCUGUAAUCAAUAUUGAUGAUUGCUAAUCCCUUCCCAGUGGUAAAAAUAUAAAUAACGAUACCUGGAAUACUUUCCGGUUAAAAUGCUGCAUCGGUAUUAAUCUGUGCGCUUGCAGAUCCCAUUCAUUAUUUAUUUAGAAGAGCAAUUGCAUAUUUCAAUACCGCGUCUCUUAUAUCAUGCUGGGGAUGACAACUUGGCUUAAGUGGUGUGAGGGAUAGGUUUGGCAUUUUUGGCACCGUUACUAGAUUUAGAGAACUUAGUCUACUUUUGGUAAUGAUGUUAAGAAUACCCAACAGGUGUCGAAGGUGAAAACGUCUGUGACGGCUUUCCAAACUAACUCCUUGCCACGAUCAGAGACAAAACUGAUCUCAGGAGCAUCUCGCUUCUCUCUCCAUUCACGAGCACUGAUCGGUAUUUGAUCUUUCACAAGAUAUCCACAGUGACUAACAUAUUUAUUUGCAUGCUCACCAAGUGGUCUGCCUGUAGCUAUCUCAAACUCAGAGAUUACAUAGCGGCCCUCCAACGGCUUCUUUAGCCCUCGUGGAGGUACGCUUCUCCCCGUAGAAGUCGAUCCAGAAGGCUACACGUAGAUAUAGAAACAAAAAUACUAAAUUAAUAACCAAGUAAGUCUAAAACCUAAUGUAAGAGAUGCAUUAAUUAUAUAUGUUUACAUUUACAUACAUCGCCAGUAUUUUUUUCUUGUUGCACGACAAGUUGUUGCUCAGGCGCAUUGCCCUCUUGUUGCUCAGGGGCAUUGCCCUCUUGUUGCUCAGUAGGAUUGCCUUGCAUGAUCUCAUGGUAAUCAAUAAGGUACUGACUAACGCCGUCGAUUAUAUUUUGAAUCGCAUCUUCCAUAUAUUCAGGAUCAUCAUGAGCGCGGUCAGCCAUUUCUAUGUCUGCAAUCAUACAUAUAUAUAUAUAUAUAUUCUAUAUAAGAUAAGAAAUACACUAGAAUAAUAUAAGUGCUAGAGUGCUCCAAACUAAAAAGUAAUACUAAAAAAAUAAUACGGACAAUAACACUAGAAUAAUAUACUAGCACAAUAUAUUUCAUAACAAUUCAAAACACUACAAUUCAUAAUAUACUAGAAUAAUAUACUAAAAAGUCUUUUAAGCCAAGUAAUAUACUAGAAUAAUAUACAAAAAAUAAUACUAGAAUAAUAGUAUAAACAAUAAUAGUAUAUGUUUUAAGCCAAGUAAUACACUUGCACCUAGAAUAAUGUACUAAAAAAAAUUAAUACUACAAAAUGAUACAAGAAUAAUAUAAGUGCUAUAGUGCUCCAAACUAAAAAAUAAUACUUAAAAAAAUAAUACGGACAAUAACACUAGAAUAAUAUACUAGCACACAAUAUAUUUCAUAACAAUUCAAAACACUACAAUUCAUAAUAUACUAGAAUAACAUACUAAAAAGUCAUUUAAGCCAAGUAAUAUACUAGAAUAAUAUACUAAAAAAUAAUACUAAAAAUUAAUACUAUAAUAAUAGUAUAAACUAAUAGUACAUGUUUUAAGCCAAGUAAUACACUUGCACCUAGAAUAAUGUACUAAAAAAUUAAUACUACUACAAAAUGAUACAAGAAUAAUAUAAGUGCAUAUAUAUACAUAAUAAUACAAAAUAAUAGUAUAUAAACUGUUGGUAUGAAAUAUAAGUGCAUAUAUAAUGAUACAAAAUAAUAGUAUAAAAUAAUGAUACAAGAACAAAAUGAUACAAAAUGAUACAAGAAUAAUAGUAUAUAUAUAUACAUACAUACACAUACAUAUAUAUAUAAGAUAUAUAUAUAUAUAUAUAACAUAUUAUUCAUCGAAACUGUUGUUAUUCAUAUAUAUAUAUACAAUUCAUAUAUACAAUUUUAGUCUAUACAUAUAAAUUGUUGACAUUCAUCCAUAUAUAUAUAUAUGUAUCGAUGAAGAAUAUACGUAGGAUCUGGUGGAGAUAGCCGCUGCAGCGGCGCUAGAGAUGAACGGCGGCGCUGGGGAGACGAACGGGCGGCGCUGCAGAUGGCGGCGGCGGCGCUGGAGACGAACGGCGGCGCUGGAGAUUGCGGCGGCGACCCUUUAACACCGGCGCGUGUUACCAGGCGGUGUUAAAGGUACCCUUUAGCACCGAUUCCAACCACGGACCGGUGCUAAAGGGUCCUGCGCGCUAGGGCGGGCUCCUGAAAUUUUCAGGACGGCCGGUGCUAAAGGCCCUGUUUUUUAGUUUAGGGUUUUUCAAUUGUGUAUAUAUAUAGUUUAUACUAUAAAUUGUAUAUUAAAUUAAAUAUUAUGCAUAAUAUUUUUUAAAUAGUGACAUAUAUUGUAAGUUUUUUUAAUGUACACAUGAAAAAUUUUAACCUUAAAUAUCCUACUGUUUUUUUAUAAUUUGCAAUGAUUUUGUAAGAAAUGUUUACUAUUUUGUUAAUGCAAAAAUAUAUUAUUCCAAUAAAUUUACAAAAACUAUAUCCAAUCAACUGGAAAUCUAUUUUCACAUCAUAUUGACGUAAAACUUUUUGUUUUUGUUAUCUAUUACUCGGAAUGCUAGUAGGGUAUUGUUUUCAUCAAAUAAAAAAUCUAUUUAUCAUAUAAAAAUAUAUAUCUUGAUGAACACACCCUUUGACCGAACCCUAAAUUGUCCCAAAUGGAAAAGUCAUGAAUACAAAGUUUGUUACACUCAUCAAGUUCUACAUUUUGUCUAAUGGUCAACUUUUCUUUUGGAAAAGUUUGAACCACUAAAUUUUGAAUUUUCAGAGAAUUCAUGGCCACGCAGUGGUUUUGGAACCCUAGAUGGUCUCGAAUGGAAAAGUCAUGAAUACCAAUAUUGUUCCACUCAUCAAAAUCUACAUUUAAUAUAUAGACCAAUUUUGCAUUUGACAAAGUUUUAGGAAGGUGUAGUUGAAAAUCCACAAUUGACACAUAUAGUUUCAUAUAGUUUGUGUGAGGUUCAAGAAUUGGUGGGUAUUGUUAACUUAAACUUUCUCAAAUGGAAAAGUUGUGUAUAUAAAAAGUUUAGAUCUUGAUGAUAUCUAACAACUUGGUAUUCAAAAUUUUUUCAUUUUAAGUAAUUUAGUUUGUCAUUUGACCAAGUUUGACCAAAAUCCGUCUUGGAUUUUAUAGAAAUGUGAUUAGGAUUGGCUAAAAAUUAUCCAAAUGGAAAAAUGGACAAUAUAUAAAAUGUAGAUCUUGAUGAUCUCUAACAACUUUGUAUUCAAAAUUUUUUCAUUUGAAGUCAUCAAAUGGGCCAUUUGAUCAAGUUUGACCAAAGUCAAAGCAUUGGUUUUUACAAAAACACCCUUUGACCGAACUCUAGAUUGUCCCAAAUGGAAAAUUCAUGAACACAAAGUUUGUUACACUCAUCAAAAUUCACAAUUCUCAAAUAUAGUUUCAUACAAAGUUUGUUACAACAUAUACUAUUAAACAUUACUUUAUGUUAAGCCGACACAACAGUGAACUUCUUCUUGACGUAUGACCCAUGGUUAUGAUCCUGCCGUAACCAUGGAGUAUCCUCAUUCGUUAACAGAAUGCUUGGGUCUUUGUUGACUACGAAGGGCGGAAUUCGAUCAUUCCUUUCGUAAUCGCCUGACAUGUCUGACUUGUCCUCAAUUCCGACAAUGUUUCUUUUCCCAGAAAGGACAAUGUGGCGCUUUGGCUCAUUGAUGAUUGAGUGGUCAUCAUUUUUUCCUCUCUUUGGUUUCGUAGACAUAUCUUUGACAUAGAACACCUGACUCACGUCUGCAGCAAGGACGAAUGGUUCGUCUUUGAACCCACUAUUGUUAAGGUCCACGGUUGUCAUCCCAUACUCCUUGUCGACUGUUACCCCACCUCCGGUCAUCUUCACCCAUUGACACCGGAACAAAGGAACUUUAAAAUUAGCUACAUAGACUAGUUCCCAUAUGUCUUCUAUGCGUCCAUAAUAUGUUUGUCUGUUCCCAUUUGGAUCCGUGGCAUCCACGCGUACACCACUAUUUUGGUUGGUGCUCCUUUUAUCUUGGCCAACUGUGUAAAAUGUGUUACCAUUUAUCUCGUACCCUUUGUACGUGAGGACAUGCCAUGAUGGUUGCCUGGCCAACAAAUAAAGCUGCUCAUCAAUGUUUUCAUCACCUUGACAUUUUUUGCGCAACCAAUCGCCAAAAGAUUCCAUGUGCUGACGCAUUAUCCAAGCUUCAUUCUUCCCGGGCCACUGGGACCGUAGGAAAUCUUUGUGUACCUCAACAUAUGGAUCCACCAAUGAGGAGUUCUGGAGAACUGUGUAGUGUGCUUUAUUGAAGUAAUCAUCUCCCGUACCAUUGUAUGUUUUCUUCCCAAGUGUUCCCUUUCCGCUGAGUCUGCCCUCGUGUCGAGAUUCAGGAAUGCCAAUUGGGUCAAGGUCUGGAAUAAAGUCAACACAGAACUCUAUGACCUCCUCUGUUCCGUAGCCCUUGGCAAUGCUUCCUUCUGUCCGGAAACGACUAUGGACAUAUUUCUUUAGGACACCCAUGAAUCUCUCGAAGGGGAACAUGUUGUGUAGGAACACACGACCAAGAAUACGAAUCUCUUUGACGAGAUGAACUAGGAGGUGUGUCAUGAUAUCGAAGAAGGAUGGAGGGAACACCAACUCAAAGCUGACGAGACAUUGAACGGCAUCAUUAUGUAGAGUAGCUAGUUGCUCUGGAUUGAUUUCCUUCUGAGAAAUUGCAUUGAGGAAUGCACAUAUCUUUACGGUGGCUAGACGUACGUGUGGAGGUAAAAUUCCUCUUAAAACGGCCGGCAGCAAUUGCGUCAUUAGAACGUGACAGUCAUGGGACUUCAAGUUCAGGAAUUUCUUCUCUGGCACAUUAAUUAUUCCCUUGAUAUUGGAGGAGAAUCCAGAUGGGACCUUGAUGCUGCUAAGACAUUCAAACAUGUUUUCCUUCUCUUCUUUGCUCAGAGUGUAGCUAGCAGGGCUUAAGUAAUGAAGUCCAUCAUCUGUCUUUUCUGGAUGCAGGUUGUCUCGUUCUUUCAUGCGCUGCAAGUCUUGUCGUGCUUCAAGUGAAUCCUUAGACAUCCCGUAGACACCCAUGAAUCCGAGCAAGUUCACACAAAGAUUCUUUGUCAGGUGCAUCACGUCGAUCGUGUUGCGGACCUCUAGGACAUUCCAGUAAGGUAGCUCCCAAAAUAUGGAUUUCUUCUUCCACAUGGGUACGUGUCCCUUAGCAUCCUUGGGAAUAGGUUCGCUGCCUCAUCCCUUUCCAAAUACCACUUUUAUAUCCUUGACCAUUUCGAGUACAUCAUCCCCGCUUCGAUUGAGAGGUUUGGUCCGGUGAUCUGCCUUGCCUUUAAAAUGCUUGCCUUUCUUUCGUACUGGGUGGUUCACAGGAAGAAACCGAUGGUGGCCAAGGUACACGACCUUUCGACAUUUUUUCAAAAAUACACAGUCAAGGUCUUCAUAACAAUGUGUGCAUGCAUUAUAUCCCUUGUUUGACUGGCCUAAAAGAUUACUCAGAGCUAGCCAAUCAUUGAUUGGUACAAACAGCAAUGCUCGCAGGUCAAAGUGCUCUUGUUUGUACUCAUCCCACACGCGAACUCCUGGUUUGCUCCAUAAAAGUUGAAGUUCCUCAACUAAUGGCCUUAGGUAGACAUCUAUGUCAUUGCCAGGUUGCUUCGGUCCUUGGAUAAGCACCGGCAUCAUAAUAAACUUCCGCUUCAUGCAUAGCCAUGGAGGAAGGUUGUAGAUACAUAGAGUAACUGGCCAAGUGUUGUGACUACUGCUCUGCUCACCGAAAGGAUUCAUACCAUCUGUACUUAAGGCAAACCGCAAGUUUCUAGCAUCAUCUGCAAAAUUUGGGAAUUCUCUGUCUAUCGCUCUCCACUGGGAUCCAUCGGCAGGGUGUCUCAGCAUAUUGUCUAUCUUACGGUCUUCUUUAUGCCACCGCAACAACUUUGCAUUGUCCUUAUUUCUGAACAGACGUUUUAAUCGUGGUAUCAUAGGAGCAUACCACAUAACCUUGGCAGGAAUUUUCUUCCUAUGACGUUCUUCACCCUCAACAUCGCUAGGAUCAUCUCGUCUAAUCUUAUACCGUGAUUCCUUACAUACUGGAAAUGCAUCCAAAUUCUCGUAUUCCUCCCCACGGUAGAGGAUGCAGUCAUUAGGACAUGCGUGUAUCUUCUGGAUUUCUAAUCCCAAAGGGCAGACAACCUGUUUUGCUUCAUACAUAGUGGUGGGCAAUUCGUUGCCUUUCGGAAGCAUCUUUUUUAUGAUCCUCAAUAACUGCCCAAAUGCCUUGUCAGAUGUACCAUUCUUUGUCUUCCAUUGCAGCAAAUCCAGUGUGGUACCCAGCUUUUUUUGCCCCUCUUCAGCGGUGGGAUAUAGCGAUUUCCUGUGGUCCUCUAGCAUGCGCUCGAACUUGGCUUUCUCUUUAUCACUUUCACAUUCUCUUUGUGCAUCACGGAUGGCAUCACCAAAAGCAUCAUCGCCCCGAUCAUCUUCUACCGCUACCUCUUCUUCAUUAUCUCCCCCCAUUGCAACAUCAUUGAAGCCACCGUACUGAGCAAUAAUAUUGGCAUGGUCCAAUUCUUCUUCUUUUUCUUCACCUUCAUCCAUUAUAAUCCCACUUUCUCCAUGUUUGGUCCAACAAAUAUAGUUUGGUACGAAACCAGAUUUCAAUAAGUGUGAAUGAAGAGUUCUUGAGUUAGAAUAUUCCGUCAAAUUCUUGCACACGACACAUGGACAGCACAUGAAACCGUCCCUCUUAUUUGUCUCGGCCACACUUAAGAAAUAGUGCACGCCAUUAAUGAACUCUUCGGAGCGCCGAUCGGCAUUAUACAUCCAAUUACGUGUUACCAUCUGCAUUAAAUAUAACAUAUAUAUUAUGAAAACCAUGCACACAUAUAGUUUCUCAUCUUAUUGCACAACAUGUCUAAGAUACAUAGUUGAUUAAUUUAGGAAAGCUUGGCUACAACAAAUACAAUCGCAACUAGCACUAAAAAAACCAAAACUAAAAUGCACUUAAGCAACAUAAUUAGUUCGCGUCCGAUCCCAACUAUAAUAGAUAGAUCAUUCGCUUGAUCAACAUCAUUGAACUCCUUUCGUCGGCUCAAUGCCUCACCACCUUCAGCCUCAACCACCUGUGCAAAAGAUUUCUUAAUGUGUUCAAUGUAUUCUUCCUCCCAAUACCAACCUGUACAUCCGCCGGUACCGUCCCACUGAAAUUAAAAGAGAGAAUCAAAAGUUUAAUUAAUAUCAUUUAAAAAAUAUGCACAUAUAUAAGCAAAUGUCUGGAAAUAACUCAUAGUACGAUCCGGACACUUGUAGAAUAUACGACCCUUGUUUACUUCCUCUUUCGACACUUUGUACUCCAUCAAAAUCUUCUGCCCACACUUGCCACAAGUAAUGAGAGGGAGUUCCGAACGGUAUCGCUUUUGAACCCGUUGAGAGACCGAAGACCCGGUCACGGUUGCCAUCUACUAUCCAUACUCAAUUUUUAAACAAUUAUAAAUUCCACAUUUACUAGUAAACAUGUAUGAUACAAUGGACAUUAUGUAGUAAUAAAAAUAAAUCAAGUGAUAUUAACAAACCAAUUAAUUUGAACUAUCCUACUUUCUAAGAUCAUAAAAAGAUAGUAUAAUUCAUUCUUGCAAACUACAUUAAUAGGUCAACCAUGAAAUAUGAUAUAUAUAUAUAUAUAUGGAUACUAAUUCAUGUGAAUGAUUCAAAAUAACAAAGUGGAUUUGAGCUAAAAAAUGAUGGGAACAUCACAAGCCAAAAACAACAUGAAAAAGACAAGAAAGGCUGAAGUUAGUCACCUCCAAGCACGAAGAGACGAUGACGGAGUCGAAGAAGAUCAACGAUGGGCGUUGGAGAUGAAGAACAAAUGAAGAACAAGCAAGAAGAAGCUCUAAGAAGAACAAUGGUGCUCUCGGUUUCAAAUGGACAGAGGGGAGGAGGGAGCCGGCCUAUAAACCGGACCUUUAGCACCGGUUCAGGGCAAAAACCGGUGCUAAAGGGUUACCCUUUAGCACCGGUUUGUAACACAAACCGGUGCUAAAGGGUUUGCCUCGGCCCGUCGUGCUGGCCGGUGCUAAAGGGGACCCUUUAGCACCGGUUCGUGUUGCCAACCGGUGCUAAAGGGUUCCUACCCUGACAGCACCUGUCAGUAGCCGUUGGGCAGGACCCUUUAGCACCGGUUCGUGUUACAAACCGGUGCUAAAGGGGUCUUUAACCCCGGGCCGCAAAAAGGCCGAGGUUUUUGGCCAUUUUGGGCAUCGACCAAUGCCUCAUUCUGUAGUAGUGGUAGCCAUAAUAUAGGCGAGCUUGAUAGAAUAUUCUUUCUGCUAAAUGGACAGGCAUGAUUAUACUCCGGUGAGUAUGACGAAUAUUUUACUUUCUCUAGAUGUGAAACAUAAUGGCGGUGGUGAUGGUGGAAGAUGGUGGUGGUGGCGGUGGCGGCGUGGUCAUGGUGGUGUGGUUGGUGGUGGUGGUAGUAGUGGUGUAGUCGUGGUGGUGCCGUGGUAGUACUAAGUACAUAUAGUGCUAUUACUUGUUGGUUAUCUAUUUAUGUUGUCUAACAUGUUCGCAUCUUCUUGUUUGUGCAACCACUAGUACAGGGGCAUAAUAUACAGGCGGUUGGUAACCUAUUUCUACAGGCGUUUUUCAACACCGCCUGCGCUGGAGGCCAGUAGAAAUUGUCUCAUUCCACAGGCGGUUCCUUGAGAGCCGCCUGUAGAAAACAUUUCCACAAGCGGCUCUCUUAGAGAACCGCCUGUGUAAAUGGCAAAUACACAGGCGGUUCCCUAAGAGAGCCGCCUCUGAAAACGUAUUUUAAAAAUGUAUUAUUAUUUAUUUAUUUAUAUUGUUAUUAUUUAAAUAUAUUGAUAUUGGUUGGUGUUCAAACAUAGCAACAUGCAAUUUAAAUAUUUUAUCUCAUACAUACAUUUGUAUACAUCAAAGUUUGGUGCUCAAAGACAUAAAGUUAAUUACAAGAGUAUAUUCAUCAUCACACGUUAUAUAUACAUCAAAGUUUGUUUCUGUCCUCUAAUAACCCUCUUUAGUAAGUUUGAGCUUCCUAAUCUCUGUUAGCAUCCAGAACUGUAUCCUGGAUAAUUGGCUUUCAUCAUCAUGAUAUUUGCCUUCAUGUGGAAUGACAUGCUUCAUGAGGAACGAGCAGAUGUCCUCAACUAUGUUGUCUAAAGCACGUUCGUCCAUGCGCUCCGCCGUCCCUUGCUUAUAUACCUGCAAAGAAAGUUUAUAAACAUUAUAUAUUUUAUGACUUCCAACUUUAAUGUCUGAUCUGUAUAAUGGACUAUUACUUAUAUUACCUUGGUAGGGUUCCUUUCAUAUCGUUCGUUCUCUCUCAUAUUCUUGCACACGUAGUAGCCACAGAGGACAGAUAAGGGCGGUUGCUUCAUGCACUUUAUAACAGGAGAGUGGUUAUUUAAUUAUAGUUGCAACCGUGGUCCUAUGUGUAUGAUUUGUAUUCCACUAGUACAAAAGUGCUCCAAGCCAGCGGUGGAACAUAAUUUUUACAGGCGGUUUUAAUUAAAAAACGCCUGUGGAAAAAAUGAGGCUUACCCGACUACAAAACCGCCUGUGAAAAUCAAAUUUUACAGGCGGUUUUUCUAACAAAACCGCCUGUGAAAAUCAAAUUUUACAGGUGGUUUUUCUAACAAAACCGCCUGUAGAAAUCAUGUAUUUCUACAGGCGGAUUUCUUAAGAAACCGCCAGUAGAAAUAUGAUUUCUACAGGCGGUUCCUUAAGAAAUCCGCCUGUAGAAAUAAUUUGAACUUGAAUUUUUUGAGCUUUUCAAAUGACCUCGUUUGAAAAAACCGUCAAAAUAAAAGUUGUAGAUCUUGAAAAGUUAUGAAACUUUGUAGUUAAUAAUUUUUUCAUUUGAAAUCAUCUUGUCAUCGAAAACUACGUUUGAAUUUCUCAAAUUUGAAAUUCAAAUUUUGUAAAUGACCUCGGAUGAAGGAACUACCAAUAUAAAAGUUGUAGGUCUUAAAAAGUUGUAAAACUUUGUAGUUGACGACUUUUCCAUUUGAAUCCGUUUAGGGCCUCAAAUAAUCAAUUUAUGCUUGGUUUAUGAUAGUAUGUGGCGAACUAAACUCUAUUAAAAACACAAGUGAGUGAUAGGUGGAGUGGUAGAGGAGGAUACGCGCGAGGGUGAGGUCUCAGGUUCGAAUCCCACCGACCGGGCGGAUAGCCAGUGAGCCUUCCCUAUAUUAAAAUCUUUUUUUCCUAUUUUUAAAAACCGAUUUCAUAUUUUUUACCAAAAGAUUUCUCAGGCGGUUGGCAUAACUGAACCGCCUGUAGAAAUGCAUUUCCACAGGCGGUUCUCAGUUACCCGCCUGUGGAAAAAUUUAUUUCCACAGGCCACCAAUCACAGGCGGUUCGCCAAACCGCCUGUAAAAAGGGGUUUAGAACCGCCUGUAUAGUACCUCUGUGUACUAGUGUUCAUAAGAGUAAAUUUUUACACGUAUCAGCCAGUUAUGUAUAACCUCCGAUGGCUGCCCUAGUCUGUUGGACUCGCACUUUCCAUGAUUUAUCUUAUAGAACCUGUAUGUCCUAUGAUCUCAAAUAGAAUCACCAUGUUAUCCUCAAACUCUCACAAUGCUUAUGUAUGCAUGCAUAGUGUUGGGUAUUUUAAACGCAAACAGAAAAAUCCGCAAGCGCACGGAUACCGAUGUAGCUUUCACCCGGGAGUAUUCCAGAGUAUCGAUUUUCCACAGAGAACGUGAGUGUACUAAUUAAGAUCCAAGAUCGCCCAAGGAUAACUAUAUAAUUAUUUUUGGUGGGAAGAGAGGAAGUUUUCUGAGUGUUCUCUAGUUGAUCUAAGAAUCAAGAAUUACUUCAAGAUUAUCUAUAUCGGGACAUCAGAGCACUAACCACAGAAAGAGAUGAGAAGGGGUCUAGGAAGCUCCGACUACGGUCCUACAAACACCGAUCCGAACGAGGUAGAAUACGUCGACCGUUAGGGCUGUCACUACCCUAGGGCUACCACAACAAUCCGCAGGAUUGGGUGCAAUUCCAGGUAAUUGCAAGACUAAACACCACGUCUAAUCUAUUAAUUACUACUCUAGCGUUAUAAAGACUAGAGCACUUGAUGCAAGCGGGAAUCCAAUAAAUAACUUGAAUGUAAAUAAAAGUAAUUAAAGAACUCAGGAAUUAUGAAUUGAAGAACCUGGAGAACGAUGAAGAACGAACCAGAUGCUGCAAAAGUAUAAUGUUGAGGAAGAUCCGUCAGAUCCGGCUCCUCCUCCGCUCUCCUCCUCUCUCCCUAUUUUCUAGAUUACAACUAGAACUAACUAGAACUAGAACUACAGGAACUAGAACUAGAACUAGAUGAACUAGAACUAGAUCUAGAUGAACUAGAGGUAGAACUAGAAGAACUAGAGGGAUCCUCUCUACUUGGAUGAAGAAUUGAAACCCUAACUUUGAUUCUGUAGAAGAGGUAUGAUCUCCAGGGGCCAGGGGGCCUUGCUUAUAUAGUCUGUUCAGAUGAAUCUGGGCCGUCGGAUCAAACCGACAUUAAUCGCAUGGUUUUCCUUGAUCCUUUAGGUCAGUGGAGCAUGAUCCCCGAGUUGUACCCUGAUUGGGCAGAAUAGGUGGGCGGGCACCCUCAGGACUUGGGCGGGCGCCCUGUCCCUGAGCCCUCUCGGCCUCCGCUUCAGUCCUGUGGCUUCUAGAGUCUUCUAGAUGAUAGAAAAUUGCGCGGCACGUUAAUAUCUCUAUGUAAACCUGACGUGUGGGCCUUUCUUCCGUAUUUCCUGAUAACCCCCUGCAGAAAUAGACAAACACCAAAACUCGUGGAAUUCUGUCAGAUAAAACCCUAAGUCUAGGUGUUAGUUGCAUUUGGAUCCUUUUCCAUGAUUAGUUGAUGGUUAAAUAUGAGCAUUAAGGACCGUCAACAAGCUCCCCCAAGCUUAAACUUUGCUCGUCCCUGAGCAAAGAUGAACUUAAGAGUUUCUACAGUAGUUUCAUGCCUUAAAGGUAUACAUGCGUUCAAACAAGAUCUCAUCUCUGGGUUAGGGUAAACUGUUAAGAUUUAAACUUACUCAUAUUACCUUUCACCAUGGGGCUUGUAACCGUCACUUGUGUCUUGAGCAGUUAAAAGAUAGAACGGUCUAGUCAAGCGCCAUGUCUCUUGUUCUUGAUCAACUAUAGCUCUGGAGUUUUUGUAGAUUUUCAAAUAAAACUCAGAGAUUCCUUGUAUGACUCUCAGAUCUCUCUUUUGUGGUAUUUCUGGAUCCUUACCAAGGCAGUAAAGGUGUAUGUCUUCUCUCAAAGUAUGUGGUAUUUUUGGUAUGAGGCAUAGUGACAUUGCCUUCUCUCUCACCCUACUCUAAUAAGGCUUUUGAUAUCUAGAGCUCAUAGGUGGGAGACAGCUAAUACAUACUUACAAGACAUUUAUUGCAUAGUCAAACCAUGGAUCCAGAGUAACAAGUCAAUAAGUCAAAUCAAGAUGUGCAUGUGUGGUGAAUGAAUGGUGCAUGGUAAUGAUGGUGAUAACAAUGGUGAAAGUCUAAUUCUACUUUUGCUCUUUUGAGGGGAUACAUACCUUUCUUGCUCUUUUGAAACUUUUUGAGGAGAAUGAGAUGCUCUAUAUUUUCUUUUUCUUUUCUCUCAGGUGGGUAUCUUGUACGCCUAAUUCUACUAUCGGACACUUGUCCAUUUUUACCUCUCGUCUCACUUUUUCUUUUCUUUCGAGGUUCCGGCACUUGCCCCUUUUUAUUUCCUCGUAUUUUUUUCUCUCUCUUUUUUAGAGCACUCAUCUCCAGAAAUAAUAUAGCAAGUGGUAGUAACCAAGAUAACUUGAGCAUUAAUUUCAUUGGGGAAAAUAGAAAUGUUUUUGGCUAUUCUCUCUCGGAUUAGGAGUAGAAUAUUUUUGGGUGAAUCUGGAUAUGGAAAUGAGUGGAUGUAUGUGGAUGCGUACUUCCAGAGUAGAAGCAGCAUGUGUGAGUGAACAUGCAAGUGAAUCUUGAUUUAACCACAUGACAAGCUCCUAAGGGUCUACACAGCUUGACCACACUCAAUGCUCAUAAGCAGUAAAAAGUAAAUGUAUGGUUCAUAGUCUAAUAAGCAUGUAUAUGUGGCUGUGGUAGGAUUUUAAACUCUCAUCAUAUAGAAACUCAUCAUGCAACAUUUUAAAGAUUUUAAAAGAUAAAAUUCUCCAGAAUUCUAGCAUCUCUAGGAACAGAUAAAUAGCAACUCAACCUUCCCAUAUCGUAUCCGUUAACGACUUAGACUUCAGAUCAAGUACUCUUCCCACAAGUUCAGGUUUAGAGAAAAUCUUAAUUAAUAAUAGUGAGGCCUAAACUUGAGAGAGAUUUCAAUUUUGAGAACUAGUCAUGGCAGAGCAACUAUUCAUCAUUUCCAUGUGAGAGGUUAUCAUGAGGGUUCAUAGCAAACUUUAUUUAUUUAUUUAUUUAGCAAACUAAGCAAAGAUAUAUAUAUAAGCACAAAAAUUUUUAUUUGGCUUUUCAUGAUUAUGCAUCUUUUUAUUAUUAGAGUAAAGUAUAAACGUGAGUGGAAUACUUAGCUGGAUAAAUAGGGGUGCUCUCCCCCAAGCUGGAUUUGACGCAAUUUCUUUUGAUGUAGCUAGCAGGUGGUGAAGGUGUAUUUGAAUGUCGGCGGCACCCUGACAGUGAUUAGGAUGUCCUCCGUCUACUAGUCUUCUUUGAUCCUUGAAUUAUGUGGAGCUCCAAUAGACAACAAAGCUUUGUGGAACUAGUUAAGUGUUAGCAUAAAUAUCUAGCCUUUAUCAUGUUGAGCCUCCUUAAUAAAUGUUACACUCUUUAGUAGGAUCACAAUCUUCUUUUUACAAUUUUAUUUUUAUAGGACAGGAAUAUAUUUAUUUUAUUUUUAUGCCACCACAGUGAAUGUACUUAUGGGUUUUAUGCCAUGAGCAUAAUCACAUGGGGCUUACUAUUUUUUAACAUUUUUAUUUUCUUUUCAAGAUGAUAUGAACCUGAUUAACUAAGCAAACUAUUUUAAAAUAAUUAAAAGGAAAAAGAUAACUACCAAGUUUACCUCUUGGCAAGGCGUUCGGUGUUUUUUUAAGUCCUCUGAACGGGACUCUCCGUUUUCUCAGUCGUCCUAGGAUUCGCUGGAUGGCGUAGUCGGUGGUUCCGGCGGCGCCUGCUCUUCGUGUAUAACUAUCUUCUCUCUACACACCUGACUCAGUGCUAUGGUCUCCUCAGGACAGUUCUGUUCAAGCUGUAUAUCUUCAGACCUCACUACUUCUCCUUCGUAGUCUGCCCAUCCAUCCUUGAUGAUUUGCCUCCUCUGGUUGCGGUUGCGUCGUCUUCUUCUUGUCCUGACCUGCUUAGAGUCUUUAACUAUAUAGUUAGAGUCAGUAAAAUAGCGGCGUACCUUCUCAGAGGGGAAAUGCAUGUGGACUUCUCUGGUUCCAAUGUAUAUGAUUGCUUUAACGGUGCUAAAGAACGGUCUUCCAAGGGUGAUGGGUGGAUUGUACUCGUCUUUUCCCAUGUCAAUAACCUUAAAAUCAUCUGGAGCUAAAUGUAUGUCGGUUUUAGUGGCAUGGUUCCGAACAGGAGUUGAUAGGUGACUGCGGCCAUUAUGUUGACGCCUGACCCGGUGUCGCAAAGCGUCUUCUAGAAGUUGUAUCCAUUAAUGGAGCACUAGAUGCUUGGCAUGCCUGGGUCAGGAAUGGUGACUUAAAUAGAUGAUCUUGACCUCCUUGAACAGCAGUGACCAUCUUAGCUGACUCGGUCCACACUUGCUUGGUCCUGUUCCUCGUGUUGGUCCUCUUCCUUGGUUCAUGUCGGGAUUGCUCUGAGAUUUGUGUAAUCUUGUUCUUGAAGGAAAACGUCUCCUUCCUCCCCUUGAUGUAGAAACCGUUCUUGGC
RNAcentral lists this long non-coding RNA (98202 nucleotides) under Sorghum bicolor (sorghum). Its description in RNAcentral is "long non-coding RNA (SBIC_LNC006824)". The stretch from base 91442 to 91535 matches the Rfam family "MIR5387 microRNA precursor family". Lineage: Eukaryota; Viridiplantae; Streptophyta; Magnoliopsida; Poales; Poaceae. The record is from RNAcentral.